RNAcentral lists this long non-coding RNA (136180 nucleotides) under Hordeum vulgare. RNAcentral describes it as "long non-coding RNA (HVUL_LNC019994)". Lineage: Eukaryota; Viridiplantae; Streptophyta; Magnoliopsida; Poales; Poaceae. The record is from RNAcentral.
CAUCAAGACUCUUUUCUGGCGCCGUUGCCGGGGAGGUAGGCCUUUGGUAAGUGGAAUUUGCUAAGGAAACAUUUAUAUACUGUGCUGAAAUUUAUUGUCACUUGUCACUAUGGAAACUGUUCCUUUGAGGAGUUUUUUUGGGGUAUAUUCACCACGAACGGAAGCAUGAGGAGUUGUUCCUCAACCUGAGGUACCUACUGAAAAUAUAUAUUAUGAAAUUCCUUCGGGUAUGCUUGAGAAACUGCUGGCUAAUCCUUUUACAGGAGAUGGAUCUUCACAUCCAGACAUGCAUCUAAUCUAUGUAGAUGAAGUUUGUGGUUUAUUUAAGCUUGCAGGUUUUCCCGAGGAUGAGGUAAAGAAGAAAGUCUUUCCUUUAUCGUUGAAGGAUAGGGCAUUGACAUGGUAUAGGCUAUGUGAUGAUACUGGAUCAUGGGACUACAAUCGGUUGAAAUUGGAAUUUCAUCAAAAGUUUUAUCCUAUGCAUUUAGUACAUCGUGAUCGGAAUUAUAUUUAUAAGUUUUGGCCUGAUGACAGGGAAAGCAUAGCUCAAGCUUGGGGGAGGCUUAAAUCAAUGCUAUAUUCAUGCCCCAAUCAUGAGCUCUCGAGAGAAAUUAUCACUCAAAACUUUUAUGCUCGGCUUUCUCAUGAAGAUCGUACCAUGCUUGACACUUCUUGUACCGGUUCUUUUAUGAAGAAGGAUAUUAACCACAAGUGGAAUUUAUUGGAAAGAAUCAAACGUAACUCUGAAGAUUGGGAGCUUGAAGAAGGUAAGGAGUCAGGUAUGAAUUUCCAGUUUGAUUGCGUUAAAUCUUUUGUUGAAACAAACACUUCUAGAUAUUUUAGCGCUAAGUAUGCACUUGACUCUGAGAUAGUAGCUUCUCUAUGUGAAUCUUUUGCUGCUCAUGUUGAUCUUCCCAAUCUAGUUAAACCCAAUCUAGUUGAGGAGAAAGUCAUUGCCUUUAGUGAUCCUAUUGUUCCUUGUGCCUACGCUGAGAAACCACCAUACCCUGCUAGGAAAAAGGAUUAUUCUAAAGCUCCAACUGUGAUACGUAGGGGUUACAUCAGACCACUUGCACCCCCUGAGGAAAUUACAGUUGAACCUAGUGUUUCUAUUAUCAAAGAUCUCUUAGCCCAAGACAUAGACGGGCAUGUUAUCAAAUUCUGUGAGGACUCCGCUAGAAUAGAUAAACCUCACACUAAACCUCACAGGCCUGUAGUUGGCCUGCCCGUAGUUUCUGUCAAGAUAGGAGAUCACUGUUACCAUGGUUUAUGUGAUAUGAGUGCUAUACCCCAUUCCCUAUAUGAUGAAAUCAAAGAUGAGAUUGCACCUGCUGAGUUAGAACCCAUUGAUGUCACUAUUAUGCUAGCUAAUAGAGACACUAUCUGCCCUCUGGGAAUUGUGAGAGACGUAGAAGUCCUGUGCGGUAAGACGAAGUAUCCUACUAAUUUCCUCGUCCUUGCUACUGCACAAGAUAGCUUGUGUCCCAUCAUAUUUGGUAGACCCUUUCUCAACACUGUCAAUGCUCAUAUUGAUUGUAUUAAACAGACUGUCACGGUUAGUUUCGAGGGUGUGUCUCAUGAAUUUAACUUCUCCAAGUUUGGAAGACAACCCCAUGAAAUAGAGUCGUCUGGUAGGGAUGAAAUCAUUGCUCUUGCCUCUAUUGCCGUACCUCCUACGGAUCCUUUAGAGCAAUAUCAGCAAGAGCAUGAAAAUGAUAUGCAUAUGGAGGAAAGAGAUGAGAUAGAUAAAAUUGUCUUAGAACAAUAUCCUAUUCUCAAGAAUAAUCUGCCUAUUGAACUUCUUGGGGAUCCUCCCCCACCAAAGGGUGAUCCUGUGUUCGAGCUAAAACACUUACCAGAUACUCUUAAGUAUGCCUAUCUUGAUGAGAAGGAGAUAUAUCCUAUUAUUAUUAGUGCUCACCUCUUGAGUCACGAAGAGAAGAAGUUAUUAAAAACUUUGAGGAAGCACCGUGCUGCUAUUGGAUAUACUCUUGAUGAUCUUAAGGGUAUUAGCCCCACUCUAUGUCAGCACAAGAUUAAAACUGAUCCUGAUUCUAAGCCAGUUGCUGAUCAUCAGCGGAGACUAAAUCCGAGGAUGAAAGAGGUCGUGAGAAAAGAAAUAUUAAAGCUUAUGGAAGAAGGAAUCAUUUAUCCUGUUGCUCAUAGUGAUUGGGUAAGUCGAGUACAUUGCGUACCUAAGAAGGGAGGUAUCACUGUCGUCCCUAAUGAUAAGGAUGAACUAAUCCCGUAGAGGAUUAUUACUGGCUAUGGGAUGGUUAUAGACUUCCGGAAACUAAACAAGGCAACCAGGAAGGACCAUUAUCCUUUGCCGUUUAUCGACCAGAUGCUAGAAAGGCUAUCUAAACACACACACUUCUGCUUUCUAGACGGUUAUUCAGGUUUCUCGCAAAUACCUGUUGCACAAUCUAAUCAAGAGAAACCAACCUUCACAUGCCCCUUCGGUACCUUCGCUUAUAGAUGUAUGCCUUUUGGCUUGUGCAAUGCACCUGCCACCUUUCAAAGAUGUAUGAUGGCUAUAUUCUCUCACUUUUGUGAAAAGAUUGUUGAGCUUUUCAUGGAUGAUUUCUCCAUCUACGGUUCUUCCUUUGAUGAUUACCUCAGCAACCUUGAUCGAGUCUUACAGAGAUGCAAAGGUACCAACCUUGUCUUGAACUGGGAGAAGUGCCACUUCAUGGUUAAUGAAGGCAUCAUCUUAGGACACAAAAUCUGUGAGAAAGGCAUUGAAGUUGAUAAGGCUAAGGUAGAUGCAAUUGAGAAAAUGCCUUGCCCCACAGAUAUCAUAGGUAUACUAAGUUUCCUAGGUCAUGCUGGUUUCUAUAGAAGGUUCAUUAAAGACUUCUCUAAGAUUUCUAGGCCUCUUACCAACCUCUUUCAGAAGGAUGUUCCUUUUGUUUUUGAUGAGGACUGUGAGGAAGCUUUCGAAAUACUUAAGAAGGCCUUAAUAACCGCACCUAUUGUUCAACCACCUGAUUGGAACUUGCCCUUUGAAAUCAUGUGUGAUGCUAGUGAUUAUGUCGUUGGUGUUGUUCUAGGACAAAGAGUUGACAAGAAGUUGAAUGUCAUUCACUACGCUAGUAAAACUCUAGACAGUGCCCAAAGAAACUAUGCCACUAUGGAGAAGAAGUUUUUAGCAGUCGUGUUUGCAUUCGAAAAGUUCAGAUCUUAUAUAGUUGACUCCAGAGUCACUAUUCACUCUGAUCAUGCUACUAUUAAGUACCUUAUGGAGAAGAAGGACGCUAAGCCUAGACUAAUCAGAUGGGUUCUCCUCCUACAGGAAUUUGAUUUGCACGUUGUUGACCGAAAGGGUGCUGAUAACCCUGUAGCCGAUAACUUGUCUAGGCUAGAGAAUGUCCUUGAUGACCCAAGACCUAUUGAUGACAGCUUUCCUGAUGAGCAACUGAAUGUCAUCCGCACUUCACAUAGUGCACCGUGGUAUGCUGAUUACGCAAACUAUAUCGUAGCCAAAUACAUACCACCCAGUUUCACCUAGCAGCAAAAGAAGAAAUUCUUCUUUGAUUUGAGACACUACUUUUGGGAUGAUCCUCACCUUUAUAAGGAAGGAGUAGAUGGUGUUAUUAGACGUUGUGUGCCUGAACAUGAACAGGGACAGAUCCUACAGAAGUGUCAUUCUGAGGCCUACGGAGGACACCAUGCUGGGGAUAGAACUGCUCAUAAGGUAUUGCAAUCAGGUUUCUAUUGGCCUACUCUCUUCAAGGAUACCCGUAAGUUUGUCUUGUCGUGUGACGAAUGUCAAAGUAUAGGGAACAUUAGCAAAUGUCAGGAAAUGCCUAUGAACUAUUCACUGGUCAUUGAACCAUUUGAUGUCUGGGGCUUUGAUUAUAUGGGGCCCUUCCCGAGUUCCAAUGGGUACACUCACAUCUUAGUUGCUGUGGAUUUUGUCACUAAGUGGGUAGAGGCUAUCCCCACUAAAAAUGUUGUUCACGACACCUCUAUUAAGAUGCUUAAAGAAGUCAUUUUCCCAAGAUUUGUAGUCCCUAGAUAUCUGAUGACUGAUGGCGGUUCACACUUCAUUCAUGGUGUUUUCCGCAAGAUGCUCGCUAAGUAGGAUGUCAACCAUAGAGUUGCAUGUCCUUAUCAUCCUUAGUCUAGUGGUCAAGUGGAGUUGAGUAAUAGGGAGAUCAAAUUGAUCUUACAAAAGACCGUCAAUAGAUCUCGAAAGAAUAUGGCUAGCAAACUUGAUGAUGCACUAUGGGCUUAUAGGACUACUUAUAAGAAUCCCAUGGGCAUGUCGCCGUAUAAAAUGGUUUACGGUAAGGCCUGUCUUUCACCUCUUGAGCUGGAACACAAAGCUUAUUGGGCAAUCAAAGAGCUCAACUUUGAUUUCAAACUUGCCGGUGAGAAGCGGUUGUUUGAUAUCAGCUCAUUAGAUGAAAGGAGGGCCCAGGCAUAUGAGAAUGCCAAGUUGUUCAAGGAAAAGGUUAAGAGAUGGCACGAUAAAAGAAUACAAAAGCGAGAGUUCAAUGUAGGUGAUUAUGUCCUGCUAUACAAUUCUUGUUUAAGAUUAUUCGCAGGCAAGCUUCUCUCUAAAUGGGAAGGUCCCUACGUUGUCGAGGAAGUAUAUCGUUCCGGUGCCAUCAAAAUCAAUAACACGGAAGGUAAUUUUCCUAGAGUGGUAAAUGAGAAAAGAAUCAAGCAUUAUAUCUCUGGUACUCCCAUAAAUGUUGAGACCAAUAUCAUCAAUAUCAUAACUCCAGAGGAGAACAUAAGUGAUGUUUAUCAGCCUAUUUCAGACCCUGAAAACCAAGAGGUAUCUGUUUCGGUAAGUAAUUGGACACCGAAACUUUUCCAAUAGGAAAUUUUCUCCGUUUUGGAAUUUAUGGAAAAUUAGAAAAAUAAAAAGCAGUCCGGAGAGCGCACGAGGCGGCCACAAGCUUGGUUGCCGCGGCCUCCCCUGGCCGCGGCAACAGGGCUUGUGGGCAGCUCGUGUGUCUACCGGACUCUGUUUUCUUGCGGAGCACUCCUUCUGGUCCAUAAAAAAUCAUUAUAUAUACGCUCGAGGGUUUUGAUCUCCGUAUCGCGUAGUUUUCCUCUGUUUUCGUUUCUAGCCUGUUUCUGCCGCAGAUUUAGAGCAAAGAUGUCUCAAGAAUCUGUUGGGGAGAACAAUUUCCCUCAAGAUCAUGAAGAAAUAGAUGCUGAUCUGAAAAGAGUAGAAGUCACGGAAGCCAGGGACAAAGCUAAGGAGAAAACCCAAGCUAGGGAGGAAGUUCAACCUAUGUUCAACAUUGAAGACGUUGAAGGAGUAGAUUUUCUCCAACCCUUCCUCCACGUGAUGUCCCCAUCCUUGAUUGAACUCUUGAGGUUUUGUGAAACAACUCGUGCUCGAAAUAUUUCCCUUUCUCGUGAAGUUGUUUUGCUGGAAAACCAUGUCGCAGAUCUCAAAGGUAUAAAUCAAAGACUGAUAGCUCUCUUGGAAUCAAAGGCAAAGACUGCUUCAACAACACCACCGCCAUCACCACCAAAGGAAGACAAGUAAGCAUUGGUAUGGGCAAUCCCCUUGGCUUUUGCCAAGCUUGGGGGAGUUGCCCUGGUAUCGUAUCAUCUUUAUAUCUUUUGCUUUUACCUUUGUUUUAGUUCAUUCCUUUUUCAGUUUUAUUUCUUCACUUAGUGGAAUAAGUCUUUAGUGUUUAGUUUGAGUCUUUUUCCUUGUGUCUCCCCCGAUGUAGUCGAGCUUGCGAGCUUUAUAAUAAAGAGUAUCUUAGUCAAGGGCUUUGUUUUGUGCCGUGAUCAAAAGUAUGAAAAGAACGAUAGCAUGAAAGAUCAUGAGAUGAUCCUAUGGAAAGUGAUAGCUACACAUAUAACAAGUAUGAUGAUUGAAACUUGUUGAGAGUAGACCAACAUAGACCUCAGUCAUUGUUGCAAUUAAUAAGAAGUAAUAAGGAAAGAGAGGUUCACAUAUAAAUAUAUCAUCUUAGACACUUUCUAUAAUUGUGAGCACUCACCAAACUAUUACAAGCCUAGAAGUAGAUGUUGGACAAGGAAGACAAAAUAAUGAAUUGUGUUUGCUUGGUUCCAAACAAUGUUAUAUGAUUAGAGAUCCCUUAGCAUGUGACGAUUGCUUCGACCUCAUAUUAGCCAAAACUCCCGCACCAAGUAGAGAUACUACUUGUGCAAACAUAAACCUUCAACCCAGUUUUGCCAUGAGUGUCCACAACACCUACCUAUGGAUUGAAUAAGAUCCCUCAAGUAAGUUGUCAUCGGGGCAAGCAAUAAAAAUUGCUCUCUAAUAUGUAUGAUCUAUUAGUGUGUGGAAAAUAAGCUUUGUACGAACCUGUGAUGAGGAAGAAUAAAAGCGACAGACUGCAUAAUAAAGUUCUUUAUCACAGGAGGCAAUAUAAAGUGACGUUCCUCCGCACUAGGAGGACACGCAUCCAAACCUCAAAAGUGCAUGACAACCUCUGCUUCCCUCUGCGAAGGGCCUAUCUUGUACCUUUACUUUUUGCCCUUGUAAGAGUCAUGGUGAUCUUCACCAAUUCCUUAUUUAGCCUUUUUUCUUCGCACUACUAGAAAAAGGCCUUCUAAUGGCACACCAUUUUUUGCUACUAAUGGCGCACUAUAGGUGCGCCACUAGCAUCACGCCAUUAGAUUUUUUUUACUAAUGGCGCACUACAAGUGCGCCAUUAGUAUCUGGUAUACUAAUGGCGCACCAGGUAGUGCGCCAUUAGUAUUGCUCACGGUGCGCCAUUAGUAUUCCUCACGGUGCGCCAUUAGUAUUGCUAACGGUGCGCCAUUAGUAUAGCUUAUGGUGCGCCAUUAGUAUGCCUCCCAGGGCCAUAUUUACCCAUAUGCUCUGGCUUACUAAUGGCGCACUAGUGUGCUGAGUGAUGCGCCACUAGUAUGAAUNAUUAGGAAUUUAUUUUAUUUUUUCUGAUAUUUGCACAGAUUACAAAAUAUAUUAUUGCACAGAAUAUAGAUAGCACAAUAGAUUUAUCGAAUACAAUAGAAGAUUAGUCUCCGAAUACAAUUCGUCAUUAUUAGUCUCCGAAUUUAAAAUACCGAACAAAGUUAGAACAUUACAAGUCUCGAGACCGCGAGUAGCGAGUUUGUCUUCACAUUACAAGUCGAUAUAUCGACCAUCUAAACUACCAUCACAUAUAGAAGAGAGCUGCGGUCAUCACGAUGAGCAUAAUCGCAAUGAAACUGGUCUUCAUCUGGUUCCUCCAACGCUCCCUCCUCUCUCCCGCUAGAUAGCGCGCGUAUCUAACUUCCGCCUCCGCCCUUGUGGUGUACCCUUUGUAACUGUUACCGCUGAAUCGGUGAACCUGUCUCCGACACUCCUCCCAGUCGUCGUAGACUCCGGGAACCUUACCCUUGUACACGACAUACGACGGCAUCUCUAUGCACUAGCCAAACAAAACGUUAGUAGCAAUUCACAGAGACAUACAAGUUCAUUAAAGUUCAAUAUUACAACUAUAACAGCACGAUUCAUGGUCCUACUAAUAAAUAGCAUCGAUUAUAUAUAAGUUGAACGACUGUCCAUACCAAAGAGACAUACGAGUUCAUUAAAGUUUAAUAUUGCAACAUGAAUUAGUAGCGAUUCACGGGAACGUGGAUGAAGCCGCUGUCUUUUGUGAUGGUCAUGAAAUUGCGGUCGUUGUGAGCCUGCAUUUAUAGCAUUGUAUCUAUCUCACUAUUGGACAGCGGAGAUCUGAGGUAGAACUGCCCCGAGGUACGAAGGACAUCUUGAUGGAUGAUUUCCGCAAACUCUGACUGGAUGCGAAAGAAUUCUUGUCUGAUGUCUGCAUCCUGGAUUGCCGACAAGCGUGCGGCCCAAUCUUUGAGAUUAUUUGGUAGACGAAGGUGAUUACUGUCCCGUAUGAUCGCCCGCAUGUGAUGGAAGGCGUAGUAGGCAUCCUUCUGACUGCCAGGCGGCUGCUUGACGCAGGCGAACAUCGUAUUGUGGGUGAACACGUGCUUGCCGUGCCUGAGACUUGUCCUGCUGAAGGUGCCUCCAGAUAUGGCGUAGCCGGGAAGAGCUUCAUCAAGAACUUUCUUGAUAUUUGUGUAGUCUUUUUUUGACUGACGGUCCAAGUCGAAAUACGUGGUCGUGGAAUAUUUCAGGCUUAAGAGGAUGAGUGUGCAACGUGUGUCACUGCACAAAACACAGAAUGUUAGAAAAAAAGGACGAUCAAAAUCUAAGAAAUCAUAUGUUACGUGGCGAUGAGGGGAUAACUUACCAGGGAAAGUAAGGCACGAGGAAGUUAUCCUUUUCUGAGUUUGCCAGAAAGACGCCUUCGAGGUAUGAGCUCGCGACUUGCCGGUCCCCAGCGCUGCCCAAGAUCUUCGCACGCAUAUAGAAGGGGUCGACUAUCACUAGGUCCGGGGUCUUGUCUCUAAUUAUCCGCAUCUCCAUACUCAGCGAAAAUAGCCGAACGAAGGUGUAGUGCAGCGGAUGAAGGUUAAACAUACCAAAGAUGUCGGCAAACCGCAGGACGAUCAUACCCCCGAUGGCGCUAUCGACAAAGCCCUUGCCCUCUGGCACCUUGGCUACGAAAACCGGGUAUGCCACAUUAUUCUCGGAGAGAGGCCGCUUCUCCAAACAAAGAACACUGUCAUGCAGACUCCGCAUAGCACCGGUUGCAACAUUGAGCAGAUUAGUCGGUAGCAUCGGCCUACCCGCCACAUGCACCCUCCUCGAGAUAUCCUUAGGUGAAGCUGGCCCGUCCAGAGCACGGAUCGUACUCAGUGUCGGCUGGCUCGCACCCUUGUUAGUCUUUCUUUUCCGUCCCUUCUUCUGCUGAUGUAAUGGGAUCCAGUUCAUCUUCUCAGAGACCACCUUCUUGAGUGUGUUGGGGCUGAUAAUAUUUCGCACCUCGGCUAUCUGAGGCUCGGUGAACACGGCAGCUGGAGGCGUAUCCUCAAAACUAAAUGCCAGACAACGCCUGUUGCAAUUGGGUUUCUCCGCGGUACCAGCUAGAUCACGGUCGUCUUUUGCAGGGUUGGGUUCUUGAGAAGGAGGCCCCAAGAAUUCCUCACCGUACCCAUGUUCGGCAAAGUACUUAUCGACCUUGGUAAAUGUACCAUCGUCGUCAUCGUCGUCGUCCGGAACCUGUGCCAUAUGCAUGUACGGAUCCUGUGCCAUAUGCAUGUCCGGUAGCGUUGCGGCGGUCUUGCCAUGGCUUGGCGCCGGCACGACUGGCGGUGUUGUUUGUGGGGUGCUGUCGCCCGCCCCCAAACGAAUCUGGCUCUUCGGCCAAAGCAAGGGCCAGCUUAAGCAGGCGCUGAGGGUCAUCACAUCAUCUUUGUCGGCCCCAGCGGGGUGGAACGAAGGUAACAAGUCGUCGCAGCCUCGCAGCACCCGAACCAGUUGAACCCUAUACGUGGUGGGUGGCAUCGGUUUACCGUGGAACAUGGGUUUUCCCGGUUGAACGAUUCUUCCCUUGGCGACAUCGAUCAAAUCGCCGCCCCAUGAAGUGCAGGAGAGUGCAUGGAACGUCAGCGCCGGCGCCCUGCGAAAACAUGUAGGGCGUCAGGGGAUGCCCAUUCAAAGGCAAGGAGAUGAAUUCAUCGGCCGAGAGAGGCUUAGUUACCGUGAUGGCAUUGAGCUCGGCUAAUGUCGAGGCACCGCCAAUGGUGGGCGUGCAAGUGACGGAGGGGCCGCUUGCUGCCGAGGUGCCGGCCGGCGCCGGAGACACCAAUGGCGUCGCAUGCGCGUUGUGCGAGUUGCUGGCAGUGAAGCUGGGAAUUGGGGGCGGCCCCUGUUGGCCGCCUGCAAUCCAUGCCUACAGCCCCUCAAUCAAGGUAGGCACAAUGGCGGUGAUCACCCCUCCCACUUGGUGUUGCACUAGCUCUUGGACCAUCUCUGGAAUCCGCGCCACUUUUGCCUUGAGUUCUUCAACCUCAUGCGACUCUCUCCUUUCACCCACCAGCAUUAUAGUAUGACAACCAUUUCGUGGACAAGCCUUUGCCGGCCGCAUGACCAGCUGACGACGGCUUACUGGACUUAUCCUUGUUUUUCAUUAUGUUAAACGCCCUAUUUAAAUUGGCGUCCCAAUUGGAGCUCUAAGACGACCCCGCGCUACUGCUUUCAGUGUCCUACGGAAGGAAUGAACCAUUUAGAAGUUUGGCUUCAUUAAUUAGAAUGCAACCAUAUGGAGCUAAUUACAUGGGGUGUAUUCCUUACCAGAACACACUCAAGCGCCCUGGUCUUCGCAUCCGUGGUAAGCUCCUUUGUUACUGGGUCCACCUUGUACCGGGCCCUGACAUAGUUCCUGGUCUGCUUGUCACCGUAUUUCUCGAAGCGGGGUGGUAGGCCUUGCUCGGCACGCUCCGCGUCCUCCUUGUCCCAUAUAGGUUCCGCCACUCUGUAACCGCCGGGACCGAGUUGGUGGACCCCUAAGUUCAACUCCCGCAUUUCUUUCCCCCAUUGACUUGAUUCCGCGGUUGCCUUUCUCUCGCACUUGAUCUUGAACUCCAUGUAGUCAUCUUCGCUGAUCGAAGGAUUUUUCGCCUUGAUCUUCUCAUAACUAUCACCUUUGUCAAUCAUUCUCUUCACCACGCUUCUCCAAGUAGAUAGGGCCUUGCUCAUCUUCGUGAGGGCGGCACUGUUCACUUUAUUCCUUGAGAGGCGUGUGUUUGCGACGUCACCGGGGAACUUGUAUCGUUCGUGCAGCUUCGUGAAGAGGAGGUUGCGCAAAUUCCCUCGGUCCUUAUGCCUUAGGUUCUCGGUGUUGAUCGAGACAGUGCUCCGGAGAAUGCACCCGAGCUGAACCACGUACCCCUUGACUAUUUCUUUGGGCGCCGUUGGAUACCCGUCGGAGUUCACUUCAGUAAAUUCCUCCUUUACGGUGCUAAGCACGUUCGGGCGCCGGUCCUUGUUGGGGAACGUCGCAUGGGAAACAAAAAUUUUCCUACGCGCACGAAGACCUAUCAUGGUGAUGUCCAUCUACGAGAGGGGAUGAGUGAUCUACGUACCCUUGUAGAUCGUACAGCAGAAGCGAUUAGAGAUCGCGCUUGAUGUAGUGGAACGUCCUCACGUCCCUCGAUCCGCCCCGCGAACAAUCCCGCGAUCAGUCCCACGAUCUAGUACCGAACGGACGGCACCUCCACGUUCAGCACACGUACAGCUCGACGAUGAUCUCGGCCUUCUUGAUGCCCAUAUUGGAUCCUACAUAUUCUACGAAGAUCUUAUCGUUUGAACCUCAGUGCCAAGGAUUCAUAUAAUCCCGUAUGUCAUUCCCUUUGUCCUUCGGUAUGUUACUUGCCCGAGAUUCGAUCGUCAGUAUCCGCAUACCUAUUUCAAUCUCGUUUACCGGCAAGUCUCUUUACUCGUUCCGUAAUACAAGAUCCCGCAACUUACACUAAGUUACAUUGCUUGCAAGGCUUAUGUGUGAUGUUGUAUUACCGAGUGGGCCCCGAGAUACCUCUCCGUCACACGGAGUGACAAAUCCCAGUCUUGAUCCAUACUAACUCAACUAACACCUUCGGAGAUACCUGUAGAGCAUCUUUAUAGUCACCCAGUUACGUUGCGACGUUUGAUACACACAAAGCAUUCCUCCGGUGUCAGUGAGUUAUAUGAUCUCAUGGUCAUAGGAAUAAAUACUUGACACGCAGAAAACAGUAGCAACAAAAUGACACGAUCAACAUGCUACGUCUAUUAGUUUGGGUCUAGUCCAUCACGUGAUUCUCCCAAUGACGUGAUCCAGUUAUCAAGCAACAACACCUUGUUCAUAAUCAGAAGACACUUACUAUCAUCGAUCAACUGGCUAGCCAACUAGAGGCAUGCUAGGGACGGUGUUUUGUCUAUGUAUCCACACAUGUAAAUGAGUCUUCAUUCAAUACAAUUAUAGCAUGGAUAAUAAACUAUUAUCUUGAUACAGGAAUUAUAAUAAUAACUAUACAUUUAUUAUUGCCACUAGGGCAUAAUUCCAACAGUCUCCCACUUGCACUAGAGUCAAUAAUCUAGCCCUCACAUCACCAUGUGAAUUACAUUGUAAUAAAUCUAACACCCAUACAGUUCUGGUGUCGAUCAUGUUUUGGCCGUGGAAGAGGCUUAGUUAGCGGGUCUGCUACAUUCAGAUCCGUGUGCACUUUGCAUAUAUUUACGUCCUCCUCCUCGACGUAGUCGCGGAUGAGGUUGAAGCGUCGUUUGAUGUGUCUGGUCUUCUUGUGAAACCUUGGUUCCUUUGCUAAGGCAAUGGCACCAGUGUUGUCACAGAACAAGGUUAUUGGAUCCAGUGCACUUGGCACCACUCCAAGAUCCGUCAUGAACUACUUCAUCCAGACACCCUCCUUAGCCGCCUCUGAGGCAGCCAUGUAUUCCGCUUCACAUGUAGAAUCUGCUACGACGCUUUGCUUGGAACUGCACCAGCUUACUGCACCCCCAUUAAGAAUAAAUACGUAUCCGAUUUGCGACUUAGAGUCGUCCGGAUCUGUGUCAAAGCUUGCAUCGACGUAACCUUUUACGGCGAGCUCUUCGUCACCUCCAUACACGAGAAACAUCUCCUUAGUCCUUUUCAGGUACUUUAGGAUAUUCUUAGUGAUCCACUCCUGGAUUACUCUGGAACCUGCCUGCCAUACUUAUGGCCAGGCUAACAUCCGGUCUAGUGCACAGCAUCGCAUACAUGAUAGAGCCUAUGGCUGAAGCAUAGGGGACGGAGCGCAUAUGCUCUCUAUCUUCAUCAGUUGCUGGGCACUGAGUCUUACUCAAUCUCGUACCUUGUAACACUGGCAAGAACCCUUUCUUGGACUGUUCCAUUUUGAACCUCUUCAAAACUUUAUCAAGGUAUGUGCUUUGUGAAAGUCCUAUCAGGCGUUUUGAUCUAUCCCUAUAGAUCUUAAUGCCUAGAAUGUAAGCAGCUUCUCCUAGGUCCUUCAUAGAGAAACUUUUAUUCAAGUAACCUUUUAUGCUCUCCAAAAGCUCUACGUUGUUUCCAAUCAGUAAUAUGUCAUCCACAUAUAAUAUUAGAAACGCCAUAGAGCUCCCACUCACUUUCUUGUAAAUACAAGAUUCUCCAACCACUUGUAUAAACCCAAAUGCUUUGAUCACCUCAUCAAAGCGUUUGUUCCAACUCCGAGAUGCUUGCACCAGUCCAUAAAUGGAUCGCUGCAGCUUGCACACCUUGUCAGCAUUUUUAGGAUUGACAAAACCUUCGGGUUGCAUCAUAUACAACUCUUCCUUAAGGAAACCGUUAAGGAACGCCGUUUUGACAUCCAUCUGCCAAAUUUCAUAAUCGAAAAAUGCAGCUAUUGCUAACAUGAUUCUGACGGACUUAAGCAUCGCUACGGGAGAGAAAGUCUCAUCGUAGUCAAUUCCUGGAACUUGUGAAAAACCCUUUGCCACAAGUCGAGCUUUAUAAACGGUCACAUUACCGUCAGCGUCCGUCUUCUUCUUAAAGAUCCAUUUGUUCUGAAUAGCCUUGCGGCCCUCAGGUAGUAUCUCCAAAGUCCAUACUUUGUUCUCAUACAUGGAUCAUAUCUCGGAUUUCAUGGCUUCUAGCCAUUUGUUGGAAUCUGGGCCCACCAUUGCUUCUUCAUAAUUUGCAGGUUCAUUGUUGUCUAACAACAUGAUUGUCAAGACGGGAUUACCGUACCACUCUGGAGCAGCGCGUGAUCUCGUCGACCUGCGUGGUUCAACAGAAACUUGAACUGGAGUUUCAUGAUCAUCAUCAUUAACUUCCUCCUCAACCGGCGUCGCAAUCACAGGGGUUUCCCCUUGCCCUGCGCCACCAUCCAGAGGGAUGAGAGGUUCGACAACCUCGUCAAGUUCUAUCUUCCUCCCACUCAAUUCUCUCGAGAGAAACUCCUUCUCGAGAAAAGUUCCGUUCUUAGCAACAAACACUUUGCCCUCGGAUUUGAGAUAGAAGGUGUACCCAACUGUCUCUUUUGGGUAGCCUAUGAAGACGCACUUUUCCGCUUUGGGUUCCAGCUUUUCAGGCUGAAGCUUUUUGACAUAAGCAUCACAUCCCCAAACUUUAAGAAACGACAACUUUGGCCUUUUGCCAUACCAAAGUUCGUAUGGUGUCGUCUCAACGGACUUCGAUGGUGCCCUAUUUAAAGUGAAUGCAGCUGUUUCUAAUGCAUAACCCCAAAACGAUAACGGCAAAUCAGUAAGAGACAUCAUAGAUCGCACCAUUUCUAAUAAAGUACGAUUACGACGUUCGGACACACCAUUACGUUGUGGUGUUCCAGGCGGUGUUAACUGCGAAACAAUUCCACAUUGUUUUAAGUGAGUACCAAACUCGAAACUCAGAUAUUCACCCCCACGAUCAGACCGUAGGAACUUGAUCUUCUUGUUACGAUGAUUUUCUACUUCACUCUGAAAUUGCUUGAACUUUUCAAAUGUUUCAGACUUGUGCUUCAUUAAGUAUACAUAACCAUAUCUACUCAAAUCGUCAGUGAAGGUGAGAAAAUAACGAUAUCCGCCGCGUGCCUCCACGCUCAUCGGACCACACACAUCGGUAUGUAUGAUUUCCAACAAGUCACUUGCACGCUCCAUUGUUCCGGAGAACGGAGUUUUAGUCAUCUUGCCCAUGAGGCAUGGUUCGCACGUGUCAAGUGAAUCAAAGUCAAGUGACUCCAAAAGUCCAUCAGCAUGGAGUUUCUUCAUGCGCUUUACACCAACAUGACCCAAGCGGCAGUGCCACAAAAAUAUGGCGCUAUCAUUGUUUACUCUAACUCUUUUGGUCUCAAUGUUAUGUAUAUGCGUAUCGCUAUCGAGAUUCAAUAUGAACAAUCCUCUCACAUUCGGUGCAUGACCAUAAAAGAUGUUACUCAUAGAAAUAGAACAACCAUUAUUCUCAGACUUAAAAGAGUAACCGUCUCGCAAUAAAAAAGAUCCAGAUAUAAUGUUCAUGCUGAACGCAGGCACUAAAUAACAACGAUUUAAGUUCAUCACUAAUCCCGAUGGUAGUUGAAGUGACACGGUGCCGACGGCGAUUGCAUCAACCUUGGAACCGUUUCCUACGCGCAUCGUCACUUCGUCUUUCGCCAGCCUCCGUCUAUUCCGCAGUUCCUGCUUCGAGUUGCAAAUGUGAGCAACAGAACCGGUAUCGAAUACCCAGGCACUACUACGAGAGCUGGUUAAGUACACAUCAAUAACAUGUAUAUCAAAUAUACCUGAUUUUUCUUUUCCCGCCUUCUUAUCUGCCAGAUACUUGGGGCAAUUGCGCUUCCAGUGACCCAUACCCUUGCAAUAGAAGCACUCUGUUUCAGGCUUAGGUCCAGCCUUGGGUUUCUUCGGCGGAUUGGCAACGGGCUUGCCGCUCUUCUUCGAAUUGCCCUUCUUGCCUUUGCCGUUUCUCUUGAAACUAGUGGUCUUGCUCACCAUCAACACUUGAUGUUCUUUACGGAGUUCAGACUCUGCGACUUUCAGCAUCGCAAACAACUCGCCGGAAGACUUGUUCAUCCCUUGCAUGUUGUAGUUCAACACAAAGCUUUUAUAGCUUGGCGGCAGUGAUUGGAGGAUUCUGUCAGUGAUAGCUUCUUGCGGGAGUUCAAUCCCCAGUUCAGCUAGACGGUUUGAGUACCCAGACAUUUUGAGCACAUGUUCAGUGACAGACGAGUUUUCCUCCAUUUUGCAAGCAUAGAAUUUAUCGGAGGUCUCAUACCUCUCGAUCCGGGCGUUCUUCUGAAAGAUGAACUUCAACUCCUGGAACAUCUCAAAUGCUCCAUGACGCUCAAAGCGACGUUGAAGUCCCGGUUCUAAGCCAUACAAGACUGCACAUUGAACUAUUGAGUAGUCCUCCUUACGCGCUAACCAAGCGUUCUUAACAUCCUGAUCAGCCGUAGCGGGUGGUUCAUCUCCUAGCGCAGCAUUAAGGACAUAAUCCUUCUUUCCAGCUUGUAAGAUUAGCUUAAGAUUACGAGCCCAGUCUACAAAGUUGCUUCCAUCAUCUUUCAACUUAGCUUUCUCUAGGAACGUAUUAAAAUUGAGGAUGACACUUGCGUGAGCCAUGAUCUACAACACAAAUAUAUUCAAAGUGGACUUAGACUAUGUUCAAGAUAAUUAGAGUUCAACUUAAUCAAAUUACAUGCUAAACUCCCACUCAAAAAGUACAUCUCUCUAGUCAUUUGAGUGGUUCAUGAUCCACCUACACUAUCCCAAGUCCGAUCAUCACGUGAGUCGGGAGUAGUUUCAGUGGUAAGCAUCCCUAUGCUAAUCAUAUCAUCUAUAUGAUUCAUGAUCGACCUUUCGGUCUCAUGUGUUCCGAGGCCAUGUCUGCACAUGCUAGGCUCGUCAAGCUUAACCCGAGUGUUCUGCGUGCGCAACUGUUUUGCACCCGUUGUAUGUGAACGUUGAGUCUAUGACACCCGAUCAUCACGUGGUGUCUCGAAACGACGAACUUUAGCAACGGUGCACAGUCGGGGAGAACACAAUUUCGUCUUGAAAUUUUAGUGAGAGAUCACCUCAUAAUGCUACCGUCGUUCUAAGCAAAAUAAGGUGCAUAAAAGGAUUAACAUCACAUGCAAUUCACAAGUGACAUGAUAUGGCCAUCAUCACGUGCUUCUUGAUCUCCAUCACCAAAGCACCGGCACGAUCUUCUUGUCACCGGCGCCACACCAUGAUCUCCAUCAUCAUGAUCUCCAUCAACGUGUCGCCAUCGGGGUUGUCGUGCUACUUAUGCUAUCACUACUAAAGCUACAUCCUAGCAAAAUAGUAAACGCAUCUGCAAGCACAUAUGUUAGUAUAAAGACAACCCUAUGGCUCCUGCCGGUUGUCGUACCAUCGACGUGCAAGUCGAUAUUUCUAUUACAACAUGAUCAUCUCAUACAUCCAAUAUAUCACAUCACAUCAUUGGCCAUAUCACAUCACAAUCAUACCCUGCAAAAACAAGUUAGACGUCCUCUAAUUUUGUUGUUGCAUGUUUUACGUGGUGACCAAGGGUAUCUAGUAGGAUCGCAUCUUACUUACGCAAACACCACAACGGAGAUAUAUGAGUUGCUAUUUGACCUCAUCCAAGGACCUCCUCGGUCAAAUCCGAUUCAACUAAAGUUGGAGAAACCGUCACUUGCCAGUCAUCUUUGAGCAAAGGGGGUUACUCGUAACGAUGAAACCAGUCUCUCGUAAGCGUACGAGUAAUGUCGGUCCAAGCCGCUUCAAUCCAACAAUACCGCGGAAUCAAGAAAAGACUAAGGAGGGCAGCAAAACGCACAUCACCGCCCACAAAACCUUUUGUGUUCUACUCGAGAAGACAUCUACGCAUGAACCUAGCUCAUGAUGCCACUGUUGGGGAACGUCGCAUGGGAAACAAAAAUUUUCCUACGCGCACGAAGACCUAUCAUGGUGAUGUCCAUCUACGAGAGGGGAUGAGUGAUCUACGUACCCUUGUAGAUCGUACAGCAGAAGCGAUUAGAGAUCGCGGUUGAUGUAGUGGAACGUCCUCACGUCCCUCGAUCCGCCCCGCGAACAAUCCCGCGAUCAGUCCCACGAUCUAGUACCGAACGGACGGUACCUCUGCGUUCAGCACACGUACAGCUCGACGAUGAUCUCGGCCUUCUUGAUCCAGCAAGAGAGACGGAGAGGUAGAAGAGUUAUCUGGCAGCGUGACGGCGCUCCGGAGGUUGGUGAUGAUCUCGUCUCAGCAGGGCUCCGCCCGAGCUCCGCAGAAACGCGAUCUAGAGGAAAAACUAUGGAGGUAUGUGGUCGGGCAGCCGUGAGAAAGUCGUCUCAAAUCUGCCCUAAAAGCCCCAUAUAUAUAGGAGGAGGGAGGGAGACCUUGCCUUGGGGUCCAAGGGAACCCCAAGGGGUCGGCCGAGCCAGGGGGGAGGACUCUCCCCCCCCCCCCCCCCACUUGGUUUGGUGGGAGGGAGUCCUUCCCCCUUCCCACUUCUUCCUCUUUUUUUUUUCUUCCUUUGAUUUUUCUUCCUUGGCGCAUAGGAUUUGGUGGGCUGUCCCACCAGCCCACUAAGGGCUGGUGUGACCCCCACAAAUACCUAUGGGCUUCCCCGGAGUGGGUUGCCCCCUUCCGGUGAACUCCCGGAACCCAUUCGUCAUUCCCGGUACAUUCCCGGAAACUCCGAAAACCUUCCGGUAAUCAAAUGAGGUCAUCCUAUAUAUCAAUCUUCGUUUCCGGACCAUUCCGGAAACCCUCGUGACGUCCGUGAUCUCAUCCGGGACUCCGAACAACAUUCGGUAACCAACCAUAUAACUCAAAUACGCAUAAAACAACGUCGAACCUUAAGUGUGCAGACCCUGCGGGUUCGAGAACUAUGUAGACAUGACCCGAGAGACUCCUCGGUCAAUAUCCAAUAGCGGGACCUGGAUGCCCAUAUUGGAUCCUACAUAUUCUACGAAGAUCUUAUCGUUUGAACCUCAGUGCCAAGGAUUCAUAUAAUCCCGUAUGUCAUUCCCUUUGUCCUUCGGUAUGUUACUUGCCCGAGAUUCGAUCGUCAGUAUCCGCAUACCUAUUUCAAUCUCGUUUACCGGCAAGUCUCUUUACUCGUUCCGUAAUACAAGAUCCCGCAACUUACACUAAGUUACAUUGCUUGCAAGGCUUAUGUGUGAUGUUGUAUUACCGAGUGGGCCCCGAGAUACCUCUCCGUCACACGGAGUGACAAAUCCCAGUCUUGAUCCAUACUAACUCAACUAACACCUUCGGAGAUACCUGUAGAGCAUCUUUAUAGUCACCCAGUUACGUUGCGACGUUUGAUACACACAAAGCAUUCCUCCGGUGUCAGUGAGUUAUAUGAUCUCAUGGUCAUAGGAAUAAAUACUUGACACGCAGAAAACAGUAGCAACAAAAUGACACGAUCAACAUGCUACGUCUAUUAGUUUGGGUCUAGUCCAUCACGUGAUUCUCCCAAUGACGUGAUCCAGUUAUCAAGCAACAACACCUUGUUCAUAAUCAGAAGACACUGACUAUCAUCGAUCAACUGGCUAGCCAACUAGAGGCAUGCUAGGGACGGUGUUUUGUCUAUGUAUCCACACAUGUAAAUGAGUCUUCAUUCAAUACAAUUAUAGCAUGGAUAAUAAACUAUUAUCUUGAUACAGGAAUUAUAAUAAUAACUAUACAUUUAUUAUUGCCUCUAGGGCAUAAUUCCAACAGUCCUUUCGUUGCCUCUUCGAUUGGCUGCCAUCUGUGCAUGCGCUGCCAUCAUCAGUGGUGGCAUCCUCAGCAGCACCAUCAGUGGUGUCAGCCCCGACGCCACUAGGGGUUGUGUACUCGGGAUCGGUGUCUUCCGCGGCGUCCUCAUAGAGGUGAGGUUCUUCCUCCAUCUCCUGGGACAGCUCCCAGAAUGGCUUGCCCGAACCGCCGGCCUCAUCAUUGUGGGCCAUGUUUCGCUCUAAAUAGGAAAAAAGUUUAGGGUUGAUCAAUGCCGAGGCACCCUAGGGUUUCAUCAUUUAGGGUUUAUCAAUGCCGAGGCACCCUAGGUUGACUGAUAUAUAUGGGUAUUUUCUCAUAAUAUACCCUAUCAAGAAAAGGGAAGUUGGGCCUAAUCACUUGGCUCUAUUGCCACCUAUGGUUUAAUGCAGCAAGAAUAAAGGGGCAAUUGAUCCUACUUAAUUAAGUACUAAGAUACCCCGGCCCAUGCAUUAGUCGCAAGUACCCCAUAUGUCCUAUUUUUAGCAAAGUCAUGCUAAAAUUCACGGAAAAUUUCAGCAUGACCUUUGUUGAAAAUAGGACAUAUGGAGUACCCGAAUUUGCCGGAACGGAAGUUAAUCGACAUUCCGGCAAACUCAAGGGCCUCUCGAGGUACCUGCAAAAUCAUCACGACACGAUGGUCGUAAACAAAACCCAGCAAACUAGCACCACAAUGCUAACAUGUGGGUGCACUACAUUCCAAUAUUUAUAUGGAACUAUGAAUGUCUACAUUUCAAUAGAAAGUGCAGGAAUGGAUGAACUAUGAAGAUUAUGUUCUCCUAGGAUACUUCUAUGGAAGACGUAUGUCCACCAUGAAACAUGGAAGUACCCCAAGAUAGAAAUAGAGGUUGCUGGUAGAAACUUAAAAUGGAAACCCACUGGCUGUUGGUUCAACCCCAUUGGGAAGAUUAAUAUGCUGAACGUUUGAGAGAGCAGUGAAUGAACACAGCAAAAAAAAUCAUAUUGUACAAACAAGAUAGUACUACUACUGAUGUACUGUAGAAGGAAAGAAAGAACACCUGCAGCGAAUGGGGUCGUCGUAGUGGAUCGCUACUUGUCUUGGCUGCAUAUACACAUACAUAGCUUAGUGUUAAUAUUGCCUUCUCUUUCGCGAGUAAAUUUAUUCAUCAAGCUGUAAACAUCGGCAUGUGCACGUGACAAGUAUAAACCAUACUACUACGUAAGUUAUUAAAUUUAUUUGCAAGGAACAGAGGUAUUUACAGUUGACAGUUGAUAUAACUAUAUGGGUGCUACAGAUGAGUAUUGUAUGACCAAACUCAAAAAUCAAGUUGAAUUGCUAGCACUAGGAGUGACCACUGCUCAAAUCUUCCAUUAAUUGCCUUACCAGACCCAUACCACAAUAGUAUAAUACAUUGGCAUGCUGCCAGAAAAGGCAGGCCAACUGUAUCCAUUAGCACACUAGACAAAUAGACAGCCAAGCAGUUCACCUAUCAAGAUCGCACUUGCAAAAGCAAGAUUUUACAUUCACAAUUUUGCCCUCUCAAACUAAAUGCUAUAGCUGAACAUUCAUGUAUGAGUAUAGAUGUGAGUAUAAUAGACACAUGGCAGACAGUACUCAAGAAAACUAUAAAUUGUAUAAAUAAGCAGUGCUGAAUAAUUGAGGACUAAGUGAAUAUGAUACAGUUCGAAAGAGUUAAGAAUAUAAACACAUAGAAUUUUCAAAUUCAUGGGGAAGCAAUGCAAUGUGGUAUGCAUUGGAAACAAAAUCUGGAACACUACACGUAUUGUUAGCCGCCGGCCUGCUCCCUCUUUCAGUCGAGCGGACUCAGGAACACACAUGAAGUGAAUAUGUGUUUGUCCUCCACACCGAGUUAACUAAUCAAUAGGAAACAGAGUAUAUAAAACAGAAUAGCCUGUACACAGUAGUUUUUCAGGCGACGAAUGCCAAAUUUCCAUUCUGCAUCUACAGCAACAAAUGCUGGUUUAUUUAUACAUGGACACAACAAACUGUUAACAGAAUUCUUUACAAUCUUGUUAAGCUGGCAUACAAUGUUUUGGACCAUGUCCAGCACAGUGCCGAUGCAACACAUUAUGACUGUUCCAAAGAAUGAAAAAUGUCACAAAGUAACUUGUUCACUUUUGCUGUUUUGCAACACAUAGUACAUCACAAGACCAGAAUAAGGUUUACACUAACACCGAGAAGCUGAUUAAGAUUUCCACUAGAGGACAAGAGAAGACGUUAAAAAGGCCUAGAAAACCUACAUGGGAAUAGUUUGUAAUGAAACAUGAAUGAAAUCUCAAGUUCAAGAUGGCAUGAGCGAAGACCUUUAUCCAAACCCAGCUGGCAUGGAACCCGGUGACAGACCAGCCCUAGUGCCAUGGUGUCUCACGGGGCCCUCCAUUUUAGUCGUAAUCAGAGAUAUAACAAUGAAUUGAAGCACCAUAGUAUCAAGGGGGCAAUAGCUCAGAUGCGACAUCUUUCCAUCGAUUCGUCCCCAAAUUCCAACUAGCAGCAGUAGCGCACGAACAGCAAAACUGCGAGGAUUGAUUGAACGCAAGGGCGAAGGAGAGGCGACCUGAAUCGGGGAGAGGUUGUUGGUGACGAACUGCUAGAGCGACUCCCUCCUGGCGACGAACCUCUGGCAGACGCUGCCGUCGCGGAGGAAGUUGUGGAUCCUGGCCCAGUUGUCGGCGUCCUCGACCCGGCGCUGCAGCCAGGUGGAGUACUCCCCGAGGCGGUACUCACGGUAGCCGCGGCCGGAGACGACAGAGCCGGCGCCGCGGUUGGUGACGACGAANCUGGGCGGUGGAAAGGAGGUAGGGGGAGGCCGCGCGCGGGAGAAGAGAGCAGGGCGCGAGGGCAGCCGGCUUAGGAAUGGCGCACCCCGAGCGGUGCGCCAUUAGAAUGUUUUUUAUAUAGUAAUGGCGCAUGUAUAUGAGGUGCGCCUUCUCUAUGUUGUUAAGCUCCGAAGUAGCAGCGCAGUGGUCCAUGGGUUUUGCCUCCUAGCAGGAGGUUGCGGGUUCGAAUCCUCUUCCCCCCUCUUUUUUGCACCUUGGUUUUUCUAUGCAUUGUUUUCAAUGCACCUUGGUUUUUCUAUGCAUUGUUUUCUAUGCAUUUUUUUCUAUGCAUUUUUUCUUGUGCUGGUUGCACCUUGGUUUGAGAAGUGCCUAGUAUUUUUUUUAUGUUUGCAAGUAGAUGUCUAGUAUUUUUUUUAUGUUUGCAGUUAGAUGCCUAUGAAUAUCUAGUGCCUCACAACAACAUCUAGUGCGGUGGAGCGGGGGAGGGUGCGGGGGGUGCUCGGCGGCGAGGGGGAUCUUGCGAGGGGUGAUAGCGAUCGAGAUGGAGGGGAUCGAGAUCGAGCGUCCUCAUGAAUAUUCAAUAUUUUUUCAUAUUGAAUAUGAAAAAAUAUCAUCAAAUUUAAAUACAAUCGAUCUUAGCUAGCUAUUUGUUCACAAUCUUCUUGCCCUUAUUUUUCGUAAAUGGAGUUCUUAUCUUGAACAGACGUCUUUUAGGUAGGGUGGUCCUGCUUCUUCUUGUGGUGUAUGCUGGUACUUCAUCAUCGUCGUCAUGUUCCAUCUUCGGGUCGCCGUACUUGUCGAAGUCUUGCUCAUUGGCGACUCCAUCCAUUCCGAUGAUCUUCCUUUUGCCUCUCCUCACGACAACACGACUGGGCUUUGGCGGGUCGGUAAUGAAGAAGCAUUGGUCCACUUGGGAAGCCAGUACCCAUGGCUCAUUUUUCGCGGUGACGUUUGCGCCCGCGGUCUUGGAUUUGGCUUCGUGUAUAACCAUGGUGGUGAAAUACCGAUCUUCUUUUAUGACGCUCUUGGCCCAUCUGACACGGAACAUCGGGACCUUCUCUCCAGUGUAGCUCCGCUCCCAGAUCUCCUUGUCGUUACCGGUGUAGGAUUCCAUCGUUACCCCGGAGUUCUGAUAACCAUCGCUCUUCAUGUCCUUUCCCUCGGUGUAGAAUGUGUAGCUAUUGGUAUCGUACGCCUCAUACGUCAUCAGGUUGUGCUCGGCGCCCUGUGACAAGGCGAAUAUGAGUUGUUCUUCCGCGGAAGAAUCCUCAUGUAAAGGGUACGACAGAAGCUUCUCCUUGAACCAACGCGUGAAACAUGAGUUGUGCUCUUUGAUUAUAUCUCCGUUCGUCCUCUGUUGGCCUUGGUCAUUGUACGUCUUUUCAAUAAAGGUUUUGUGCUCUACGACCCAAGGAUCGACCACGUCUAUGUGUUGUAGCACGACUAGGUUUGCUCUUUCAAAGUCGGCGAGUCGACCCUCGAAUUCGACAUGCAUUUCGCGCCGACCCUCACGGUGACCCCAUCCUGCGAGCCUGCCAAGGUGCCUGUUGACGGGCAGACCAACGGGGUUCUCGAUGCCUAGAUAAUUCGUGCAGUAGGAGAUGCACUCUUCGGUCAGAAAGCCCCUGGCUAUGCUUCCCUCUGGACGUGACAUGUUGCGAACGUAUCCUUUGAUGACACCAUUCAUCCUUUCGAACGGCAUCAUGCUGUGCAGGAACAUCGGCCCGAGUUGGAUGAUAUCCUCCACGAUAUGGACCAGCAGAUGCACCAUAACGUCGAAGAAUGCUGGCGGGAAGUACAUUUCAAGCUCGCAUAGUAUCACAACGAUCUCUUCCUGUAGCCUUCUGAGUUGCCUCACGCCAACCGACUUCUGAGAGAUGACGUCGAAAAAGUUGCAUAGGCCAAAUAGCGUUUCACGGACGUGCGCGUCCAUGAUCCCACGGAUUGCAACUGGAAGUAUCUGCGUCAUCAGCACGUGACAGUCAUGAGACUUCAUCCCGCUAAACUUCUGCUUCGCUGAGUCUAGGUAUCUGCUUAUCUUCCCCGCGUAACCGUAAGAAAGUUUUACUCCUACGAGGCAGGUGAAAAACUGAUCGAUCUCCUCCCGACUUAGAGUGAAGCACGCGGGAGGGAAGUCAUUUCCGGUCUUCUUGGACUUUUUGCCUUUGCGACGACUUUCCGUGUCCCCCCCCCCCCCCCCCCCAUCAUUAUUAGCGUGAAGCUCCUCCUUGAUGCCCAUUGAUUUCAAGUCUGCCCUUGCUUUCGGUCCAUCUUUGGUCCUCUCUGGCAUGUUGAGCAGGGUACCAAGCAGACUCUCGCACACGUUCUUCGUGAUAUGCAUGACAUCAAGGCUGUGAGGCACACGGAGGAUCUUCCAGUACGGCAAGUCCCAGAAAACAGACCUCGUUUUCCAUACCUUCAGCAGCGGCUCUCGUGCCUUUCGCUUCUUUCCCGGCUCUGGCGCCUUUCCCGGCGGUGGGCACUCUUUCCAAUUUUUCAACAGCUCGUAUAUUUCGCGUCUUCGGGGUUUGGUUUCACCAUUGAACAGAUCCUUGCAUUUUCUCCAUGUGUCAUCGUCGCGAAGCCACCUUCGAUGUCCCAUGAACACGGUUUUUGAAGACCCGGGAUCUCUAUCUAGCUGGCAAUACAUUGUGUCAUCCAUGCACCUGACGCAUCCAGAAAAUCCGUGGACCACCUGCCCCGCGACAUAUCCGUAACCGAGAUAGUCGUGCACCGUCGUGAGCAGUGCGGCUCUCAUAGGGAAAUAUUCUUUCUCUGCAGUGUCCCACGUAUUGGCUGGCGUUUUCCACAACGUGUCUAGCUCCUCUUUCAGCAGCCCCAGAUAUAGAUUGAUGUCGUUCCCUGGUUGUUUCGGCCCUUCAAUUAGCAUACUCAUGUGAAUGUACUUCCUCUUCAUGCACAACCAGGGGGAAGGUUGUACAUCCACACAAACACAGGCCAGGUGCUAUGUGUGUUUCUCUGGCUGCCAAACGGAUGGACUCCAUCGGUGCUCGCGCCCAGCACGAUGUUCCAUGGAUCGUCCCCAAAUUCUGGGUAUUCGUAGUUCAACGAUUGCCACUGGCUCGCAUCCUUAGGGUGACUCAGCAUCUUCUCUUUUUUAUUUAUCUCCGGAUCAUUUCCAUCAUCUUCUUGCUUUUUCUCCACCCUAUCCGCAUGCCAACACAGGAGCUUUGCUACCUUAGGGUCCGCGAAAUACCGUUGCAGACGAGGAGUGAUCGGAAAGUACCACACCACUUUUUGAGGAGCUUUCUUCCUCUUCUUGUAUCGACUAACGCCGCACACCGGACAUAUGGUAGACUCCGCGUGCUCGUCCCGAUAAAUGAUGCAAUUGUUAAUGCACACAUGGUAUUUCACGUGCGGUAAAUCCAGAGGACACACGAUUUUCUUCGCCUCCUCGAAACUGGUUGGGCACUUGUUCCCCAUGGGAAGACGUUCGUGCCAGAAUGACAUGUUCUCGUUGAAGCAUGCGUCGGUCAUUUUGUGUUUUACCUUCAUCUCCAGAGCCAUGAGCGUUACUUUCAGGCGGGUAUCCUCGGCCCUACAUCCUUCAUACAAUGGAGUAACUGCGACCAUCUCCAAUUGAUCCAGCUUGGCUUUCUCUCGGGCGGCAGCUCUUGCGUUAUCCGUCUGCUUGAGAAGCAGCUCUUGAAUAUGAGGGUCCUGCACCCAGGCCAUCGAUGGUCCAUCGUCGUCUGCUCCGGCAUCUUCAUCUUCAUGAUCAUGCCCUUCGUCUGCUCCGGCAUCUUCCUCAUCAUCAUGUCCGGCAUCUUCUACAUGAUGACUGUGUCCUGGAGAUUCUUCGUCUUCUCGCCCGCCCUCGCCGCGGUUGUCUUGCUCAUGCCCUUCCUCAUUUCUUUCCCGGCCCCCAUGGACGAAUUCAUAAUCAUCUUCAUCACCUUGCCACCGAUAGCCAUCCAUGAAACCACACAAGAGCAGGUGGUCCCGCACCUUUACGGAAUCCGGGUCCAUAAGGCUCUUCAGCUUGCAUCUUCGACACGAACAUCUUAUCUCCGUCUCGUUCUUUUGAAGCAUCUCGGCCUUCGCGGAGCUCAAAAACCUAUUCACGAUGCCUUCGGUCAUCGUGCGGACCAUGGUCGCCUACGGGGUAGAGCAAAACGAUAUUUUAGAACCAAAAAAAAUUGGCAUGACUUUGCCUAAAAAUAGGACAAAAAAGAAUGCAUAGUGCCAAAUUCUCGCCGAAACGGAAAUGAAUCAACAUUCUGGGAAAAUAUUGGCAACUAUCGCAUUUCAAAUACCGGUACCUGCAAACACAAACAUAUAUGCAACACCACAAACAUAUGCAACACAACAAACAUACGUAGAUCUAGCUAGGCCAUAAAAAGUGCAUGUGCACGUUGUUGGAGGGAGAAAAAGUAGAUCUACAACAUAAAAGCUUGGAGGAGGAGGUGGAGAGUAUGAAAGUGGGGAAAGUGGGUGUGGUAGGUGGCUGUCCAAAAUAUCUAGCUGGUCCCAGGUUACUAAUGGCGCACCACCUACAUAUGCGCCAUUAGUAACCCUGGUUACUAAUGGCGCACCUCCUCUGGUGCGCCAUUAGUAGUUCUGUAAAAAAAAUUAGUAGUGGCGCACCACCAACAGAUGCGCCAUUAGUAACACUGGUUACUAAUGGCGCACUAGCUUUGGUGCGCCAUUAGUAGUUUGCAAAAAAAAACCAAUUUUUUUAUAGUAGUGGCGCACUACUAACAGAUGCGCCAUUAGUAACCAGGUUACUAUUGGCGCACCAGGUGCUAGUGCGCCANGCGCACCUCCUCUGGUGCGCCAUUAGUAGUUCUGUAAAAAAAUAUAGUAGUGGCGCACCAAGAGUGUGGUGCGCCAUUAGUAUCCAGCACACUAAUGGCACACCUCACAUGGUGCGCCAUUACUAUAUAGUAGUGGCGCACGGCUUGUGUGGUGCGCCAUUAGUAUCUAUUUCAUCUAUAGCCCUUUUCCUAGUAGUGUCGUGAACAUCAUAUGCUUGGAAAAGAUAUAUUCAUAUAUCAACUUGGAGCUAAGUACUUAUGCUUUAUUAUUAUUGACUUUACCCAUGAGGUGAAUGGUUGGGAGGCAAACUAUAAGUCCAUAUCUUUCUCUGUGUCCAACUGAAACUUCGAUACCAUGAGUACCACGUGAGUUGUAACAAUUGUGGAAAACAAAAGAGAUGAUUGAGUAUGUGGAUUUGCUUUACAAGCUCUUAUUUGACUCUUUCUGAUAAUAUGAUAAAUUGCAAUUGCUUCAAUGACUUUGGACAGUUGUUGGCCACUUCUCGAUAAGGUUUUUGUUUCAUACUUUUCUUCGUGAAGGAAUUGUUACUUUCCCAUAAGAAUCUCUAUGAUGCAUUCACUAGUAGAAAACAUGGCUACCGUUCGGCCCUGGCCAGCCCAUUAGUCCCGGUUCUUCAAGAACCGGGACCAAUGGGGGUAUUAGACCCAGUUCGUGAGCCCAGGGGGCCGGUCGGGGCCUCGUGGGCAUUGGUCCCGGUUCGUGUGGAACCAUUUUUCCCGGUUCGAGCCACGAACCGGGACCAAUGGUCCUUGCUCAUGGCCCACAACCUUUAGUCCCGGUUCAUGCCACGAACCGGGACAAAUAACUUGCCUACAUAUAUACCCACCGCCGCGGCAGAGCACUCCACAGUGCUCUGUUUUUGUCGAGCCGGCGAGGGGAGGGCUUUUGGGUGCUCUAGUUCACCUUCGAUGCACAUGAGGUGUUCGAUGAAAUGGCCGAGCCACACUAGUUAAGCUUUCUCCUCUCGAAGCUCGACCUCUGAGCUCCAUUUUCAACGAGACUUGUCUAGAUUUAGCGGUCCAUCAUGCCCCGUCCUCGUCCCGUCUUCCCCGCCAUCGAUCGCUCGCGCCAAUCUCGUCGCCGGCACCACCGUUGUGAGCCUCUUGUUCUUAUCUUCUUUCUGAAAGAAAAAAAUUCUGACUUCAGAUAGAUACUUGUCUAAUUUUCUUACUUUCAUUAUUCCUUGUUAUUAUAUAGUGUGACGGUUUCGGUAUCCGCCCCCGUCAGUCCUCGUCCUAUCUAUGAUUCAGAUGUGGUAUAUAUUAUAUUUUCAUAACUAUUUGGUUCAUUUAUUGUUUAUGACAAUUAUGAUGACCAACUUGACAUAUAUUUUUAAUCUAGGAGGUAUGUGAACCGGAAAUUCCAGCCCACCUAGAAAUUCUUCUCGAUAACUUAACUUUGGUUGAAAAAGAAAACAAAUACUUGAAGGAAAAAUUGAAAAUAAUUGAGGAUAAGAAUAUGGAAAUGGAGUUGCAUGUUGCCGAGGUCAUUGACGAUCGCAAGAUGAAGAUCGAUGCGAUGCGGUUGAAGAUGGAUGCAAUGCGCUUGAAGAUUAGGAAUAUUAGAAAAUAUUCCAUUGAUAAUGAGGCUUGGUAUCAUUAUGUUGUUGGGUCAAUUGUUACCCUACUUGCGAUUUUGAUCGCGUUUGUUGUUGCAUUUAAAUGUUUUACAUAGUUGUAUGUUGUUUUAUGAGAGAACUUUAUGUAUUUAUUUUUCAAUAAUAACAUUUGAUCACUAUUGUGCUUUGGUUUUAAUGUGAUGAUGAACUUGUAUUAAUUUGGUCAUUUCUCUAUUCAUUUUGUUCUGCAAUGGUUUUUUGAUAUAUACUUAAUUUCAUAAUAGAGAUGAACUGCCAGUGGAUGUAUGGUGACCGACGCACUUUGGAGUACAUUACGAACCGGGACUAAUGCCCGAGUCGAAAAGGGUUGUAAAUUGAUAAUGUGGCUUUGAAUGGUGCAUUUUGAACACAGAAAAACUAUGGAGUUCAAAUAAGUUCAAAAAAAUGAAAUCCCUUUGUAACAAACGAGUUUUCCGUAUUAAACCCUGAUACUUCGAAAGAGAUUGUCCGUUUUGUACACGAAGUGCAUCCAGUUUUUGCUGUAACCCUCCCAAAUUUCUCGCACAUGCUAUGUGGGUGAAAUGAUGAUACCAUGCCAACUUGGAACCUUUUCCGAGUUAAUUUCAAAUGCUUUUCAAUUUCAUGGUCUUAUAGCUCAAAAUAAUCAGUAAAUGCAUGAAAAAUAACAAAUUAAGUUAGAAAGGGUUGUAAAUUGAUGAUGUGGCUUUGAAUGGUGCAUUUUGAACACAGAAAAACUAUGGAGUUCAAAUAAGUUCAAAAAAAUGAAUUCCCUUUGUAACAGACGAGUUUCCGUAUGAAACCCUGAUACUUCGAAAGAGAUUGUCUGUUUUGUACACGAAGUGCAUCCAGUUUUUGCGGUAACCCUCUCAACUUUAUCGUACAUGCUAUGUGGGUGAAAUGAUGAUACCAUGCCAACUUGGAACCUUUUCAGAGUUCAUUUCAAAUGCUUUUCAAUUUCAUGGUCUUAUAGCUCAUAAUAAUCAGUAAAUGCAUGAAAAAUAACAAAUGAAGUCAGAAAGGGUUGUAAAUUGAUGAUGUGGCUUUGAAUGGUGCAUUUUGAACACAGAAAAACUAUGGAGUUCAAAUAAGUUCAAAAAAAUGAAAUCCCUUUGUAACAGACGAGUUUCCAUAUGAAACCCUGAUACUUCGAAAUAGAUUGUCCGUUUUGUACACGAAGUGCAUCCAGUUUUUGCCGUAACCCUCUCAACUUUCUCGCACAUGCUAUGUGGGUGAAAUGAUGAUACCAUGCCAACUUGGAACCUUUUCAGAGUUCAUUUGAAAUGCUUUUCAAUUUCAUGGUCUUAUAGCUCAAAAUAAUCAGUAAAUGCAUGAAUAAUAACAACUGAAGUCAGAAAGGGUUGUAGAUUGAUGAUGUGGCUUUGAAUGGUGCAUUUUGACACAGAAAAACUAUGGAGUUGAAAUAAGUUCAAAAAAAUGAAAUCCCUUUGUAACAGACGAGUUUCCGUAUGAAACCCUGAUACUUCGAAAGAGAUUGUCCGUUUUGUACACAAAGUGCAUCCAGUUUUUGCCGUAACCUUCUCAACUUUCUCGCACAUGCUAUGUGGGUGAAAUGAUGAUACCAUGCCAACUUGGAACCUUUUCAGAGUUCAUUUCAAAUGCUUUUCAAUUUCAUGGUCUUAUAGCUCAAAAUAAUCAGUAAAUGCAUGAAAAAUAACAAAUGAAGUUAGAAAGGGUUGUAAAUUGAUGAUGUGGCUUUGAAUGGUCCAUUUUGAACACAAAAAAACUAUGGAGUUCAAAUAAGUUCAAAAAAAUGAAAUCCCUUUGUAACAGACGAGUUUCGUAUGAAACCCUGAUACUUCGAAAGAGAUUGUCCGUUUUGUACACGAAGUGCAUCCUGGUUUUGCCGUAACCCUCUCAACUUUCUCGGACAUGCUAUGUGGGUGAAAUGAUGAUACCAUGCCAACUUGGAACCUUGCUUUUCAAUUUCAUGGUCUUAUAGCUCAAAAUAAUCAUUAAAUGCAUGAAAAAUAACAAAUGAAGUCAGAAAGGGGUGUAAAUUGAUGAUGUGGCUUUGAAUGGUGCAUUUUGAACACAGAAAAACUAUGGAGUUCAAAUAAGUUCAAAAAAUGAAAUCCCUUUGUAACAGACGAGUUUCCGGGACUAAAGAUCGAGCGAAAUCAUGUGGCGUGACGCGCAAACACGUGGCGUGCCGCAUAUGUUAUUAGUCCCGGUUCAGGACAAAAACCGGGACUAAAGAUCCAGCGAAACCACAUGGCAUGCCGCAUAUGUUAUUAGUCCCGGUUUUAGAUACGAACCGGGACUAAAGGAUUGCCUAUAUAAACCCUCCCCCCUCCCACCCCUCUCUUGUGUUUUUGGGCGUUGAGGUGUGAGCAUGCAUUCCCUGCUCUUGCCACUCUAGCUCAUGCAUAUGAGAGAAGAAGAAUGCCGACUGUUGUUAUGGGGGUCGCUCUUCCUUCUUCUCUUUGUGCUAGAUAUUUGUUAUGCAAUAGAGGAAGAAGGAAUAGCGGCGAUCAUCGACGGUCGAAAAAUCAGGUGAGGGAGUGUCCACCAUAUAUGAGAGAAACUUUAAUAGAAAAAAUAAUUAUCAUAAAAUAAAAUUAAUAAGUAAUUAUAAACAAAAUAAAAUNNNNNNNNNNNNNNNNNNNNNNNNNNNNNNNNNNNNNNNNNNNNNNNNNNNNNNNNNNNNNNNNNNNNNNNNNNNNNNNNNNNNNNNNNNNNNNNNNNNNNNNNNNNNNNNNNNNNNNNNNNNNNNNNNNNNNNNNNNNNNNNNNNNNNNNNNNNNNNNNNNNNNNNNNNNNNNNNNNNNNNNNNNNNNNNNNNNNNNNNNNNNNNNNNNNNNNNNNNNNNNNNNNNNNNNNNNNNNNNNNNNNNNNNNNNNNNNNNNNNNNNNNNNNNNNNNNNNNNNNNNNNNNNNNNNNNNNNNNNNNNNNNNNNNNNNNNNNNNNNNNNNNNNNNNNNNNNNNNNNNNNNNNNNNNNNNNNNNNNNNNNNNNNNNNNNNNNNNNNNNNNNNNNNNNNNNNNNNNNNNNNNNNNNNNNNNNNNNNNNNNNNNNNNNNNNNNNNNNNNNNNNNNNNNNNNNNNNNNNNNNNNNNNNNNNNNNNNNNNNNNNNNNNNNNNNNNNNNNNNNNNNNNNNNNNNNNNNNNNNNNNNNNNNNNNNNNNNNNNNNNNNNNNNNNNNNNNNNNNNNNNNNCUGGGGAAAAAAUAAAAACAUUGCCACCAACUCGGCCACCACGGCCUGAAUACGACUAGAAAACCAUCCAUGGGCCAGGAUUCACGCCCGCAGUAGGUCCAGAAGGCCCAUCACGCAAAGCAUUAGCAAGUAGGCACGUAAGCCUGCAGUGGAGAGGAGCUCGAGAGGGGUGCGGCAGUGGGGCUUAUAAACCACUGCGCGCCCCUCUCAACUAGCGAGGUGGGACUAAACAUUGGCCGCGACGCGGGUAGCACAGGGGCCUUUGGUACCGGUUCGUGGCACCAACCGGUACCAAUGCCGACCCUUUAGUCCCGGUUGGUGCCACCAACCGAGACCAAAGGUCACUUUUCAGCAGCCCAAAGGGCGGGAAGCGGCGGCCUUUCGUCCCGGUUGGUGGCACCAACCGGGACUACAGGGGGAAUUGGUACCGGUUGGUGCCACGAACUGAUACCAAUGGCUUUGCUAUAUAAGCCAGCAGUUGUGAAAAUUUCGUCAGUAUCUUCGAUUCCUCCGACGACGACGCCAGGCUGNGUUCUCUAUGCAUAUAAAAGUUAGAUUUUUAGUACAUUUGGGUACAUUUUAGGUUAGUUUUAUCUAUAUAUGUUCUCUGAUUUAGUACAUUCUAGGUUAGUUUCAUUUUUUAAAAAGUUUUAUAUAUUUAGGAAAAGAAGGAAGAGAAGGAAGAAGGAAGAANNNNNNNNNNNNNNNNNNNNNNNNNNNNNNNNNNNNNNNNNNNNNNNNNNNNNNNNNNNNNNNNNNNNNNNNNNNNNNNNNNNNNNNNNNNNNNNNNNNNNNNNNNNNNNNNNNNNNNNNNNNNNNNNNNNNNNNNNNNNNNNNNNNNNNNNNNNNNNNNNNNNNNNNNNNNNNNNNNNNNNNNNNNNNNNNNNNNNNNNNNNNNNNNNNNNNNNNNNNNNNNNNNNNNNNNNNNNNNNNNNNNNNNNNNNNNNNNNNNNNNNNNNNNNNNNNNNNNNNNNNNNNNNNNNNNNNNNNNNNNNNNNNNNNNNNNNUUUUUCUUAUUUUUUUCUUCGAUUGCUUCUCUUCUAUUCCUUUCUUCUUCUCCUCUUUUUAUUUCUUCUUUUGUCUUCUUAUUUAUUAUCGGGUAUGUCGUUGUCGAUAUACCCCCUCCCGAUCGAACUUCAACACGAGGGGGGGUACCGAUAUACCCCCUCCCCGAUAACAUUAUUUUCCCAUGUAUAUGUAUGUCGCGUCGUUGUCGAUAUAACCCCCAACCGGAUAAGUUCGACAUGAGGGGCGGUCGAUAUAUAUACCCACUCUCGACCGUGAUAACUUAUACCACGGGAGCACCCCCCUCGGCCCUCUCGCUCGACCAAAACCCUCGAGGACACCAAAACCCUAGAGAAAAAACGAUGUUGGUCUCCUACCCCCUCCCGCCGCACCCCUACCCGACAAACUCUCUCGAGGCCACCCAAAUUUACCAAGUUAAAAGAACGUUGUCAUCGAGGCCACCCCAAACCCUUGAAGUGUUGUGUCGAGGCCACCCCAAACCCUUGAAGCGUUGUCUAGGCCACCCCAAACCCUAGAGAAGCAGCGUCGAGGCCACUAACAUGAUUCCUUAUUGUGAUUAGCUAUCUAGUUCUACGUUUUCCACUAAUAUAUAUCCAUCUGUACCAUGUUUGAAUAAUAAUUGACAUGUUGUAAAUACUUGCAGAAACUAUGGAUCACUCCCGAGAGGAAGAGGAAGAAGCGAUGUUGGGGGAGAUAAUCGCACAAGGAAGUGAUGUCAUUGCGUCAUUUCUCAGAGACACCGAUGGUCUCGAAGGACCGGGUGAAGAAGAGGGCUAUGUUCAUGAUGAUCUGGAAGGACCGGGUGAAGAAGAGGGCGUUCAUGAUGAUCUGGAAGGACCGGGUGAAGAAGAGGGCGUUCAUGACGGCUCUGUUGACCGAACCGAGUCCGGCCAGGUAUAUAUAUAUUAGUUAAGCCCGUGCUGACUAGUUAAUUGAUGCAUUCAUUGUUUUCAUAUGUACACAUAUUAAUUAACUCUCGUCUUUCUUCUUUUUUCUCUAGCCCUCCGGAUCGACCUCAACUUCGGUAAAGAAACAAGGCCCGAAGAAAAAGUUGCGCUCGGAUGAAAGGUUUGAGAUCACAGCAAUCGCGCGCGAUGGCAAGCCGAUUGAACCAAUCCGAACAAGGGGUGCAUUUCGUGCUUAGUGUGGGGUUCUUGUUAGGGACAAGAUCCCGAUCAAUAUCCAACAAUGGUUAAAGCCAAAGAAGGAAGACCCUGAGGUGCCGACGUCUUAUGUCUCUGAUAAACAGAAAGAAGAUCUUUGGACAACGCCUAAGGAAAAUUAUACCCUACCGCCAGAGGAGGAUCCAGAGAAGCCAGUUAAAGAGGAAUUGAUCAAGUCUCAUUCCCUUAAGAAGAUGGCAGAACUAUUCAGGAGGUGGAAGAAUGAGCUGAAAACGUUUGCAGACAAAGAAGAGACACCAGAAUUCACCGGCCGGUUUGAGAAGAUCAGAGAUCAAUGGCCCGCAUUUGUGGCCCACAAGGCAUCGGAAAAGAGUAAGAAGAUGUCAGCGACAAACAAGAAAAAUGCUGCGAAGAAGAAGCAUCACCAUCGCACGGGGUCAGGUGGUUAUCUCAAAGCCCGACCUUUGUGGGACAAGGCUGAGAAUGACCUGAUUGCUAAAGGGGUCGAACCAGAGACAUUGAGAUGGCCAGACCGUUGCCGGACUUGGUUCUUCGGGGCUGGUGGAACCUUGGACCCUGUAUCAGGGGAGUGCGUUUGGACGGAAGAGCAACUGCGAAUACCCGUCAGGAAGCUUCAACACUAUAUCGCGGCAGCACGGGAAGGGGCGUUCAUUCGAGACAGAGAGAAUGACGAGCUCACAAUGGCCCUCGGGAAUCCUGAGCACUCUGGACGGACACGAGGCACGCCAGGCUCCCUUCCGUGGAAGGCUGGGUUUCCGGACGGAGGGGGUUACAAAACCCAGAGAGGAGGAAGAAAGCGUAGCAUAGCCAACUGCACGCGUUGCACGAAAGGGUACAAGGGCUAGAGGAAUGAGAAGCAGAUCGCAGCAAACGACCUGCUGAAGCUUCCCCUGAAGCUACCCCGCCAUCUCAGUGGAUAAGCAGUGUGGCUUCCACCGAGCAAACUCAGCAGCUGGAGCCUGUCUCCACGUGCUACCCCGUGGAUGCUAUCACAGAGUCUCAACAUUGCUACCUUAUGACGCAAUGGAUGACAUUCAAAGUCAAGGUGGUUGUUGGCUCUGUUAUACCUAAUGAACCUGGCUCAACCUACCACGGCCAGCCGAUUCCAGAAGGAUAUGCUAGGGUGAUGGUGGAUCAAAUAAUGGAAGGAUUUGAGGACCUUGAGCUUCACCACCCUACGGGUGAAGGGGAGAUUUGGCUGGGUUCUUCUCUGAAGACUCCAUGCCUAUGGCGGAAGGAGAUCAUCCACCUUCCAAACUGGACGCCUCCGCCUCCUCCUCCUCCCCCUGUGACUCAGGAUCCGCCUCCUCCGGCGAGUGAUCGGGGCACUCAGCCUCCUUCUCCGGCGCGUGACGGCACUCUGCCUCCUUCUCCGUCUGCGCCGCCGCGCCCGAGCAGCCAGCUGCCUCCUCCUUCUCCGCCUCGUCAACAAGGGCUGAAGAGACCCGCCGCCGCUCCGGCUCCUCCGACGCGUAGUCCUUCUCCUUCGCCUGGUAAUAAAGGAACGACAGUCGCAGCCGCUCCGUCUGCUCCGACGUGUAGCAAUAUAGCCAGAGGCAGGCAAUACAAAUACGGUCCUUCUCUGAAGCCUCUAGAGAAGUUACCAAACGAGAGGAGCCCGGAGGAAAACGAGAAGAUCGUGGAAGCCGAAGUGAAGAACUUCUUCGAAAGGGUGAAAGCAAAAAAACAUCCACCUUCGGAGGAGAAGAUAGAUCCGGUAAAAGCAAAGCGUACUCUGGCUGCUCUGAAGAAACCACCAAAGUCUCCGACGAAAGGCAACUAUGAGCGCAUUAUUACAAAGUCAUUUAUCGAAGCGCAGCGGUCGGGGAGUACUGUCAGUGAUCAAAGGUUAGCAGAACGACGAGCUGGGAAAAAAGUUGCCCAGCUCGGCGAACAAGCGAACCAAUCGUUCCCCCCGCUCAAGGUGUCUAGCGAUAUCAUCGCUAAUCAUCCGGGGAUCUUGUUCCCCGGUACCAAUCCUGCAGAUUACCUGCCCGAUGAUGCACAUUUUGAUUUAUUGGAGGUGGACUAACACAAAUACUUGUACGGGAAGCCUCUCGUCAAAGAUGAAAGAUCUCUAACAAUGAUGAUGCGAAGAUUCCAUGAUUGGUACAUGAAAACUUGCAAAGAGUCUGGGGGGACUGAUAUUUUGACGCUGGGAGUUAGAAAGGAGCAUGACCUCGUUGGACUUGAACUGUUGAUGGUUCCAUUUGAGGAGUUCUUCCCGUUUUUCAAUCUAAAGGCCCUCGAUAAAUUAACGAUCACUUGCUACUACCUGUAAGUAGUACUACUUCUGUCAUUAAGUCUCUAUAUAUAGGUCAGCUCUUUCAUUGCAUGUAUUUUUAAUUAUCCUCACUAUAUUAUAUGCAGAUUGAAGAUCGUCGAAUUGAAGAAAAGACAAAUCGGUGAUAUUGGGUUCAUUAACACAAAUCUCGUAGAUGCAUUUAUGAUUAAAUCUCAGGCCAAAGAUACCGAGGCAACCUUCUACAAUCGUUUGUAUUGAAUCAAAACAAAGCUAUAAUACUCUUCCCUUACGAAUUCCAGUGAGUGUUACUGUCUUGUGCAUAUUCGGUUUCCCUUAUUAGUCAAGGUUAUUGUAAUGUAAUUCAUGAGUUAUGCAUGUGUGCGCAGCUUCCACUAUAUUCUCCUAGAGAUUAAGCUUCAGCAGGGACUAGUAACCGUCUUAGACUCGAGACGAAAAGAUCCCAACGAGUAUGCAGACAUGACUGAAAUUCUAGAGAAGUAAGUUAAAUCGAUCAUUAUCGCACACUACAACAAAACAAACUUUAAGUAACACAAUCACAUUUUUGAGGUAAAACAAAGGUAAUGUUAAUACAUGGCUAUAUUAUUGCUUGUCAGUUGAAACUUUCGUAUUAAUAUUUCGGUUUGCAGAGAAUCCAAUUCAAUGGACCUGUUGAGGCAUGCUCGUCUAUGUAACAUCACAUUUUUUUCAGGAAAUUAAUUUAUCAUGUCCUCUAGACAAGGUUUUGCCUACAGUUACUCUUACUCACGUCACAACAUUGAAUAUAAAAUAGUUACUUGCUUACCACUGUUGUGUCAUACAAUUAUAUUGGCGAGCAUGAUGUCAACCAAUUACAAAUUCAGGAAAAUUCAUCAUCGCCACAAGACCUCGUUAUCGAUUUUGGGCUAGAGGUAAUUGUGUGCUUUUGUGUUUUGAAGGUGCAGCUUUGUGUAGCUUCAACAUAUGAAUAUCAUUCAUCUAAUACUAUUGUCUAUUUGUAGGUGAUGAAAACAAGGGAUCUUACGCAUGAAUAUUUUUCAAGACUGAACCACACCCAGCUCAUGCUAAAAAAAACGUACUUAUUUGAUCAAAGUAAAGAUCAGCCAAUGGCCAUCGUUUACUGCACCCAUAUUUCCAACCCAAACCACAUUAUCAUGCCUCUUUGAAAAAUGUAUUUUGUUACAAAUUUUGCUCAAUCUGUUAUAUGCAAGUAAAGGAUAAAUUUAACCAAGCAUGAGCUAGUGAGGUGACCUUGUGUAUUAGACUUCGAUGCCGGGUCCAGUUUAUUUAGGUUGUUGGGCACCUAUGCGGGGCUGACAUAAAAAAGAGAGCAUAUUGUUCAUGAAAAUUAUAUUAUCAUUAUCGCUCAAUGCUAAUAUGGAUCAUAAUAUAUGCAGGUUCCCAAGUAGUUUUAAAUACAAGUGGAAUGUUGCGUAUGGUACUAUUCCAACAAGUGGAAUGUUGUGCAUGGUACUAUUCAGAGUAUUGAUCCAAGAAGUAAGGCUCGUGGUAUUGAGUUAGGUGCUGAAUUUUCCCUUGUGCGCAUAGAUCAACCUAUUCUUAAUCAUGAGGAGUUGGUAAGGGUAGUUCUUCACUACAAGAUAAUUGGUGAUCCUUUCUCUUCAGGAUACUUAAUUGUUUGGCCGUCAUCUUUUGUAAGUUCAAAUCUUGUCUUCCACAUUCUGAAUACAUAUUAUUGUACAUUUAGUCACAUAUAUCCAAGGUGCAAUUCUCUUUUACAGAUUCGAGAGAAGGAUAAUUGAGUUGCAACUGAAUUCUUGGAUCUAGAAGCAAACAAAAUUUCAAGAUUUUAACUACCAAUAGUCGUAGUUUUACAUUCAUAGAUUGCAAAAUGUAAUAUCAUCCACAAGAUCUUUUUCUUUUAUUGAAUUGAUGCAAGUGCUAUGCUGUAAUAUUCUUCAAAGUUGUGUUUUUUAUUCUGAGAGUGAUAUGUAUGAUAUCUUUAUUAUAAUACAUAUGUAUCAUGCACUCAUAUAUCUCUCUAAAAUAUCUUCAUGUUUUGAAUUUACAUAUGUGUUGUGCUUCAAUUUCUAUAUCAUUUUGAUGAUGCCAAGCAUAAUAAUAAAAUGAUUAACUGCGCAAUUGCAUUCGUUUUAUUAAAUAUAAUCAUACUCCAUAAAAUGGGUACAAAUUUUAUGGUUAAUAAUAAAAAAAGUACAUCAAUUAUGUUACCAUAUUGAUACAAUAGUGUUACUGAUGGUGUUACUAUAGUUACAUAAAAUGUUACUAGAGUAGGUGACAACUAAAAAUUAUAGUGUUACGAUAUUUGGAUACUGCGUUACUAGUUGUGUUUCGACGACAAAAAAAUGUGUUACCAGUUGUGUUACUAUAGUUACAGAAACAUGUUACCAUUAAUGUUUUACACCUGUGAAAACAUGUUACUAUGGGUGUUACUGCAUUUACAAAAAAGUGUUACCAGUGUGUUUUGUAACACAUAAUAUGGAUGUUACUAUAAUGUAAAAUGUAACACAUUUUUUAAUAUAUGGUAAUGAUUACUAUGUGUGACCGUUGAAAUAACUUUGUAACACGGUCUAACGGAACACAUUUUAAAUUGUGUUACCAUAUGACCUAGUGAAAAGACCUCGAUGACGCCUAGAGGGGGGUGAAUAGGCUAUUUAAAAACUUCUUCGGAUUUGGCUUAAACCUAAUGCGGAAAUAAACUAAGAGGAUACUUGUCAAGCACAAAUCCUAAAUGCACUAGGCACUGCAACGUGUAUCAACAACACGAUCUACCAAGAUGGACAAAACAUAGUUACUAACAAGCACAAGUAAGUUACACAAACUUACUUGAGCUAUAUCACAUGACAAGUAGGUGAACAACACAAGAUACUAGAUCACACUAGCACACGAUAUAUCAAAAGCUGCAAGUGUGAACGUGUGGAUAUAGAAGGUAUGCUUGAAUGAUUAAUCUUGUACAAGAAAUAGCCAACACAAUAUAAUGAGCACAAACAAUAUGCAAUGUAUGUAUGCUCAAGUAACACAAGUAAACCACAAGUAAGGAGUUAGGGUUAAGGAUAACCAAGGUCACAGAGACGAAGAUGUAUCCCGAUGUUCACUUCCUUGGAGGGAAGCUAGUCACCGUUAGAGAGGUGGAUGUUACCACAAAGGCACACCAACGCCACGAAGGCUCACCCUAUUCUCCCUUUGAGAUAACACCACGAAGGAGUUUCUCAACCACUAGUGGUAAGCCUUUCAGGUGGCUUCCAAACCCUCACAAACUUUUUCGGGGGGUAAUCACACGGAUUGAUUCCUCUCCGAAGUACUCCUACCGCCUAGGAGUCUCCAACCUCCAAGAGUAACAAGAUCACAGGGAAUGCUCAAAACUUGCUCAAAUCUCAAAUAGCUUGGGUUGAGAGAAGGAGAGGGAGACGACCUAUCUUUUGAUUGGAACAACUCUCGAAGGGGCUCACAAAUGCUCUUGAGAUCUAAGAUUUGGUGUGAGCAAAUAUGUGUGAGGUAGAAAUGAGUUCUUAUGAGGAUAAGGCUGUGUUGGGGCCCCCUCUCACGAAGUGGGAGGGGGUAUUUAUAGUGAGGAGAGAAAAACACCCGUUGGGGACACUUUAAGUCACACAGGGGUCGGACAUCCGGCAGUUUACGGAAGUCCGGGCGUCCGCAAGGGGUCAGACGUCCGACAGGGGUCGGUCGUCCGAGAGCUGUAGAUAUGUCUCGAAACACUGUGAGUUGAACAGGGACCGGACGUCCGGAGAAGGCCGGAAAUCCGAGUUAUUCGACUCAACUUCUUCUGGUGCAAGGUUCCGGAUUUCCGAAAGUGGACGGACAUCCGGCCCUCGGACGUCCGGAGGGAGCCGGAAGUCCGAGUUAUAUGGCUCAAGUUCUUCUGGUGCAAAGCUCCAGAUUUCCAAAGCUGGUCGGACGUCCGGCCCUAGGACGUCCGGAGGGAGCCAAAAAUCCGAGUUAUAGAGCCCAUGUUCUUUUGGUGCAGGGCUCCAGAUUUCCUAAGCUGGUCGGUUGACCGGCCCUCGGAUGUCCGGAGGGAGCCGGAAAUCCCAGUUAUAGGGAUCAAGUUCUUCUGGUGCAGGGCUCCGGAUUUCCGAGGCCUGUCGGUCGUCCGACCCUUGACCGGCCCUCGGAAGUCCGGAGGGAGCCGGAAGUCCGAGACAUUAGACCAGUUUUGAGAUAGGAGCAGAGUAGAGAAUAUGUGUUAUUGAGCAGAAUAGUGGAUAUCUAGUUUGAGCAAGUUCAUCACAAAAACCUAUGAUCCCCUCUUAAUAGUGCGGGAUCCCUAAAGACUCAAGAAUUGUAACAGGGAUACCGAUGAUCCAUACUUGAGUGUGUACUUUUAUUCGCUGAUCAUCACUCCGCACCGCUAACAUCAAAGUAACUGAUACCUUGAGUUAGCCCUUUCACUUGAGCUUGAUGUUGUUGUUCGUUCUUGGCUCAAGUUGAAAGCAAGACAUGAUGAAGUCUUCAAGUAGCUCUCCCAUACACAAUGUGGAAAGCCUAGCUUAUGUAUUCAUCUUCAUUUGUCCAUCAUGUGAACAUCCACAAGAAUCAAGCAUGUAGUGCUCAGGAAUGCUUAUCUUGAUCUUGUCCUUGUUAGCACAUGAGCUUGUCCUUAUCAACACAUGAUCAUUAACAAUAGUUUCAAUGAUAUAUUCGUGCUGAUCCACUUGAACUUGCACACCACAAUCUUGAUGACGAUCACCACUUGACGUCAUCCUUCAUGGGUUGUAUGAGAUCUUCCUUUUGACGCAAGCCCAUGGAAGCACACCUAACCCCCACAUAGGACUCUCACAAAGACCAUGCGUUAGUACACAAACAUGUAAUGGACAAUGCUUACCAUACCAUGGGAUCACUUGAUCCCUCUCGGUACAUCUUAUACGCUUUGUGUGUUGAUCAUCUUGAUUUACUCUUUGUCUGAGAUCUUGAUCAACCUAGUGUCUCUAUGACCAUUCUUUGGAUAAUACCUUGAAUACCAUCUUGGUCAUCAUAUAAACUCCUUGAACCCAACAGAUGGACUUCAAGAAGUGCCUAUGGACAAAUCCUAUAAAUAUAACUUAAGGCAACCAUUAGCCCAUAGGAAUUGUCAUCAAUUACCAAAACCACAUAUGGAGAUAUAUGCUCUAACACCUAGUAACACACUUUUGGGCUUGUAGUAACACAAGACAGUGUUACAAAAGCUCUGUCAUGUCGUAGUGGCACCAUAUCGGCAACUUUGUUCAUUUCCUGAUAUCAAGUAAUUGUUUUCUUUGUCUGACAGGGUUUGGAAAAAAUUCACCGCAAAAACUCCGGGACUGCCGAAGAAGCUGCAAUUUAGACACCCGAAAGUAAGUACUAUAGUAGCAUGUUUCACGCAUCUCCUAGUGAUUCAAGCGCUAGUUUCAUCAAUACCAUUUAGCAUGCUUGCUAACUAUCAGUUUGAUUGACCUCUAUUUCUUGUAAAGUGGUUGUGGCAGGAACCAGGGAAUGAUUACAGUGGAUACUACAUUUUCGAGUCCAUCCGCCACGUGACCUGUGAGCGGGGCUACUCUGACAAACAAUAUGACGUGCGUAAAUAAUAAUAUUCACAAUUUUAUUUUAUUACCAUCAUUUGUGUUCAGUUUCAUUUAUUCAUAUAUAGGUAUUGACCCCCUUCUUCAAAUUAGAUAUAUCGGAUGCGGAAUGAACUCCUACCAGCAGAUCGUAUGCGAGGAAUUCAAGAGGAAUUGGCGGCAUUCUUUCUUGACCACGUGAUCGCUAAAGACGGAGAAUACCAUGUGAACCCUAACGAGUUGAAUUUUAAUUAGGAGAUUAUAUUGUAAGAGAUAAUUAUAUUGUAUAUAUGUAGCCAGUAGCGUUGGAUAGAUAUACGAGAACUUGUUGUUCGACCAAUCUCUCAGAGAAGGAGAGGUGGUCGAUAUCACUUCUCUUUGUAUGCAUAUGUUCAUGACGAUCUUCUGUUUCCUUCAUUUGCUUACUAGCUAGUGUGUCUAGUCCUCUCUAUACGUAUAGUAUGCAGCAGCGACCAAGCACGGAGAUAAGAGAUGACACUUCUCUCUAUUCAUUAGCUAGCUAACACAAUAUAUGAAACACCUAAAUUAACCCCCCAAAACCCCCAAACCCCCCCCCUUUCAAAAAAAAACCAUCACCUGAAAUGGUGACGCGUGGAUGCCUUUUGGUCCCGGUUGGUGUCACCAACCGGGACUAAAGGCCCCCCUGCCCGGGCUCGCCGCACCGGCCACGUGGAGGCCCAUCUGUCUUGGUUCGUGUAAGAACCGGGACUAAAGGCCAAGGGCAUUAGUAACGACCUUUUAGUCCCGGUUCCGAAACCGGGAUAGAAGGCCCUUACGAACCGGGACAAAAGGCCCUUUUUCUACUAGUGAUUGUUGUUCUAUGUGUGAUCAUAAUGCCCUCAUGUCCAUAUUUUGUUUUAUCGACACCUUCAUCCCUAAACAUGCGGACAUGUUUUGGGUCUUGGUUUUCGCUUGAGGACAAGCGAGGUCUAAGCUUGGGGGAGUUGAUACAUCCAUUUUGCAUCAUGCUUUUAUGUUGAUAUUUAUCGCUUUUUGGACUGUUAUUAUACUUUGUGGAACCUUACUUAUGCCUUUUCUCUCUUAUUUUGCAAGGUUUAUUUGAAGAGGGAGAAUACCGGCAGCUGGAAUUCUGGACUGGAAAAGGAGCAAGUCUGAGUCCUCUAUUCUGCGCAACUCCAAACGCCCUGAAAAUCAACUGAUUCUUUUUGGAUUUUAUAAAAAAUACUGGGUGUAAGAAGUGUUAGAGGGGAGCAACCAGGGGCCCACAAGCCUAGUUGUCGCGGCCUACCCUCCUGGUCGCGGCAACAGGGCUUGUGGGCACCCUGGCGGCCCAUUGGCCCCCCUCUUUUGCUAUAUGAAGGGUUUCGUCCGGAAAAAAAUCAGGAGGGAGCUUUUUUGUGGAUUCUCCGCCCCCACAAGGCGGAACUUGAGCAGAUCCAAUCUAGAGCUCCGGCAGGACGAUCCUGCCGGGGAAACUUCCCUCCCGAAGGGGGAAAUCGUCGCCAUCGUCAUCACCAACACUCCUCUCGUCGGAGGGGAGGCAUCUCCAUCAACAUCUUCAUCAGCACCAUCUCCUCUCCAAUCCCUAGUUCAUCUCUUGUAACCAAUCUCCGUCUCGCGACUCCGUUGGUACUUGUAAGGUUGCUAGUAGUGUUGAUUACUCUUUGUAGUUGAUGCUAGUUGGAUUACUUGGUGGAAGAGNAAGGUUUAUUUGAAGAGGGAGAAUACCGGCAGCUGGAAUUCUGGACUGGAAAAGGAGCAAGUCUGAGUCCUCUAUUCUGCGCAACUCCAAACGCCCUGAAAAUCAACUGAUUCUUUUUGGAUUUUAUAAAAAAUACUGGGUGUAAGAAGUGUUAGAGGGGAGCAACCAGGGGCCCACAAGCCUAGUUGUCGCGGCCUACCCUCCUGGUCGCGGCAACAGGGCUUGUGGGCACCCUGGCGGCCCAUUGGCCCCCCUCUUUUGCUAUAUGAAGGGUUUCGUCCGGAAAAAAAUCAGGAGGGAGCUUUUUUGUGGAUUCUCCGCCCCCACAAGGCGGAACUUGAGCAGAUCCAAUCUAGAGCUCCGGCAGGACGAUCCUGCCGGGGAAACUUCCCUCCCGAAGGGGGAAAUCGUCGCCAUCGUCAUCACCAACACUCCUCUCGUCGGAGGGGAGGCAUCUCCAUCAACAUCUUCAUCAGCACCAUCUCCUCUCCAAUCCCUAGUUCAUCUCUUGUAACCAAUCUCCGUCUCGCGACUCCGUUGGUACUUGUAAGGUUGCUAGUAGUGUUGAUUACUCUUUGUAGUUGAUGCUAGUUGGAUUACUUGGUGGAAGAGUUUAUGUUCAGAUCCUUGAUGCUAUUCAUUACACCUCUGAUCAUGAUUAUGAUUAUGCUUUGUGAGUAGUUACUUUUGUUCGUGAGGACAUGGGAUAAGUCAUGCUAAUAAUAGUCAUGUGAAUUUGGUAUUCGUUCGAUAUUUUGAUAUGAUGUAUGUUGUUUUUCCUAUAGUGGUGUUAUGUGAACGUCAACUACAUAACACUUCACCAUAUUUGGGCCUAGAGGAAGGCAUUGGGGAGUAGUAAGUAGAUGAUGGGUUGUUGGAGUGACAGAAGCUUAAACCCCAGUCUAUGCGUUGCUUCGUAAGGGGCUGAUUUGGAUCCACUAGUUUAAUGCUAUGGUUAGACGUUGUCUUAAUUCUUCUUUCGUAGUUGUGGAUGCUUGCGAGAUGGGUUAAUCAUAAGUGGGAUACUUGUCCAAGUAAGGGCAGUACCCAAGCGCCGGUCCACCCACAUAUCAAACUAUCAAAGUAACGAACGUGAAUCAUAUGAACAUGAUGAAACUAGCAUGACAGAAAUUCUGUGCGUCCUCGGGAGCGCUUUUCCUCUUAUAAGACUUUGUUUAGGCUUGUCCCUUGCUGCAAAAGGGAUUGGGCCACUUCCUGCACCGUUGCUACUACUUGUUACUUGUUACUUUUCGCUUGCUACGUUUCACCUCACUACACCAUCACUUGUUACCGCUACUUUCAGUGCUUGCAGUUAUUACCUUGCUGAAAAUCGUUUAUCAGAGCCUUCUCCCCCUCGUUGGGUUCGAGACUCUUACUUAUCAAAAGGACUACGAUUGAUCCCCUAUACUUGUGGGUCAUCAUCACCUACCAGUUAGAGCUACCAUCCGAAUUGUCAGAUGUGCAUGAUGUCUUUCAUAUCUCACAGCUAAGAAAGUGUAUUGCACCUCCAAUUAAGCAAGCAGAUAUGAGUGAGCUAGAAUUGGCUAAGGAUCUGACCUCUGAGGAGAAACCUGUCAGAAUCUUGGAUGAGGUGGAAAGAACUACCAGAAGUAAGGUGUUUAAGUUUUAUAAAGUACUGUGGGAACACCAUACUGAGGAAGAAGCUACAUGGGAGAGAGAAGAUUUCUUGAGAUUCGCAUAUCUAGACUUGUUCCCACAGCAACCGAAUCUCGAGGACGAGAUUCAUCCUAAGGGGGGUAGGUUUGUAACGCCCUGAUUUCUCAAAGCUUUUCUUUUCAAAAUAUUUUUGAAAAGCACUUGCAAUUUGGUUGAUUUUCAAGUUCUCAAAGCAAGUUGGAUUAAGAAAUCUUUGAAUUCUUGUCUCCAACAACCCAAAACCAUUUGCUUCAUACUCAAACCCUUCUGAGAUUUAUUUGCAAUAUUUUAUUUUUCUAAAUAAUUCAUUUUCCUAUUUUGGGAAUUAUGGCAACACUAUGGGUUGUGAAGCAACCCCUAGCUUGGAUGAGCUUUAAGUCCCAAAAAUUUUACUGCAUCUUCUCAUUGCCAUAUGAUUUCAAAAUAUGCAAAAAUAUUCCUUUGUCCAAUGGAGAAUUUUGGCCAGAAUAAUCAUUUUCAUUAUGAGUAGAACUUCCCCUUUGUGAAGCAACCCCUUGUUUCCUAUCUUGGAAAAUUCCAAAUAAAUUCAUGUAGUUACUAGAGAUCAUAUAUAGUUCCAAUAUGUAAAAACAUCCCAUGGUCCAAUACAAAUUUUGAGCAAAACAACUCUGCUAAGUUUCUAUUAACAGUGAACUCUUGUGAAGGAAGUGCUAGCUAGGAGUGCACAUUGGAGCUACAAAUUUUUGGGCAUCUGGGCACCACCAAAUGACUCUUCCCCACCAAAGGACGCUAGUAGCAAAGCUUGCAAUUGAGUGCUAGGAGCUCAUUUGUGUUCUGGACCAGAAAGGUGGUUUACAAAGGAACUAUAUUCAUUUGAUCUUCAAACCUUGCCAAACGUUGCCAGUUUAGAGUCUUUUCUAUGCUGAAUCCACCAGACAACAUCUCUUGCUCCAAUCCUUAUCCAUUUGAGCUCUAGAACCACCCAAACCUUGCUGGUAGAAACUGUUUUUGAUGCUCCAAGUCAAUGGUGAUGUUGUGUGAUCAAGCCAGCCAUGGGGAGUGACUAAUAAAGGGUCUAUCGACGCUAGAGACAAGGUGGCCAGGCUUGUGUGGCACCAGGGUGGCCAGAACCAUGGUGACCAUGCCACUGGCAUGCCACAGAGCGCGCUCUGCGCAACUCCAGUGACAGCCGAGCCGUCCCGAGUGGUCACACCCUGCCCCUCCUUGUCCUGAGCAUGGAUGAGCCCCCUGGCAGACGCGUGGCACCCCUCGAAGGUGUUGGGCCGCCAGAGAGCGCUGCCGCCGCUCCUGACCAAGCUCUGGCACAGGGCCGAGUUGUCGCCUCCGGCCACUGGGCCAGUCCACAUGCCAUUUAUGGCCAGGACCCAUCCCAUCGCGUCCCUGCCCUCCUCAGUCACCUCCAUGCACUCUGCGACGGCCAACUCAGCUCCUCGGCGACCGUGCCCGAGCCUAUCCUCACCACUUGGGGAGAAAUCGGUCGAGCUCGUCCCCGGCCUAUUUAAGGAGGAGCCCUACCUCUCCGAGCUCUCCAUCCCCCUCCUGCUCAUCCAGAUCGAGCUCCCGAAGAGCGAGCCAAGGCCCGAAGGCCCUCUGGCCUCAGAGCAUCACCGAAGUACUGCCGCCACCACCUCACCGUCCACAUCCUUCUCCCCAGCACCCAGAGCCAAAUUGAUUCCUCCAGUAGGUUCAGUGAGUCCUUCUGGUGCUCCUCGACCUCUCUCCCGAGCUCAUUUCCCCCUCAAACGCCAUCUCCGAUGAUCUCCUGAAGUUGCCGCCGCCAGAGAAGAAGGGGACGAUGUCGUUUGUCCACCUCUAGCCGAGCUGAUCGUACGUGCGAGAUCGCCGUGGACUGCCCGUUCCUUCCCGCUCAUUCCCUGGCGUCACCGUCGUCUCUAUCACCGGCGACCAUCGCCGGCCGGCUGCCUCGCCUCUGUCUCCCUCCUCUCCCUUCUGUUUAAAUCGGGCAGGCCCCACCUACCAGGGGCUGUGGCCUGCGGCCGAAGCGUUAAGUGGAGGCGCCCCUCCAGUUUACGUCUUCGACGUGGCCCUCCCCAGGUUUUCUUUUCUUUUUACUAUUUCAGUUUUUAACAGAAACUUUGACUGUUUAUAUCUUUUUAUCUAUAAGUCCAAAUCAUUUGAUUCUUUUUGCAUUGGGUUUGUAUUGAAAUUCUUUACAAUCUGGUAAAAUUUUGAAUUUUUCCCACACUCAAAGAAUUUCUGGUUAAUAAAAAGGUAUUUAAUGUUUUUCCUUUUCUUUUGCUAUUUCAAAUACAUUUUCAGAAGGAAACUUUGAAGACCAGGAGUGUUUGAACAACCCCACUGAUCAAGGCAAGCCAUUAUAUCCAUGUGAUGUAGUUUUGCAUAGCAUAGCUCACGUCCACAUGCAUUAAAAUUACUUAACUUGCUAAGAAAUAAUGAUUUAAUAAAUGAUCAUAUAGAUACACAUGUUUAUGAUUAUGAGUUACUAUGGUUGCGAUGAUAUGGUGGAUGAUCAUGAGUCACCUGACCGGGCAUAACCAUACAACCACCUCUUGACGGUAUGGGAAGGCCGUAACUUGGGCUGUCCGCAUGAUCUCUCACCGAUAUGCCCCAAAAAGGGAGGGUUAUGCAUGCGUGCCACCUUGGCCCGGUGGGCAGUGAUAACUCUGUGAGCCCAGUUAAGUUGAGUUGGGCCAGUCCCCGUUUGGGACAGUUUGUUUGGCCACGACGGUGGCAGGUGUCAUGAGGACACAGGUGUCACGAGGACACAGGGCCACCCAGGGCAGGACUCCAGAAGGGAGUGGUUGCCGGGGAUAUGAUGAGAGAUUCACGGGUCAGGCAAGUCUCGUUGGAGAAAUGUUGGUCCACCCGAAUGGGAUCACGAGGUGAGUGCUCCAUGGUGUGGGUAAAGUGUGCAACCUGUGGAGGGUGUAAAAACUAUUCGAAUAGCCGUGUCCACGGAAAUGGAUGGCCCGACCAGACCUCAGUAGAUGGUCACCCGUGUGGAUGUUAGUAAUGAUGGAAGAACUCUCCAUUGAGUGGAGAUGCUUGAUGAGCAUUCCGGUGGUUGUGAGAAAACCCCGGACAUGAGUAAGUGGUUGUUACAAAGUCAAGUGGUACUAAUUAUAAUUUGUUGCCAUGCUAUUGUUUGCUGCAUUGCUUGGUUAUUAUGAGCUUGCGAGUACAUUCAAAGUACUCACCUGACGUAUCAUGCCAGAUGCAGGAGAAGCCAAGGACGGAGGUCCUGAUGAUGCGUUCUAGGAAGUGUCCACUGCAGUGUCCCUGUGUAUGGAGUUGCCGCUAUAUUCCACUACGUCGUAGAAGUACUUAGUAGUAUCGAGGCCCCGCUAUGUCUCAUAAAUAAUGUAGAUAUUGUGCUGCACCAAGGGUGCCUUUGGCCUCGCUAUCAUUAUAAGAUAUGCUCUUGUAACAUUAUGCUUUCAAUAAAGUCAGUUAUGUUCUAUGCCAAGAUGUUGAGUGUUUCCAGAAGACAUGAUCUCUGGGUUGGAAGCACUGGUAAUCCGAUUCAUGGAAUCGGGGUGCCAAAAAAGUGUUGGUAUGGAGGGCACCCGUGGAUACGAACAAGCCAUGGAAAGUAAAAGUAAUGGUGCAAAAAGGAAUAAAGUUUAUUUUAUGUUUGGGAACCGCCUAUGAUGUAUCUAGCAUGGUAAGUGUUGGGACCUCUAAGUCGUUUUUGUUGGUGGGAAAAGUAUGCCUCCCAAAAUGUUUUUAUCUCUCAAUUUUCGCUUUGAGCUCUGGCACCUCUACAAAUCCCUUCUUCCCUCUGCGAAGAGCCUUUAUUUUAAUAUUGCAAUUUUUAUUUUGAAUUUGAGUCUCCAUCUUCUCUCAUAAAGCACCAACUAAGGGGCACUAGUAGAAAACGGGGCUAUAGUCCCGGUUGGUAAGGGCCUAUAGUCCCGGUUCUCCAACCGGGACUAUUAACUUGGGACUAAAGACCAUCCACCUUUAGUCCCGGUUUGCGACGAACCGGGACUAAUACCCUUCCACGUGGCUGGCGGCGUGCGAGGUGUGGGUAGGACCUUUAGUCCCGGUUGGUAACACCAACCGGGACUAGAGGCAUUGGUGAUUUGGGAUUUUGGGAUUUGGGGAUUUAUUGUUUAUUUUUGCUUUUCAUUUUCUAUUUUCCAUUUAAUUCUUUUUCAUUUAGAACAUAUCUUACGCUACGUACUACAUAUUGUACACGUUAUGCACAUAUAAAAAUAGAAUUUCUCGUAGAACUGAACAUAUAAAUAUAUAUAUNNNNNNNNNNNNNNNNNNNNNNNNNNNNNNNNNNNNNNNNNNNNNNNNNNNNNNNNNNNNNNNNNNNNNNNNNNNNNNNNNNNNNNNNNNNNNNNNNNNNNNNNNNNNNNNNNNNNNNNNNNNNNNNNNNNNNNNNNNNNNNNNNNNNNNNNNNNNNNNNNNNNNNNNNNNNNNNNNNNNNNNNNNNNNNNNNNNNNNNNNNNNNNNNNNNNNNNNNNNNNNNNNNNNNNNNNNNNNNNNNNNNNNNNNNNNNNNNNNNNNNNNNNNNNNNNNNNNNNNNNNNNNNNNNNNNNNNNNNNNNNNNNNNNNNNNNNNNNNNNNNNNNNNNNNNNNNNNNNNNNNNNNNNNNNNNNNNNNNNNNNNNNNNNNNNNNNNNNNNNNNNNNNNNNNNNNNNNNNNNNNNNNNNNNNNNNNNNNNNNNNNNNNNNNNNNNNNNNNNNNNNNNNNNNNNNNNNNNNNNNNNNNNNNNNNNNNNNNNNNNNNNNNNNNNNNNNNNNNNNNNNNNNNNNNNNNNNNNNNNNNNNNNNNNNNNNNNNNNNNNNNNNNNNNNNNNNNNNNNNNNNNNNNNNNNNNNNNNNNNNNNNNNNNNNNNNNNNNNNNNNNNNNNNNNNNNNNNNNNNNNNNNNNNNNNNNNNNNNNNNNNNNNNNNNNNNNNNNNNNNNNNNNNNNNNNNNNNNNNNNNNNNNNNNNNNNNNNNNNNNNNNNNNNNNNNNNNNNNNNNNNNNNNNNNNNNNNNNNNNNNNNNNNNNNNNNNNNNNNNNNNNNNNNNNNNNNNNNNNNNNNNNNNNNNNNNNNNNNNNNNNNNNNNNNNNNNNNNNNNNNNNNNNNNNNNNNNNNNNNNNNNNNNNNNNNNNNNNNNNNNNNNNNNNNNNNNNNNNNNNNNNNNNNNNNNNNNNNNNNNNNNNNNNNNNNNNNNNNNNNNNNNNNNNNNNNNNNNNNNNNNNNNNNNNNNNNNNNNNNNNNNNNNNNNNNNNNNNNNNNNNNNNNNNNNNNNNNNNNNNNNNNNNNNNNNNNNNNNNNNNNNNNNNNNNNNNNNNNNNNNNNNNNNNNNNNNNNNNNNNNNNNNNNNNNNNNNNNNNNNNNNNNNNNNNNNNNNNNNNNNNNNNNNNNNNNNNNNNNNNNNNNNNNNNNNNNNNNNNNNNNNNNNNNNNNNNNNNNNNNNNNNNNNNNNNNNNNNNNNNNNNNNNNNNNNNNNNNNNNNNNNNNNNNNNNNNNNNNNNNNNNNNNNNNNNNNNNNNNNNNNNNNNNNNNNNNNNNNNNNNNNNNNNNNNNNNNNNNNNNNNNNNNNNNNNNNNNNNNNNNNNNNNNNNNNNNNNNNNNNNNNNNNNNNNNNNNNNNNNNNNNNNNNNNNNNNNNNNNNNNNNNNNNNNNNNNNNNNNNNNNNNNNNNNNNNNNNNNNNNNNNNNNNNNNNNNNNNNNNNNNNNNNNNNNNNNNNNNNNNNNNNNNNNNNNNNNNNNNNNNNNNNNNNNNNNNNNNNNNNNNNNNNNNNNNNNNNNNNNNNNNNNNNNNNNNNNNNGGCGAGACGGCAUCGACGCGCCGAGGGGUCGAAGGAAGCAGAAACAUGAUCGUUUGUCUGAGUAUAUAUAGGAAUAUACAUUUAGUCCCGGUUGGAGACACCAACCGGGAGUAAAGGUCUAUUUUCCCCACGCGAAGCGGCGGGAACCGCAUGACUUUAGUCCCGGUUGGUGGCACCUACCGGGACUAAAGGUCUAUUUUUGCCGGCCCAAAUUCCACGUGGGAAGGGACCUUUAGUCCCAGUUGGUGCCUCUAGCCGGGACUAAAGGUCAAUUUUCACUUUUUUAUUAUUUUUGUUUUUCUAAACAGGACAGUUUUUGUUUUUAAAUUUGAAAUAACUGUUAGACUAUUUAUAGUUUUUUGAAUGAAUCUUUUUGGUUUAGGUCAAAAAAUUACAAAAGCUCUAUUAGUGCUAGUAAUUUUCAAAUUUACAUAGUUUAAAUUUGAUUUUUUUUAAAAAAAAUCAAAUUUAAACUAUGUAAAUUUGAAAAUUACUAGCACUAAUNUCACUAGUUUGUGAAUAACUUUACUUUAAAAAUAUAUUUUUUAGUCAUUCUUUUUUCUGAUGUUUAAUAUUAGUGUGUUUUAUCAUUAUAUCAAUUUGGUAAUUUUUAGGUUAUAAAAAAAUGAAAUGUCUUUGUAAGAGAUGAGUAUUUGUCCGAAACUGUGGUACUUCGAAAGAGAUAGUCCAGUUUGUACACGAAGUGCAUCCUGUUUUUGCCGUAACCUUUUCAACUUUUUCAUACAUGUCAUGUGGGUCAAAUGAUGAUACUAUACCAAGUUUUAGUCUUUUCUGAGUUGAUUUGUAGAGCUUUUUAAUUUCAGGGUCAUUUAGCUCAAAAAAUCAUUUAGUGCAUCGAAAAUAGCAAAUGAGGUGAGAAAUGAUUGAAUAUUUAUGAGGUGUCUUUGAAUGAUGCAUAUUGAGGGAACAAAAAGUCUGGAGUUGAAAUUAGAUUAAAAAAUGAAAUGACUUUGUAAGAGAUGAGUAUUCGUCUGAAACCCUGAUACUUCAAAAGAGAUAGGAGAGUUUGUACACGAAGUGCGUCCUGUUUUUGCCGUAACCCUUUCAACUUUUUUGCACAUGCCAUGUGGGUGAAAUGAUGAUACCAUGCCAAGUUUUAGCCUUUUCCGAGUUGAUUUGUUGCCCUUUUCAAUUUUAGGGUCAUUCAGCUAAACAAAUCAUUUAAUGCAUGGAAAAUAGAAAAUGAGGUGAGAAAGGGUUGAAAAUUUAUGAGGUGUCUUUGAAUAAUGCAUACCGAGGGCACAAAAUCUCUGAAGUUGAAACACGAUUAAACAAUGAAAUGGCUUUGUAAGACAUGAGUAUUUGUCCGGAACCGUGAUACUUCGAACACUAGUCACAUCAUCAGGUGAGAAUACAAAAUACUAAAUGAGGUGAGAAUAUAAAAACCCUAAUAUUUACACGGGGACAUAAAUACAAAAUAAUCACAUCAUAUUUACACAGGGACAUAUAUACAAAAUACUCGUCCAAGUAGUACAUAAUAAUAGCUAGAGAUAGAAUUGUUCAUAAUACACGUUGCGAACACUACUCGUCUGAAUCAGAAUAUCCUCAAAUUGGUGGUGGUGGUGGUGGUGGUGCUUGAUGUACGAGAUGACGCUCGCCAUAGUUCAUGAUUCGAAUCAUGCGGUACAACUCGUAUGCAACGUAUGAAUCUUUUGCUGCAUACUCAAUGUUGAUACCGUCAAGUGGGGUCGUCUCCCACUCUUUGUGCUGAACCGAGAGGAAUUUGGUCUUCAUAUCAGCGUACUCCUCGUCGAUCAAGGUGACUGCCAUAUGAGUCAUCGAAGUCUUCUCAUGUUCAAGCUUAAAUAUGUCUUGGAUAUCAAUGUGGUAGUUAGUUGGUAUCUCAAUAUCGAAUAUGUGCCUCAUCUUGAACUUGUCGUUCCUUAUAUCAAUGCUAGCAAAAUGUAUGUCGCUUCAAAGGAAGUCCAUGAGUACUAGACAGUGCUUGUCACUUCUGCAACAACAACAAAUUAAAAUGGAACAAAUUUUACAUACUGCUGCAACAAGGAUAAUUGUUUGACUACAACUAAAGAGAAAUUGACCUUUAGGAUUCAAGUGGAACAUAUUGCUAUCCUAUGCAAUUUUCAUAUCUUAUGAAUUGAUGAAGAANAACUAAAGAUAAAUUGAUCUUUAUAGGAUUCAAAAAUGGAACAUAUUGCUAUUCUAUGCAAUUUUCAUAUCCUAUAACCCUAAAUUAACUAUGACAUAUAUAUAUAUGUUCUCCCACGGUUUUGCCAAUAUGCAACAAGGAAAAUUGUUUCACUACAACUAAAGAGAAAUUUAUCUUUAGGAUUCAAAUGAAACAUUUUGCUAUCCUAUGCAAUUUUCAGAUCCUAUGAAUUGAUCAAGAAAUCCUAAAUUAACUAUGAAAUAUAUAUAUAUGUCAUAGUUAAUUUAGGGUUAUAGGAUAUGAAAAUUGCAUAGAAUAGCAAUAUGUUCCAUUUUUGAAUCCUAUAAAGAUCAAUUUAUCUUUAGUUGUAGUGAAACNNNNNNNNNNNNNNNNNNNNNNNNNNNNNNNNNNNNNNNNNNNNNNNNNNNNNNNNNNNNNNNNNNNNNNNNNNNNNNNNNNNNNNNNNNNNNNNNNNNNNNNNNNNNNNNNNNNNNNNNNNNNNNNNNNNNNNNNNNNNNNNNNNNNNNNNNNNNNNNNNNNNNNNNNNNNNNNNNNNNNNNNNNNNNNNNNNNNNNNNNNNNNNNNACUAAAGAGAAAUUUAUCUUUAGGAUUCAAACGGAGCAUAUUGCUAUCAUAUGCAAUUUUCAUAUCCUAUGAAAUGAUCAAGAAACCCUAAAUUAACUAUGACAGAUAUAUAUGUUCUCCCACGAUUUUGCCAAUAUGCAACAAGGAAAAUUGUUUCACUACAACUAAAGAGAAAUUGAUCUUUAGGAUUCCAAUGGAACAUAUUGCUAUCCUAUAUGCAAUUUUCGUAACCUUUGAUCAAAGAAAAGCCUCAAAACUUACCUCGCCCAUUGGAAGACCAUGACAUUUCUCUUGAAACAAAAUUGGAUGACGGCAGCAGCUUCUUGGUUGGCCGUCUAAUCGAGAUCAAGCCCCAUGAACUUGUAUUUCUCCUCCACCUCUUCAAGUCGUUCCUCGAAAUAGGAAAGAAAACGCAACACCAUCGCGUUGUCGUCUGUGUAAACGACAUUGAGUUUAGUCGUGCCAUGUGUGAGCACCUCUUCUUAGAGAGUGAUUAGAUCAUUCAUGGUGGAAGAAGAUAGGGGAAGAAGAGAGAGCGAGAGAGGAGACGAACAGAGGGCGAGAGAGGAGACGAACAGAGAGCGAGAGAGGAGACGAACAAAGAAGAUAGACUACUCUGCCUCGCGGUACGGUUCUGAUUUUCGUCGCGUGAAACGACGCGGGAUGCGAAGGGUUUGGAGCUUUAGUCCCGGGUUAUGCCACCAACCGGGACUAAAGGGGCUCGCACGAGCAGCCAAACGGUCGCCAUGACCCCUUAAGUCCCGGUUUGAGACACUAACCGGGACUAAAGGGUCUCGCAUCACGCAAACGGUUGUCAUCAAACAUUUAGUCCCUGUUCGUGGAUCAACACGGGACUAAAGGCCCUUAACGAACCGGGACGAAAGCCUAGCUUCUCGAACCGGGACUAAUGUCACCAUUAGUCCCGGGCCAAAACCAAACUAGGACUAAAGGGCCAAACAGAAGACCGGUUUUCUACUAGUGGGGCACUAUGGUCGUAUUUGAGCAUUGGGUGUAGCUAAUAUUCGAGUGUGUUUCAUGAAUGGAUCAAUGAUUGAGCAUAAUGGGCUAGGGAUAACUUGCUUUAGUGUUGAUAUUUUGAAAGACAUGGUUGCUUGUUAGUAUGCUUGAGUGUUAAAGUCUUCAUGUCAGAACUAGAAUAUUUCUUUGAACCAUAUAAAAGUCCAAAUGUCCAUGCUAUAAAGAAAAGAAAUGUGACGAACAUGUUAGGUAGCAUUCCACAUCAAAAAUUCUGUUUUUAUCAUUUACCUACUCGAGGACGAGAAGGAAUUAAGCUUGGGGAUGCUGAUACGUCUCCAGCAUAUCUAUAAUUUUUUAUUGUUCCAUGCUGUUAUAUUAUCAUUCUUGGAUGUUUUACAAUCAUUUUAUAGUCAUUUUACAUCAUUUUUUGGUACUAACCUAUUGACAUAGUGCCCAGUGCUAGUUGUUGUUUUCUGCAUGCUUUUUACAUCGCAGGAAAUCAAUACCAAACGGAGUCCAAACGUAUCGAAACUUUUUAUGGAUUUUUUUGGGCGAGAAGACAUCCAGUGGGUCAGGAACGCACCUGAGGGGAGCUCCAAUGGGAGCACAACCCACCAGGGCGCGCUUGGGGGCCCAGGCGCGUCCUGGUGGGUUGUGCCCUCCUCGUUGGCCUCCCGCACCGCCUCUUUGCUCCAUAAAUACCCCCAAUAUUCCAGAACCCCUAGGAGGGGGGACGAAAAUCAACUCCAGCCGCCGCAUAGUCCACAAACACCAGAUCCAAUUUAGACACCAUCACAGAGGGGUUCAUCAUGUCCAUUGGUGCAUCUCCGAUGAUGCGUGAGUAGUUCUUUAUAGACCUACGGGUCCGUAGUUAGUAUCUAGAUGGCUUCCUCUCUUUCUAUUGAUUGUCAAUACAAUGGUCUCUUGGAGAUCCAUAUGAUGUAAGUCUUUUUGCGGUGUGUUUGUUGGGAUCCGAUGAACUUUGAGUUUAUGAUCAGAUCUAUAUUUUUAUCCAUGAAAGUUAUUCUAGUAUUCUUUGAUCUCUUAUAUGCGUGAUUGAUUAUAGCCUCGUAUUUCUUCUCCAAUAUUUGGGUUUUAUUUGGCCAACGUGAUCUAUUUAUCUUGCGAUGGGAAGAGGUGGUUUGUGAUGGGUUCGAUCUUACGGUGCUUGAUCCCAGUGAUAGAAAGAAAAACGUCAUGUAUGUAUCGUUUCUAUUAAGGAUAACAAGAUGGGGUCUAUUUCUACAUAAAUAGAUCUUGUCUACAUCAUUUCAUCGUUCUUAUUGCAUUACUCCGUUUUUCCAUGAGCUUAAUACAGUAGAUGCAUGCUGGAUAGCGGUUGAUGUGUGGAGUAAUAGUAGUAGAUGCAGGCAAGAGUCGGUCUACUAAUCUUGGACGUGAUGCAUAUAUAAUGAUCAUUGCCUGGAUAUCGUGAUGAUUAUUUGAAGUUCUAUCAAUUGCCCAAUAGUAAUUGUUUUCCCACCGUUUGCUAUUUUCUCGAGAGAAGCCACUAGUGAAACCUACGGCCCUCGAGUCUAUUUUCCUUUGCUUUUAUUUUCAGAUCUAUUAAACCAAAAAUACAAAAAUACCUUGCUGCAAUUUAUUUGUUUCGCGAUCUAUUUAUCCUAUCUACCACUUUUACCUCACGUUAUUUGCCUAUUUUGAGGCGCCGUACCCGAAAGGAAUUUCUAACGCCAUUGCGGGGGAAGAUCAAGUCAAGAUAGUCUCCCGCCAACGUGCCAAUUUCUGGCGCCGUUGCCGGGGAGGGAUUGACAACCCCUUUAACACGUCAAGUUGUGAGUAUUUAUUAUUUGUGUGCAGGUUUUGUUUACGUGGUGUGAGGAGGUUCUCCUACUGGUUCAAUAACCUUAGCCUCAUCACUGAGGGAAAUACCUAGAGUCGCUAUACUGCAUCAUCCCUUCCUCUUUGGGGAAAUACUGACGUAGUUCUAUCAGACAUCAGGUUUGCUCAUGCAAUGUAGGCCAUAGUUCAAAUAGAUUCAAAACCUUACCCCCUCCCCCAUGUAGUGUGUAUAAUAUGUUCGACAAUUGGCGACGAGGUUCCGACAAACAUUUUUCUGCGUGUAUUCUUGUGGGCCUACCAACAUUUAUGUUGUGUUUUCCUUUCAUCAUGGAUGUCCAUGUAAUAUUCAAAUAGGAUCUAAUCCAUCUUCCCAUGCAAGUAUCUUGGCCUUUCAUAAUCCAUAAGGAAGCUCGCGGUGGCACAAUAUCAGGGCCUUGUGGGUCAACUCGUAGCGCGCCUAUCAUCUUGGAAGUCAACAACCCUACCCAAGAGCGAUCACUUAUUGCUCGUACAAUCCGUCCUCUCGAAAAUUCUGAUCCACUCAAUGUUAGCCCUUGAUCUGCCUCUAAAGACUUUGGUUGCCCUAAUCAAGAUAUGAUGCAGAUUCCUUUGGGUCGGCAAGGCGAACGUAGGAGGAGGUGCAUGUGCGAUGGCUGGGAGAGAGUGUGCAGUCCUAGGUGCGUUAAACGCAUAGGUAUCCUCGACAUGUGAUGGAUGAAUGUGGCCCUCCAGGCCAAGUGGUUGUGGUUGAGUAGGGCUGACCAGGAUAAGCCCUGGUCGGAGUUUGCGUUCUCUAUACCAAAGGACUCUCGUCAGUUAUUCCUGGCAGCGACGUGAGAAGUCGUUGGCGAUGGGAGGAAUACAUUGUUCUGGGAGGGUAGAUGGCUGAGUGUUUAUCGGAUGCAGGAGCUUGCGCCACGGAUUUACGAGCAGAUUCCAGUAAGAACAAGGAGGUCAAGAAUGGUGUAUGAGGCAAUCGCUGAGGAGAGAUGGGCCCGAGAUAUUGGUCCAGCGCUAGGCGAGGCAACCCUUGCGAAGUACCUGGGUAUCUGGCCCGGGGUUGCGAUGGUCUAGCUGGACGAGCGAUGUGAUGAUCGUUUCAUCUGGUCCUAGGAGAAGAACGGGAUGUUUUCGGCCAAAUCUGCCUAUGUGGCCAAGUUUGUAGGGCGAGAGGUCUCGCCCAUCUUGGAAUUCACAUGGCACUCGCGGACCCCUCUUAGGUGCAGAUUCUUCUCAUAGCUGGCAAUCAUGAACUGGUGCUGGACUUCAGAUAGAUUGGCACGAAGAGGGAUGCCACACCAACACUCGCGCCCUUUUUGCAACCAGCAUGAUGAGACGAUUGGCCAUCUACUUAUCGAGUACCCUCUCCCAUGGGAGGUAUGGGCAAAGGUCUUAUCCGCCGUAGGCAUUCCGCAUGGCGAUCCACAACCAGGAGAGACACUGCAGGGCUGGUGCACUAGGCAGGGUAUGCAGGGAAGCAGGGCGAAGAUGGUUUGGACCAUAUGCCUCCUUGCCAUGUGGGAAAUAUGGAAGCAUGGGAAUGCCAUAGUCUUCGACGGAGAGACGGCUUGCCCACGACAGGCUCUAGGCUGGAUCGUGAGUGAUAGCAGGGUGUCGAUGCACGAGGCUCUACUUCGAGGAAACCUAGAGGUGUUCAUCGUGGGGGCGCUGGAAUGGGCGCAUUGUGAGUAGUCUGUAUAACGCACUUGAGAUGGAGGGCGGCGUAACGCCAUGUAACCCCUGAUGUAACUAAACCACGAAGGGAUCCCCCUUCCUUCUAUAAUAUAUGAUACGCACACUCGUGUGUAUUCGAUGAAAAAAGAAUCUAACUCAUCUUAGGCUGAUUUUGUUUUUUCUGCGGAGCAUUAUUUUCUUUUGGUUAUGUUAGUAGUCUUAACUGUGUGCACCAUCACAUUUUGCAGCAGUCAGACAUUCGUUCAAUGUGAUUGUAUCACCUUGAUAUAUCGAUUGAAUGAAAAUGUCUUUUAUUAAUAAAAAAUAAUUGUAUUGAAGUCAUCGUAACUUAAUCCCGUGGGAUAAUGGUUAAAUGCUUUCACUUAACAAAAUAAUUUCUAGUGUGCCCAUAACUAAUGUAAUAGAUGGACAGAAAUAAUUAGACUGGAAUGCUAAAAACUAACAGGAACAAGUCAUGAAUAGAAGAGGUCGGCUUUAUCUACAUCAGUUAUCAGUUUAGUGUGUUCUAUGUACUUGACAAUCCUAGAAUUAGCAAUAGAGCCCUUUGUAUUAAGAGUAGAUUUCAAUCAGUCCUCAACUGCGAGCUGUCCAUGUUAUUUACUAGUUCAGAUAGUGAUCUUAAGCCUUGUCUAUAAAGUAUUACUUAGUCUAGACGUUCCUAUAGAGACCUAUCGGACAUCAAAGAAAAUCCAAUUUCAAGGAUACGCGGGUCGACUCGGUAAACUGCCGACAAUGAAGUGGCACCAACAAAUAUUUUAGUUUUGUAAAUCUGAAAGGAAUGUAUCUUUUCGAUAAAGGUCUGAAAAAAUAGGUACGUAUACGCAAGAAGUUUUCUUUAUGUGAAGGCAUAUCUCUGAAAGGGCUUAAAAUAAUUUUGCUUGUGCACCUCAGACAACUCUACCUAAUAUAUACAUAUUCUCAAAUUCGUAAGAUAUCACUGACUUCUCUCAACCAUUGAAUAGGUCAUUAUUGUUCUUAACUUGCACGUAAUGUCCACAAAUUGAGUAAGCAUAUGCAUAACUAAGAGUCUACGCUGUUGCACGGAGCCUAUCACAAACGACUGAAUGUUUAGUGAAAAAAUCUCUUGGGUGGAAUACUAAACCCCUUGAAAAAUAUACUAAAAAAUUUAAUGGCAAUCACCAUGGGCGUCGGCAGAUCACAAUCCUUACAAUAACCGUUUCUGCACCUAAAUACAACUCUACCUGGUAUAUGCAUAUUCUCAAAUUCGUAAUAUAUCACUCACUUCCCACCGUCGAAUAGGUCACCAUUUUUCUUAACUUGCACGCAAUGUCCAUGAAUUGAGUAAGUGCAUGCGUAACUAAGAGACCGCACUGUUACACGUAGCUUAAUCACAAACGGCUAAAUAUUUAUUGAGAAAAUCUUUUGGAUGGAAUCCUAAACCCCUGGGGGGGGGGAUAUUAUAUAAUUAAACAAGGACAAACAAGCCAUACGUCUAUUCUCAUACAUUGAAUUAUCUUGACCAUAUAUUUUAAAUAAUAACACAUGUGAGUUAAAAUAUGUAGCGUUACAUAUAAAUCUUAUCAUGAGCAAACAGUUUAUAGUGUCACGUAGCCCAUACUAAUAGUUCAAUAUGUCUCGAGUUCUUAAAGAAAAACUGGCACGUCACCCGAAAUCAGUUUGAUACGUUAUAGGGUCUUUUUUUUGCGGGCAAAACUGGGAAGCUUUAUUCAACAUACAUCGCCCGGCAUGAUGUGCGAGGAGACUAGUUACAAGAAAACUAGGACUAGAGUUCAAUCAGCAAUCAGUUACCUCCAAUGUGCUAGCUUGCUUAGCACAUAAGUGGGCACACAUGCUAGCUGAUCUUACAACAUGUUGAAUGGAAAACAAACUAAACAGUGAGGCGAGCUCCACCUUCAGUUAAGAUAGGCGCCAGCACAGUCCAAGUGUUGAGGCGCGGAUACCAGAGAUUGACAAUCUCCAAACAAUCUGUCGCCACAACGACCUUCUCGUAACCCCGAAGCUUAACAAAGAGCACCCCGCGUCUCGAACAGCCAAAGCUUCAGCGACAACAGGUUCGUACAAUACCUGGGUAUGGUUUAGACCAAGCAGCCAUGAAGGAGGAACAGGUUCGGACAACACCAUCCACCCCACCCCUGCUAGCCUCCAUAGCGUAUUGAUCUUCAUGAUUCCUUAGAUUGAUAUACGGAGUAGAAAAUAAGAAGUACCUUACCUUGAAUUGGCAAGGUAUGACAACCAAGAGUAUGCGGCAGCCAAGUCCAAUUUAGAAAGAAACAAAAAAAAACUAUCUUAUGUAGGGAGGAGCACUAAGUGAACUACCUUAUGUAGGGAUGAGUCUUGAGCAAACACCCCUACCCCGCAACAAAGAAGUGUCCGCAUCUCAAAAAAUUAAGAGUGUCCCAGCAAAAUAUGCGUGCUAAUCUCUCUAGGGAAAAAGAGGAGACGUGUGUGCUCCUCCUUUUUCUGCGGACACAAACAAAAAUAAAGUAUGGAGUCCUGCUUAGUUCACUUAGUGCUCCACUUAGGGAUAAAAAAUCUUUCUCUACGCAGGUUGAAGAAUAUAUCUCAUAAAAAAUGAAAAUUAGUUGUUUAUAUAUAUACUAAAUUGUGGAUGAAAAAAUGAGGCGACAUACAUGAUUGGCAUAAUACAUUUUUUUGAUGCUAAAUUAUUUCUGCGCUAUGAUAUUAGCUGUAUUAAAUCAUGGAUAGACAACUGAGACGCGAAAUAUGAAAUGCAUAAAGAUAAAAGUGCCAGCAUUCUAUAUUCUUUCUCUCAAAAAGUUACUGAUAACCAUGGUGGCUGUUCUAAUUUGAAUUGCUGAGAUCCAAAAAUAAAUAGAAAGAAGUCAUGCUUGCAAGUGCUUCAGUCUAAAUUAAGUAUUAUUCAUGAAAAAAUAAUACGUUAUGAGAAGGACCACGUGAAAGCAUCUGCAGUGAACAUGCAUAAGAAAAAUAAUGCACGUGAAAGCAUCUGCAGUGAACCUAUUUACAAAAAUAGACCACUAAUAUAUGCAAAAUUAUCCGGGUUGGACAAUUAAAAAUAACAAAGAACGUCGUACUGACUACAUGAUAAUAAUAAUUAUUCACAUAUGACAUUUUACUAUUUCUUUGAUUUGUUAUAAUGGAAAUCUUAGCUAAAAUUUUGAAUUGGAAAUUGCAAAGAAUCAAGUGUACCAUAUAUCUUCGAAAAUAUGUAGCACUGUAUUCAAAUAAGAAGGAUACGUGCAACCAUCAUGAAAUAGUCGAGCAACCCUUUGACAACCUUUGAAUAAACGAAUCAUGUGUGCUCGAUGAGUUCAGUUUGCAGUUGCAAUUGUGUGGAAGGGGACUAAUGGAAUCACAAUUGAAAAUUUGAGUAAAAUUAUAUUACUAUAUAGAAAUGAGGGAAGUCAGAGAGUGAAAAAUACAACCAUCAGGUAUAAGUUGCACAAUCUAGAGUAGUGUGACUAACUGAAUCAUGUAUGCCCGAUGAGUUUUAUUUGUAGUAGUAAUUGUAUUGAAGUAGACCAAUGGAGUGACAAGCAAAAAAAAAACGAGUCUGGUUUCAUUUUUGGGAAGAAAUGAGGACGACGAGAGAAAAAAUAGUGAGUAAAGAAUCAAAUUAACUGCGGAAAUAUGUUAGAGACAUCUGUGUAUAUUCACAUGUGUACAUGCAAAAUGCGGAAAAAAUACGAACUCAGUUGCCAAAAAUUGGUUUAUAUUCGAUGCAUCGUACCGUAUAAUAAAUUGCUUGGAUAUCUUAGAUGUAUUGACACGUAUGGAUUCAUUUGUAUAAAAGAGGAGUUGUGUGAGCAUAAAAGAGUUGAACUAAGGUACUCAUGAAUUGGCCAUCAUGAGCAUAGUUUGGGACACCCAUAAAUGACAAUGAAAUGAUAGAUAAUGAAGACUGUAAUAGAUUACACAUGUACUAAGAUUACGUGCAAAGACAGGAGAAUAGUAGAAUCAAUCUGGAUGUGGUGUGCAACUCACAUAACAUAUUAAAUAUUAUCUCAGGGGUGCAAUAAGUUGUCUCAGUUAUGCUUAAAGAUAUAAGUAUCAGAAAAACAUUUGUGCGUAUUUGUAUUGUAAACUAUAUAGGGGCAAGUGAAAUGAGAUAUUCUAGAACAUUUCAGCGAAUGUUUCCAAUAAUUUUCAUUAUAGCUAUGAGUAUGUGAAUCAUAAUUGUGUGAUUGUACCUUUACUCCCCACCGUAGGGACUUAGGAUGUGUCUCGUUGAUAACUACAUUUUCACAAGCAAGCAAGCAAAAUAGUGAAAUAACAUAUAUUGAGAAUCACAUAAAGAUAUCAAUAAUGAGACGUAAUUGGAGAUAAUGUUUUAAGGAAAAGGUUGGACAUAAUCCCAAGAAUGUAGUAUGAAUUAUUUGUAUCUUGCAUAAAAAGGUGAUAAGUAAUUUAUUUCAGGCAGACUGAAUUUGGAGUUCUCAAUUGUAUUUCUAAUUUAGAAUAUCCUCAUGAUUCUAUAUACUACAAUUAUGCAUAAUUUUAUACAAGUUUAAUAAUAAUGCAGAAUAAUUGAAAUCUUAACCAAUAUUUAUAUUAAUAAAAAACUUUAGCCGUUCAAAUGUGCGGGUAACUCCGCUAGUUAUACUAAUAAAAUAUGAUGCCAAUCACCAUGGGGCGUCGGCAGAUCCCAAACAUCGUGGUAAUUUUAAAACUAAAUAGUAUAUGCACUCGUUGAUGCCGGAAUGAAUCAAAUGAUGCGGAUAAUAGGUAAAUCCUCUUUUUUAAAAUAUAAGACUCUUUUACAGCUUAAUUUAGAAACAGAGGCAGUGCCAUUUUUGCCAUAAAGCGAAAGUUUGCACAAUAUUUUAAGUGUAUGGCGAUCAAGUGAACUGUCUAAUGGCCAAUGGGUACGAUGAUAAUGACUUUUGUGUACCUUGUCCCUAUCCACUUUGUUAGGUGGCACAUCGUGGUCAUAAUUAUCUUCUUGCGUCCAAAAUAUGCAGCUGGUCAGGCAAGUGGUUACGUAAGGUUCCUUCAAUUAAGCUGUAGCACCUAGCAGGGAAACUAUACGUUUAUGAAAUUAUCUCCCAAGAAAAUUUACGAAUAAAAUUUUCGAGUAUCUAAUCUGAGGUUUCGUAAGUUUAUAAUAUUCAAAUAAAAAUUGAUUUUUUUUAACAUAAAGUAAAAAUUGAUUUACCCCUACAAGGGUAACUUUUUUUCCUUUUCAAUAUUAGGUAGUAGGUAGGCAGAGAUGGUGAAGAUAAAGGUGGUGCAGAAUUUAGGUGUACGUGUUCAAAAAUUCCUUCUGAUCUCACAUGCUGAUAUGUAUUAAGAUAUGUCGGUCAAGACAUGCUCACGUGUCAUGUUAAUUACUUAGUGGAGAAGAUAUGUAUUACUACGUUUUUAAAGAAGGAAACUUCAGAAGUUGGGCCAUCAAUUAAGUUCUAGCAGACAGCAGGGACUAUUGCGAUUGGUUGAUAAGUUCCUUUCGUAGUAGUACUUGACUUGUUCUAUUUGCUCACAUGCAAGUUCAUGCAUAUCACCACACUGUUGCUUGCGCCAGCUCUGUCAAUCUACGGCUAUUUAAGCACACCCAUCCAUGCCUUCAUUGACAAAGCAACUCACAAUGGCUUCUUCUUCCACAUUGUUUUGCCUUUCUGCCCUCCUUGUGCUGGCCUCAUGGCAGGCCACUGCCUACGAUCCUAGCCCUCUUCAAGACUUCUGCAUCGCCGACAUGAAGGCGCCUGGUAUGCACUACGUAUAGUGUGCACGUAUAGAUGUGUGCCCUUAAUUCUAGUGGUGGUAUAGUUAAUGUUGUGAUAGCCUAGUAUUGAUCACACACUGAAGUUUACUACAUACUGAUAACAGUUUUUCUUUUGCGGGGUACAUACUGAUCAUAGUUCUAAAAGUAUUAUUACUGCAUGCUCAAGCCACCCACACAUUUCUUACUUGCUUUAUGUUACUUUCUCUAUGCAUGCAGUGCGAGUCAAUGGAUUUGCUUGCAAGGACCCAAUGGCCGCAACCCCGGAAGACUUCUUCAACGCAGCCAUGCUCGAUCAGCCUAGGGAUACCAAGGCCAGCAAGGUCAGGUCCAACGUCACCAACAUCAAUGUCAUCAAUUUUCCUGGCCUCAACACCCUCGGCAUCUCCCUGGCACGCAUCGACUAUGGGCCAUUAGGUGUCAACACGCCGCACAUACACCCCCGUGCCACCGAGCUCCUCACGGUGCUUGAGGGGACACUCUACCUUGGAUUUGUCACAUCCAACCCAAACAGGCUCUUCUCCAAGAUAGUUAAGAAGGGUGAUGUAUUCGUAUUCCCAAAAGCAAUGAUUCACUUCCAAAUGAACCUGGCGCAUGACAAGCCAGCAGCCGCCUUGUCCUCGCUCAGCAGCCAAAACCCUGGGGUUAUUUCUAUCGCCAAUGCAGUCUUUGGAUCAAAGCCACCAAUUUCAGAUGAUGUUCUAGCCACGGCGUUUCAGGUGGAGAAGGAUCUGAUUCACUGGCUUCAAUCUCAGUUCUGGGAGAAUAACAACUACUAGAUACUCUCUUUCAUCUGGGCAUAUGGAAAGUUCAUAUGUAAUGCUAGUAUAUAGAAUAAAUGGCAUGUAGUAAUACGUAUGCAUGCAUGGUUGUGAGCUGUGAAUUUUCAUUUUCCUUUUGAAGCGUGACAUGAUAUGUUUCUUGUCGGAUUCAUGUCAGAAUGUGUUGGUGAUGAUUGUUUUCACUGUUUAAUGAAUGGAAUACAGAGGUGCUCCUUUGCCUUGUUGCUGAUAUAGAGAGAUCCGUGAUGUUAAUGACAAAGCAGCAAUGAUUGGACAUGCAUGUUAUUUCUAGACCCAGUUUACAUGUACUUAAAACUUGUUUUUGCCCGACAAGGUGAUUUGUUCACUGGAAACCAGGAAACGCAAACUUGUUCUGUGGCGAGAAAUCAUUUAGCAUGCUGGAAACUUAGAUGCCAUCGUUUAGCGGAUUAAGCAUCAUAGAUGGAAGAGCAGGGAUAUAGUUGUUAUGAUGUAGUUGCUCGCUAUCAAGUAUCUGCAUUCCCAAUAAUGGUUACAAGUAAACAAAAAAGAUGGGGCACAUGAUCGUAUUGGUUUCGCACCAAGAUUGGGCUAUACACCUAUUUAUAAUAUGGAGCGUCAUGGCAUGUGGAUUAUUAGUCCAGAUCUAUCUACAGAAUGGGUUUGGAUUAUUAGUCCAGACCUAUCUACAGCCUACAGGGCAACUCAAUUGGCAGUCUAUUCAGAAUCAUAUUCUUUCAAAGUUGUAAAUGCAUGCGCAGACACAAACUCUUGAUGGACAGAAGUUGCGGCAAUCUACGCGGGUUGUGUGGAUCUAUUAGUGGAGAUAUGGAGCGUUCAUUUUAAGCAUUGUGUGGAUCUAAUUGUGGAGAUACAGAGCGUUUUACAUGAAGCAAACUGUGCCGCUCAUGAGAUUGCUAGAUACAAUGGUUGUUUUUUUAGAAAUGCUAGAUAUAGUUUUGAAAGUAAGCUCUCUUGUAAGUGGGUCGAUGAAACCCCAUAUUUUAUCCUUAAUUCUCUUGUAAACAAUGUACGUGUUAUUUGAAAUCAAUAAAGUAAGCCAUGAUGGCGUCCGCUAUAGUUAGUCUUUUCAGAAGACCCUCUGAGAAGCCUCUUUAUAUAGGUGGCAAGGGGCCCCAUUAUACACAAAAAAUAUCAUUGAUCAAUAAAGUUGAGGAGUCUUCAGCUACAUUUUUGUGCUUCUUUUGUGCUUAUAUUUGGCGUAGUAACAUGAUCAUUACAUUAAAUUAUCGGUAUUACAGUACUUGGUAGUCACGUACACUCCCACACACUUGAUUGGAUUUUAUUUGGGAAUAAUCGCUUUGGUUUUUAUCUUGAUCUAUUGACACCGUUAUCAAAACAAUUGUUAUUGAUGAUCCUAAGAAAUAAAAACAAAGCAACAUGCAUUGAAGGGGUUAUUUCCACACAUGAGUUCACGUGACAAUAAUCUUUGAAUUAAUAAAUACGACAUACUUUGUACUGGGAAAGCAUUGUCGGUCCGUCAUCAAGAAUUGACCAUACUACUUAGUUCAGUCACGAAAGAGACCCGUAAUAAGUUAAUAAUAAUUGAGGAAAUCCAUUUCAUGCACCAACGCAAGUACGUGGAUCAAACACGUCUCCAUCAUUUGACCCGUCGCCAUUUUUUCUGUUAGUGGUUACUUGCACGCAAAUAAAUGCAGUUGUAGACUUGUAGUGUCGUACCGACAUCUGUUAGGUGGAUGCCAAACCAUAUUUAUAUGUUCUGAUGAGAAAAUUCUUACAACACAUACAUGUAGAGGAGAUGGUACAACCGUACAAACAUGCCAAAUUUCAGGGUCAAAACCUUAUGUUGAUCUCGUAAUCCGAGGUCAACACGCCAACACAUGAGUUGAUAGCUUCUUGCCCUGUGAGAGGUUGAUCCAAUCCAACAUGGAUAACGGAUUAUGCGGCACACGAUGAGGAAUUGAAAAUGAAAUGUUGACGACUGUUUAGUGUGUGGACAUUCAUAGUUCAUGUCAUCAUUUUUUUUAUUUUGCAGGGAAAAACUGAUUGCAUUAAGUAAACAUAGUACUCCCUUCCUACCAUCAUCUUAUAUUGUGCAACACAAUCAAGGUGGAGAGGAAAACGAGAGAAGAUAAUGUUCAUUUUGUUAAUCAAUAUUAUUACAUGCAAUGAACUCAUUACUGCAAGCCGUGUUAGGUAGUCUAAAGUCAUUAAACAUAUACAUGUUCCAUGUCUCUAAGUGGAAAUUAAUGCACCACGCUUAAGUGUUUUCGAAUUAUUUGGUUAUGCGGCACACGAUGCAGGAUUGAAAAUGAAAUGUUGACGAUAGCUUAGUGUGUGGACAUUCAUAGUUCACGCCAUCAUUUUUUUUGCGUGGAAAAACUGGUUGCAUUAAUUAAACACAGUAUUACAAUCAUUCUUUAUAACGCUAACCUUCCUAGUUUUGAAUAGUCCACAUUCAAUUCAGGUCUUCAAUUAGAAUUGGAUCACCUGAUUUUGACUAAGUCAAUAAUUUCUUAAAGCUCUUCCGUUCAAUUCUUUUAUACUAUACAAUGUGUUUCCUAAUUUUUAAAGUUGCACAAUUAAUUCAGGUAUUCAAUUUAGAAUUGGGCCAUCCGGUUUAGACCAGGUCAACAAUUUCUCAGGCUCUCUCAUUCAAUUCUUUUAGCUCACUAUCUUCCCUAAUUCUCUCAAGUUCAGAGCAUAUAUAUCAACAUCCCAAUGCUAAACAAAAAAGGUAUAGAAAUUCAUUUCACGAUGAAUCUAAAAAUAUUGAUUUGAUAUAUUUCUCUAUAAAUUUGAUCAAACAUAAAAGGGUUACAUAUUUGAAAAAGCAAUAGACCUUGUAUUUGGAAACAAAGUGAUUGUUUGUUAAAGAAAUUCGACAACACACCAACGGUGUAGCAAAGCGUGCCAAACCCUUCUAGUCUUGGAUGAAAUCACAAACUUUCGAAGGAAAAUUCCCUAGCCAACCAGUGGUGCGCUGCUUAUCCUAUUUGGCUCACCGUGUCCUAGGCAGUGCAAGGAGAGGUGAAACCGUGAAAGAGGUGUUACAUGUUACCCAAACAACUUUGAAGCUAAAUAUCUCGGGCUCUCGGUGCCGGAUGAGAGAGGAAUAAAUGAAAGUUCAAAAGCUUACACGAGAGACUAGCAAAGCGCCUGCUUCAAUGCAGGUGAAAUUUACCUUUCUCGAGAUGGGAAGGAGAUCAUGUUAAAGGCCGUCGUUGUGCAGGCACUACGAGUGUACGUGAUGGGUGUUUUCAAACUCCUAAUCGGGCUUUGUCAUGACCAAACAAAGAUGAUGACACACUAAUGGUGAUGUGCGGACAAUGAAAAAUGGCGGUCUCAUGGGAUCUCUUGUGACAUUAUGCACGGGUCAAAGGUGAUGGGAGGAGUGGGGUUCAAGAGUCAGCGGCUCCUUAAUCAAGCAUUGAAAACGGGGCUAGCAUACGGGCAUGGCAUGACCCCUGGAUCCCUUGCGGUGCAUCAUACAGAUCGAUUACCACACAACAUAAUUUUCAUCUGUGUUGGGUCAUGGAUUUCCAGAUGGUUGAUGAUUCAUGCAUGCCUUCAUGGAAUACUCAACUCAUAUAGUAACACUUCUUCAUUGUGGAUGUUGCAAAGAUUUUGAAUAUCAAACCAUUGAGGCGCCUUGAGGAAGACUUCAGGCCGAGUGAUUGCAGCCAUCAUGGGAGGGCAUCAUUCGGUGCUUCAAGUACAUCGGUGUGGUCGUGACAAGCGCCAUCCUGGGGUAAAUCACAAGUUCUACAAUGGCGGCUUCCCUCUCAUCUGAAGCACGCUUCUUUGGAGUGCUACUUGGGCCUCAACCUCAACCCCAUGUACAAGCACAGCGACGUAGGAUAUAGGAUACCUAAACGUUCAUUUUUUUUGAAACUGGCGGAACACCAUAUUCGUAGAUCAUCGAUUUAAUGACUUCAGCUCGAGGUUUUGAAUCAACUAUCGGAGCCGAUUUCAUCUCUUGAGUACAGUAUACUUUUGAAACAACCUUCUCACUUGUCAAUUACUCGUGUGGAGAUUUGGCGAGUUUCCGUUGUGAGGCCUUGGAGACCCUUCGAGCAUGACCAUAUGCAUGUGCCAUCGACGGUUACUGCUUACAGUUACAGGUGACGAUAUCAUGGUCGCAUCAACGGUAAUGAUAUGAGGUUGUCGUCGUCUCAAAUGUCCUAAAUUGUUUGGUAUAUUCUUGUCUUCUUAGCUGUUCUAUAGUCUCUUGCAUCCUUGGCGCUUUUAUUUUUCAGUUUUUUUAUUUUUAGUUUUGUAUUAAUGGAUGUAAUGUUUGGUUGUGGCUUUAUAUAUAAAGCCUUUAAUAAAAUAGCUUACAUGCGCCUCAGAAACAGGAAGCGAGCUAAGAAAAAGAAAUAGGACACGUUUGCUUACCCGCCUCAUCGAGGCCCGCACAGGAAGAAAAAGGAUCGUUUGGUUACCCUCAUUGACUGUUUGGCCUGCACAGUACGAACAUUAAAGCACCUUUGUUGAGUCAGGCCCAAGCGAUGCAACCCUAGGCACGUGGGCGUGGGCGGUUGCACGCAUGGAUGCAGCCUCGAGACGUCGCGUUAUUUCCCCAAUCGACGUCAUAAAUUACCCUCACCUCCCUUCGGGGGGGGGGCCCUCUUCCCCACUCACAUCAGCGAUGGCGAUCACCGGAGCGACAACACGAGGAUCUACGAUAGCAGCGACCAUCGCAGCGACUUCAGACCUCCGCCACAGCGCAUCGGCCAUGGCGGUAAGUCCUUUUCCCUAUCUACAUUGGCCAUGACUCGGGCUAGAUCUAUUUUGAGCACGGGAUUGGAGAAUUAGGGAGGGGAUUGAACACAUGGAGAUUGGGGAAUUGGAUUCAACACCGCCCUCAUCUUCAGUUCUUGGCUAAUCGAUCGAUUACAUCGGGGGUGGAGAUUGGGGUACUACCUAAUUUUCUAGCCACGAUGACCCUGGAGUCGCGUCGAGCGGUGGUGGGCGUAGGCUUCUUCUUUUCUUCGUCACCAUCGCAUUAUUCCUGACCGUCACAUCAAGAACGAUGGGUCUUGCACGGUCGCCUUCCGUCGACGCCUUGACCAUCAUUUGCACCUCGUUUUCUUCCACUGCUUGCGCCCUCGCCACCAUCUGCACAUCGCCGUCUUCCUCUGCUGGAUCCACCAAAGUCCUUGUCUUCCAGUACACCACAACACGGUGGUCAUCGGGACUAUCAUGAGGAAUAACUACGGGCACUACCAUGAGGAGGAUGGACCAAACCACUUCUGCAAGGUGAUAUUUGCUCUGAAGCUGGAGGCUCUGUCUUUGCAUCUCGACUUCAUGAAGCACUUCCCCGCUAUGUUUAGUCCUAAGACGAACACCAGCUGCUCAUGGAGUGUCACGGUGAAGGUGGUCGACAACGGGGUCACCCUUGAUCAGGGUUGCUCCACCUUCACCAGUGUUCACCACGUCGGGAUCGGGUACAAGCUGACUUUCAAGCUGCUCACCCCUAACACCAUGAAGGUGAUGCAGCGUGGACGUGGUCACCAAGUGCAAGAAACAUGACGAGGCCUUCACCGUGACCGCGUAAAUGACCUCUUGUUCCUAGUUCCGUGUUGUGGGUUGUUCUUUUAAGAGUACUAUGUGUUACGAUGUCGUUUAGAACUUAUCAUACUAUGUUUAAAAUUUUUGUUUGGUUAAACUUUGAUUUGUGCUUAAGUUUGUUUCGGUUGCUUUAUUUUUUUGCAUCUGAUAACCUCACCACAUUGAGGAGGAGGUUAGCACACUAUUGUACUAGAUGUAACCAAACAAUUCAACAUGUGUUUGACCUCAAACCAAGCCACAACCAAACAACAUGCCUUCUGUUUCGACAUAUGCAGGCUACACGGAAUGCAUGCAACCAAUCAACAUGCAGAUGUUGAUUUUUUUGCAUGCAUAUGCUCGACCAGGCCCAACUGGGGCAAGUAUGCAAAUGGCAAAAAAACGAUGCACGUAACCAAACGCGCCCAAAGUGAUCUCUCAAUCACAUCUUGUUUAUUUCAGAUCAAAACUGUCUCUUUCCAUUAGAUGAAGUGCUAUAUAUAGCAUUGGAGCAAGCGUUUACAAGGGGGCGCCAUUUCAGACAGAACCGACGCAAUGGUUGCGUAAAGCAUGUGCCAAUGAUUAUAACAAGUAGGGGUUAAUCCCUUAAUUGCUAUAUUAAUUAAUCUUAGCACUCCCCCUAAUCCAUGCUUGUCCAGGUAGCAUCAUCAUCUCGAAAGAGUCUCCUUUAAAAACCCUAUGGAAAAAAUAUGAGGAGUAUAUUAUUUGAUAAGUUGCCAACACUCCUUCAAACCCAGUGGAAAAAAUAAGGAGAAAAUGAUGCAACAUGUCAUCAUUAUUGUCUCUUUUAACUCAAUAUGAGAAAAUUGUAGAAUUUUGAGGAAAAUAAAUAUGGCGUAUAUACUUUAUUAAAACCCGAGUGGGGAAAACACAAAAUAUGACAUCUGGUCUUGUGUUGAUAUUACCUCAUUAAAAACCUUUACGAGAACCUAUAUAGUAAACUCAUGAAGGGAAAAAGAGUAUAAUAUGAUGCAUUGAACAGGAACAAUUCAGGAAGAUACUCCCCCUGAUUCUUGCAAACUUCGAAGCCGUGACAUACCAAUUCCAUGAACAUAUUUCUGGAAUGUAAAAAUUGGUAGAGACUUCGUGAGAAAAUCAGUCACAUGAUGUAAUUUACAAGAUAUGCAAGCGAUAUUGCUUACGUAACCUGUUUGCAUCCGGGCAACACAAGAAAUAUUAUAUUUGAGAUAAUAGUUAGUGGAUGUAGCCAUUAAGGUCGGUUGCAAAAAAUGUUAUGCAAUGACUAUCACACCUAGUAGGAACACUAAGCUUGCCUAUGAUAUGACAUAGUAGGGAUCUGAUCAAUGUAUCCAAUGGUAUUGGUGUUCAGAUUUAUCUGAAACUGAAAAACCAGGACAAGAUGUUUGAUACCUUUGGAGAUAUCAAUAGAUAUUCUUGAGUCCCAACAAAUUGUGUUUGGUGGAUCCAAUGGCAUUAUGAAACGUUGAGUCCCAAUAUCUGAUUUUCAUCAUCUCUUGGUUUAAAUAGAUCAUUCUCUGCGUCUAGAGAAUGAAUUACCAUGAGAGUUAUGGAUGGAUAAGAUUUGUCCACAAUGAAUUUCUCCAAUAUAUUUUGGAUAUAGACAACAUAGUAUACCAUAACGUAUGAAUGAAGGUGCUCAAGUUAUAGUAACGAGCGGUAUUUUGGUUUACCCAAAUCCUUAAUUUUAAUCUCCGUCAUUUAGAUGAUUACAUGUGUCGUCAGUACAAAGACACAAACAUGGAUAAUCAUCAUUGUAGGAGUAAUCCUUGUGUAUAAGGAACUCAUUACAUUAGUUGUACCGACAACAAUAAGUAGUAUGGUGACUUACUGAAUUUUACACAAUGUAUGUUACAUUUUGUACUUCAAUAGAAUUGAGAUUACAUCGGAAAUAUAUCAUAUAUGUCUGAAUCUAGUGAGCCACAUGGAUAUGUGAUCACUACAUCUAUCAACCGCAUAGAUAAAUGAUCUUAUAUUCUCAAUGAUACAAGUUGUCGGAAAGAAGUUCCACCUCUAGAGAAUAGUUGGGUAUCUGCAUGAACCCUUAUGCUACAAUACUUGCUCUAUGUUUCACAACCUUGUUGUUCUCAAUUCUGUUUCCAGAAGAAAACUGGUGUAGGUAUUGCUUAUGAAUACCUUCCCUUUAUUGAGCAAGAUUAUUUCUACCUAGAUUAUACCAUUUUCUUGAGUUCAGUUUGAGUGUUGUUCACACUUUGCCAUGCCCAUAGUCUUGGAUCUGAAUCAUUUGAAAGGUUUUUGAAAUCUAGUUGAGAAAUGUAUAUCGACAAUUGUAGACUUCUGGUUAUAUGUUUCUCUAGAAUCUAUAUAUCAAUAUAUAGUUGAUGGAAAUAUCGUUACCCAUGGUGACUGCUCGCGAUUUCCCGGUGCGAAUGAGUCGUGUAUUCCGAUGUCCCAGUCAUUAUGUGCAGUAUGACCUGGGUUAGUGGAGGUUUCCCAUCCACUUGGUAUACUACUCAUACGUAUCCAACGUAUCUACAAUUUUUUGAUUCUUCCAUGCUGAUAUAUUAUCAUUCUAGAAUACUUUUGGGGUAUUUAUUUACCAAUUUAUAUUAUUUUUGAGCACUAACCUAUUGAUCCAGCGACUACUGCCAGUUGCUAUUUUAUGCGUGUUUUUCACUUUUCAGGUUUUCCAUAGCAAACGAAGUCCAAUUGCCCUGAAAAUUUUUGGUGAUUUUUUCUGGACCAAAAGAAGACCAACGAGCAUCGGAAGAAGGUUGGAGGCCUCACAAGGGGCCCACAAACCAACAGGGCGCGUCAUGGGGGCGCGCCCUGAUGGCUUGUGCCUCCCUCAUGGCCCUCCCGACUCCGUUGUUUGGCUUAUAAAUUCUCAUAUACCCUAAAAACAUCAGAGGGAGUUCCGAAACACUUUCUACACCAUCGCAAGUCUCUGUUCCGAUGGGAGGCCAUCUGGAGUUCCAUUCCGACACCCUGCUAGAGGGGGAUUGAUCAUAGAGGGCCUCUUCAUCAACCUUUCUACCCUCAUGAUGAUAUGUGAGUAGUUCACCACACACCUACGGGUCCAUAGCCAGUACCUAGAUGGCAAUCUCUCUUUGUCUCUCUUUUAUCUUCAUUACAAUGACCAUCGCAACUUCGCUUUGAUCCAUAUAUAUGAUGUAAUUCCUUUCGUGCGAUGCAUUUGUUGGGGUCUGAUGAAUUGUGGGUUUACGUUCAAAUUAUUCGUGAUAAAUAUUUGAGUCUCCUCUGAAUACUUGUAUGAUUCUAAUGUGAAUGAUUAUGAUAGGUUCAUAAUUCUCUCCGAUCUAUUGAAAUAGUUUGGCCAACUAGAUCGAUAUUUCUUCGGUGAGAGAGGUGCCUUGUGGUAGGUUCAACCUCGCGAAUUUCUAUAUCCCAGUGACAUAAGGGGACAAGAUGCAUCUUUGUAUUGCCGCUACGAAGGAUAAAACGAUGGGGAUUAUUCAUAUUGCUUGAGUUUACUUUGUCUACAACAUGUCAUUUUCUCCAUGCAUUACUCUGUUUUACUUAAUACUCUAGAUGCAUGCUGGAUAUCGGUCGAUGAGUGGAGUAAUAGUAAUAGUUGCAGGGAGGAGUCGGCCUAUUUUUUAUGGACGUGAUGCAUAUAUACACAUGAUCAUUGCCGUGAAUAUUGCAUAACUAUCCGCUUUUCUGUUAGUUGCCCAACAGUAAUUUGUGUACCCAUCGUAUGCUAUUUUUCAUGAGAGAUGCCAUUAGGGGAAAGCUAUAUCUCCCGGGUCUAUUCAUAACUUAUUGAUAAAACCUUCAUUACCUUGCUUCCAUUUCAUUGUUUUAUGUUAUCUUGCUAUCUACAAUUGUCUACACACCUCACUUGCUUGCAAAUAACAAGACAAGAGGAUUGACAACCGAGUUGCCCGCGUUGGGUGCAAGUUAUUUGUUCUUUUGUGUGCAGCCGCUGAAGACGGUUGUGGUUGAUAUUCCUAUUGGUUCGAUAAACCUUGGUUUCAUAACUUAGGGAAAUACUUACCCACAUUGUGUUGUGAUAACCCGUUCCUCUUCACGAAAAACCCAACGUAGAUCACAAGUAUCAUGAAGGAUUUAUGGCGUCAUUGUCGGGGAAUAUCAUCACCAACUACCAAGUAACUCCACACAAAAUUUCAUUCACUUGUUUCCAUCUUUUUUUUGCUGUUCUAUUUAAUUUGUCUCAUAAAAAAAUANAUACAAAAAUAUUUACAUUUUCUUGUUUUGCUUCUCACUAGAUUGCAUCUUCGCUCUCUAGUUUUCUUGAAAGUUGUUAUCAUGUCUCAGUUUGAAAUUAGUGAUGCCUCCGCCUCUAGUGUGGGAACCCUUGAUUUGCCAACUUUAACUUACGAUGAGAAUGCUAAAGUAAAUUUUGAUGAAGUUUCUAAUGAAAAACUUGAUAAUCUUGCGAAUCAUGAUCCUCCUAAGGUAGAACCUAUUAUGCAAACUAAGAAACUCCGCAUAGGUGGUGGUAAUAUUAUUGGAAAGUGUGUUAUUCAAGAUUUUUUUCACUUGUGCAGGAUCAUUCCCUUUUAUAGGAGGUUUUGUUGUUGCUAGAACUACAAGUUAUGUGAAUGUCAUAUAUUUUCUUAUAGUACAAUCGGAGAGACAAUUUGUGCAUAUGCAUCCUUUUAUACAAUGGUUGUUCCUAGAAUUCUCUAAUAUCCAUGAAGCUAGCACUAAACAUCUAGCUACUUGUCACAUCCCUGGAUCCCUAACUAGGGUUUAGUAUUUGUGCUCAUGUUUUCUUCCAUUGCAUUCAAGAAAUUGAAACAAACUCCAAGAAGUGCUGAAACUCAAACCAAAAACCCUAGCCACUUCUAAUUCAAGGAAAAUUCAAAUCUUGUCAAAAUCAAUGAACCCAAAAUGGCCUUCUUUAAAGUUCAAUAUUUCUGAUAAAUAUUGAAAACAAGUUAUCAGGGGAGAAAACUAUUUUUAAGACAUCCUUGGCAUUUUAAAUUUAAUUCAGAAAGCCCCUGAAUUCAAACUUAAAUUUGAAUUCAAAUAUUUACAAGUUUCAAAACUGUUGCAAACCUCACGAGUAGUUGGCAAUAUUCCAACUAUCACUCCGGGCUAUUCAAAAUAAUUUUUGAACUAAUUUUGGAGCCAAUAUAAAUGGCAAAUCAAAUCAGCAACAAAACAGAAAACAAAAAUAGAAAAAAAUGGGAAAAACUUACCUGUCGCUCACCUGAGGAAGCCCAGCCCACAGGGGCAGGUUCGUCUUCUUCCUUCUGCCUUCUGGCAGAGGAGUGAACGCCCACGGUGACUCCUCCACCUCCUGCUUGCCGUGGCGCGCUCCGGUGCCCCCAGGACAGCGCGAUGGCGGGAAUGAGACCCCCGCACGCGUCCUUAUCUUCUCCCGUUCCCCAUUCCGCCCCCUCCUCUCGGCUUUCUUCCUUUCUUCUUGUGCCGCCAUGGACAGAGCUCAAGCUCGAGCUGCCCGAGCCCUCUAGCCACAGGAUACUUCCUCCGAGUGCUCCAUUUUCUCCGCCUCGUCGAGCUAGCCAUGUACGCCGAAGCAUUCGACCUCCCCAAGCUCUGGUGCGCCACAUCGCCGUCGUCUUCAACCUCCGGCCGUCGGCAAGCUUCUGUUGAUUCGACGUCCACAGCACCUCCCCGAGCCGUCUGAGCUUCCCAUCGCCUCCACCGUGAGCUUGCGCGUGUUUCCCCUCUUCUUCCCCCCAUUUUCCUGCAUGCUAGCCACUAGACCGACGAGCCCGAGCUCCGGCUGCUGCCUCAGCUCGUCGCUGGUGACCUCCGGUCAAUCCCAGUCCUUCCUGAAACCCAUAAUGGAUGAGGUCGAGCCUCGGGAUCCUCCCAGUGCUCUCGGCACUCGAUCCUGAGCACCACAUGCACCACAGUAAGUAAAGGUUGUGUGUUGAACCUGAUUUGGUAAAGGUACCGGUGAAAGGCUAUGUAGGAGUACAUGGCGGGUUGUUUCAUUGGAACCGUCCUUAGGAACUGAGUUCCGUGUAUGUAAUCCAAGACUAUAUACUACAACACGUUGGGAUACUUAAUUGACACUCACGACUUAUUAAUCGCUUAGUACUCGGUCCAGGAGUUGCAAGUAGUUUCUGGUGUUUAUAGUCAUGCUGGAGGCCGUGCGUAGCGCUGACCUUAGAAGUGGGAUAUGAUGCGGUAGGCAGUGGCACGGUGUACCAAGGGGCACCCGGAUGGUGGGCUUGGGAACCCUGCGCACAUCGUUUGGGGCCGUGGCGGAAACCUCGGCCGGACUUCCGUGCGGGUUACCCUCAGAUAGGCGAUAGACCUGGACUAAGUAUUAGCGUGGUUAACGGUCGUGGCCGACUCUCUCACUGGGCUUCCGCUUGGAGGUUGCCGAGGUGCAUGUCGUGCACAUGGCGAUAAGUGGCGAGAGCAUGUGUGAAGAAGUACACCCCUGCAGGGUUAUGAUCUAUUCGAAUAGCCGCGUCCACGGAUAUGGACUACUUGGAAGCAUAUGUUGUUCAUAGAUAACUUUAAUGGCUACUCAUAAAAUUGUCAAGAUAAGUGUGAGUGUCGUGGACGGCAUUUCCGUAUGGAGACGGAAUGAUUCCACGAUGGAGUAUUGUUGUGGUGUUAGUGGACUCAUGUGCGAGAAAUCAAGUUGUCAAAAUUAUUUAAAAAUGCAAGUUGUCUAGCCACGAGUCAAAUGUUGGCUUUCCGCAUGAAACCCCACAAUUCCUUAUUGAUACAUUGCAUGAGUAGAUAGCUUAUCCUAAAGUCUUGCUGAGUACUUUUGUACUCAUGUUUGCUUAAUAAUUGUUGCAGAGGUUGUUAAUGACCCUAAUGGAGGGUUCUACCUAGACAUCGACGAUGACGAGUAGCUGGGAUCUGGCCCUAGGGUGGGUCUGUAGAUAGUCAGGCCAUGUGCCUUUAUCUUUCCCUCUGUCUGUACUCAGACAGCUUUAAAUCUUCCGCUGGCUAGUAAGAUUGUGUGUAUGACUUGUGAUGAUGGGUCGUGAGACCCCUACUUUGUAAUAUUAUGUGUGUGGAUCUUCCGAGCCUUCUAAAUAAAGUUUGUAUGUUUAUGGUUAUGUUGUGAUGCCAUCGAUGUAUCUAUACAUAUCGGUAGGCCAUGCGUACGUGUGUUGUACUUGAUAUGUAUGGGGUUCGAUUACCUAGUCGUAGGCUUUAGUAGCAUUCCUUACAGGGAAAUGCCCCUUUGUGAUCCAACGAGCCAUGGUAGUUCGCUACUGCUCCGGACACAUUGGUUGACCAGCAUGUGUCCUUCUUAGCUAUUGUGUCUGUCCCCGUUGGGGAAAUUUUACCCGAUGUAAUGGAGUCCUUGUAGCUUGCUUCGACUUGUCUACAUUCGCUGGUGACCGACACCUGCUUUGCUGGGUCAUGUAUGCAUGUCCCUGUGUGGAACUGCCGCUUUGGUUUAUGACUAGACAUGUCGAUCCGGGUUCUUUGUCAUUGGAUUGCUAGCGACACAAUUGCAUACGCGAGUCAAAAGUCGCAAACGGUCCCGGCUAAGGUAAGGCUGCAACCGUGGGGAUAACCGUGUGUGAGACCGCAAAGAGAUGCGAUGUGUUACAGUCUGGAUUCCUAUGGCUUAGGAUCGGGGUCCCGACACUACUAUAUUCCUUUUCUAAAGAAUUUAGUAAUAUCAUACAAGAAGCUAGAGAUAUAUUUUCUCAUUUUAGGUUUGAUGGUGAUUUCCCACCCAUAGAGGGGAUUCUUUAUGAAUUGGAAGAAAUAAGAAAACUAAGAUCCAUAGACUAUCUUGCUUAUGAUGAGAACCUUAGAAAGAAGGUACCGCUUAAUGUCUUAGUUGAUAAUAUUUCUAAACACAAUGAUUAAUUUGCUAUAUCAAAACUUGGAUUGGAUUAUGAUCUUCAAACAAAAUUAAGGAAAUACCUCCAUAGGAAUUUAUACAAUGAGGAACUAACUAUCACUUAUGAAAAACCCAAGGGAGAGCCUCAUGUCCCCCCCCCCCAAAGUAGACCUUUCGGAUCCUAAUGUUGUGCUAUUUAACCCCUUCAAUUAUUUUUGCUAACCUAUCAUAAAUCUUGCUGCUCAAUAAAGGGAAUAUGAUUAUAGAAUGAUGGGUCAUUCUUAAAAAUAUGACAACACUUGAAACUAUGCAAUAUACCUAGCUAGGGGCAUAAAACAAUAGCGCUUGUUGGGAGGCAACCCAAUAGUUAUCUCUAUUUUUUCUUUUAAAUUUUUAUCAGUUUGCGAUAACAUGAUUAUUUCCUAUGUAAUUAUUAUGUUUCUAUGUUUAAUUACUGUUUGUACCAAGUAAAUCCUUUGGGAUGAUUUGCAUGAUGAGUAGAAUUAAUACGGUGCAAAAACAGAAACUUUGACGUCCACUACAGAAUAUCUCUGAUUUUACUAGAACGUAUUUUCAAGCUGAAAUUUUUACACGCUAUGAAUACGCAAAUUCGUUAGGUCGUCCUAAACUUUCAGAACUUUUGGAGUUACUUUAGUAUAGGUUCAUUACAAAUUACCACAGAUUGUUCUGUUUGAGUCACAUUCUGUUUUUGCAUGCGAAGUUUGCUUGUUUUGAUGAUGCUAUGAAUUGUAUCAGGGUAUAAGCCAUGGAAGAGUUAGGACACAGUACCCUAUGCUAAAAUAAAAUAAUAAUCAACUUGUAAGAGAACCUGAAAGUAUUUGAUAUGUUGCUGAUACUAACGGAUCUCACAAAGUUUUGUUGAGUUUUAUGUGAUUGAAGUUUUCAAGUUUUGGGUAUUGUCCUAAUGGACAAAGGAUUGAGGAUCAGCAAAAGCCUAAGCUUGGAAAUUCCCAAGGAACCCCAAUGUAAUAUUCCAGGAAGGCUCAAGCGUCUAAGCUUGGGGAUACCCCGAAAGACAUCCCCUCUUUUCGUCUCAAUCCAUCGGUAUGUUACUUUGGGCUAUAUUUUUACUCAUCACAUGAUAUAUUUUUACUCAUCACAUAAAAUCAUUGUUUGCUGGACACACCUAUCUUAGAGAUAGACCACGUCAUCACAAUUUGUUAGAAUACUCUAUGUGCUUCACUUAUAUCUUUUGAGCUUAGCAGUUGCUCUAGUACUUCACUUAUAUCUUCUCGAGCACGGUGGCAUGUAGAUUUUAUUGAAAUAUUAUGAUCUCGUUCUUCACUUAUAUUUGUUUGAGAGAUGAACAAAUAGUGACAGUAAUUUUCAUGGGUCAUAAGACUAGAUAAAAAAUAAUGAGUAUUCAAUGAGUGAUAAUUAAAACCAUCAUGUAGCACAUAUAGAGAAAUUAUGGGUUAAUGAUAUUGAUGUGGUGAUAUGGAAAAGGUAAGAGUGCAUUAUUAUUAAUUCAGAAAGGUGUAGAUAUUAAUAGAUGUUAAACUUUGUGCUCAUCUAAAAUAUUAAAAGGGCAUGGUGAUGAUGUGUGAACAUUUCUAUUCCUCGCUGAAAUCCUAGCGUUGUUUUUAGUCGAAGACGCACGAUGGUUAAUUCCUACCAACCCUCUCCCUCAGGGCAUGCGAGUAGUACUUUGACUUGUGAUAAAACUAAUAAAACUUUCCAACAAGUAUAUGAGUUCUUCUUGACUAAUGUGACACCAUGGACAUAUGCAAUCUCACCUCCUCUUAAUUGCUAGCCUCUUCGGUAUCGUGCAUCGCCCGUUCUCACCUUGAGGGUCGGUGCGACUUUCGCCAGUGUAUCCCAACCCCGUGACAUGACACGCACUGUUGCACAUAAACCUUUUUAUAUACUCCUCAAAACAGCCACCAUAACUACCUAUCAUGGCAUUUUCGUAUACAUUCCGAGAUAUAUUGUUAUGCAAAUGUCACCGUCACUUCACAUGACUAGUUCGUUCAUAAUCAUAAUGCUUUGCAUGAUCAUAUAGAGAUGACAUAGUAACCAGUAGCAACAAAGUGACAACAGUAGAAGCAAAGUAACAGCAGUAGCGGCAAAGUAACAGUAGCAGCAGUGACAGCAGUAGCGGCAAAGUAACGUAGCAAGGACCAGUAGGAAAAAAACUCGUAGGCAUUAGAUCGGUGAUGGAUGAUUAUGUCGGAUGUUAGUCAUCAUGCAACAGCUAUAACACGGAGAGAUAUGUAACUAGCUCCAGUUCAUCAGUGUAAUGUAGGCAUGUAUUCCGUAUGUAGUCAUACGUGCUUAGGGAAAAGAACUUGCAUGACAUCUAUUGUCCAUCCCUCCCGUGGCAGAGGGGUCCUAAUGGAAACUACGGGAUAUUAAGGUUCUCCUUUUAAUAAAGAACCGGACCAACGCAUUAACACUUGGUGAAUACAUGAACUCCUCAUACUAUGGUCAUCUCCGGGAGUGGUUCUGGCUGUUGUCACUCCGGGGUUGCCGGGUCAUAACACAUAGUAGGUGACUACAACUUGCAAGAUAGGAUCAAGAACACACAUAUAUUGGCGACAACAUAAUAGGUUCAGAUCUGAAAUCAUGGCACUCGGGCCCUAGUGACAAGCAUUAAGCAUGGCAAAGUAGUAGCAACAUCAAUCUUAGAACAUAGUGGAAACUAGGGAUCAAUCCCCGUCAAAACUAACUCGAUUACAUGAUAGAUCUCAUCCAACCCAUCACCGUCGAGCAAGCCUACGACGAGAUUACUCACGAACGGUGAAGAGCAUCAUGGAAUUGGCGAUGAAGGAAGGUUGGUGAUGACGCUGGCGACGAUUUCCCCUCUCCGGAGCCCAGAACGGCCUCCAGAUCUGCCCUCCAGAGGAAGAACUGGAGGUGGCGGCGCCUCCGUAUUGUAAAACGCAAUGAACUCUUCUCCUUGAUUUUUUCGGACGAAAAGGACUAAAUAGACCUGAGAUUGGAAGCGAUGGAGCAAUGGGCCCCACAAGCCUGCCAGACGUGGCCAGGGGGGCCCACGCCUGGUGGGCUUGUGGGCUCCAUGAUCCACUUUCUCCGUUGAUUCUUGCGCCAGUAUUUUUCAUAUAUUCCACAAAAAUUCUUCGUAAAUUUUCAGGUCAUUCCGAGAACUUUUAUUUCUGCGCAAAAACAACACCAUAGAAAUUCUGCUGAAAACAGCGUUAGUCCGGGUUAGUUCCAUUCAAAUCAUGCAAAUUAGAGUCCAAAACAAGGGCAAAAGAGUUUGGAAAAGUAGAUACAACAGAGACGUAUCAACUCCCCCAAACUUAAAACCUUGCUUGUCCUCAAGCAAUUCAGUUGUCAAACUGAAAGAGACAAAAGGAAAACUUUUACGAACUCUGUUUGAUCUUGUUGUUGCAACUAUGUCUAACUCAUAUCCAGAAUUUCAGCAAGAUCACAAGCUAACCACAUAAGCAAAUGACAUCUAGGUCUCACGGUAAACUCAUAUCAAUGGCAUAAUCAACUAGCGAGCAAAUAAUAAUAAGUCUCAAACGUCAACACUUCAAUCAAAACAAUCAUGAAGCAGUACGAAUAGAUGGUAUCUCUCUAGCUCUUUCUGAGACCACAAAACAUAAAUGUAGAGCACCUUCAAAGACCAAGGGCUGACUAAACAUUGUAUUUCAUGGCAAAAAAGAUCCAGUCACAGUCAUACUCAAUCACAGUUAAAAGCAAAGCAUAAAAAUGACAGAGGUGCUCUCUAAUUGGUGCGUUUAUAAGAAGAGGAUGACUCAACAGGAACAUAAAUAGAUNNNNNNNNNNNNNNNNNNNNNNNNNNNNNNNNNNNNNNNNNNNNNNNNNNNNNNNNNNNNNNNNNNNNNNNNNNNNNNNNNNNNNNNNNNNNNNNNNNNNUAGUGGUAUAUAUAGUUUAGUUGGUAGGUUAGUUAAUUAGUAGAUUUAGUGGUAGUUUAGUUAGUUGGUAGAUUAUGUUUAGUUAGUUGGUAGUUUAGUUAGUUGGUACAUUUAGUUAGUUAAUUAGUAGAUUUAGUAGGUAGUUUAGUGGUAGAUUGUGUUUUGUUAAUUAGUGGUAGCUAGAUUGUCUUUUAGCUACUUAGUGGUAGAUUCUGUUUUUGUUAUUUUGUUGUUGUUUAGUGCUAUAUAGGUUUAGCGAUAGGUUUAGUGCUAGUUUACGUAGAUAAGGGAAGAAUAAUAAGNNNNNNNNNNNNNNNNNNNNNNNNNNNNNNNNNNNNNNNNNNNNNNNNNNNNNNNNNNNNNNNNNNNNNNNNNNNNNNNNNNNNNNNNNNNNNNNNNNNNNNNNNNNNNNNNNNNNNNNNNNNNNNNNNNNNNNNNNNNNNNNNNNNNNNNNNNNNNNNNNNNNNNNNNNNNNNNNNNNNNNNNNNNNNNNNNNNNNNNNNNNNNNNNNNNNNNNNNNNNNNNNNNNNNNNNNNNNNNNNNNNNNNNNNNNNNNNNNNNNNNNNNNNNNGAAGAUGAAGAAGAAGAAAAUGAAAUCCCGACACCACGACACCUGACACGAUGCCCCGAAUCCUCGACACGACGCCCCGACACGACAUCUCGACGACUCCCCGACACGAAAUAUUUUUUAUGGAUCCUAGAUGACAUCUAUAUAGGUCAUAUAUUUGUGUUAGGUCAUAUAUUUUUCGAUUUUAUUAAUGAACACAAAAUAUUUGUGUUCAACGGGUGGAUUUACAUGUCACAGUUGUCUCGCUGCUGUCAGGUCUGCUGUCCGAAGACCUCCCCGUGCGUUCUACGAGCUCCGCCCCUGCAUUUGUGGGUGAGUACAAAUGUCAUAUCCUCCUCGCCCCUUCAUUUUUGGUGGGUCGGUCUUCAGAUGAAACUUGCUAGAUAUAGGUAAUUAAAUUAAUUUAUCAGUAUGCGUGACCAGUAUGUGUUUGCCAUUCGAAAGGGUUACAGUUAUAAAUAUGCAUGUAUUUGCAUAUAUUUAUAACCGCGAUUCUUCCGAAUUGUCCAACGUUAUACAUGGACAACCCGAGUAUGUGUAGAUUGGGUUCAUUUUCCCAUAUGCUUUGUUCCGGAUCCGAUGCAUAAUUUCGUCAGUGCCUCCCUCUUGUUCUCCGGAUACACAUCCUCUCUGUUUAUUAUGGAGACGUGUAUCAGGAGAACAACGGGGAGAUCCUACCGAAAUUUUGCGUUGGAUCCGGAGUAGGGCAUGGGAAAAUGGACCCAAUCUACACAUACUCGGGUGGGAUUAGGACCUAUCUUUACCUAUUAGCGCGUAGGUUGCAUUGACGUAAUAAAACUGGCGAACUUGAUUAACUGAUGAAUAUAUAUGCUGAAUUAUAUAUAAAUAUAUUUCUUGUGUGUUUAGUAACUAGGCAAGAUGAGUGUGUUGGAAAUAUGCCCUAGAGGCGAUAAUAAAAUGGUUAUUAUCAUAUUUCCUUGUUCAUGAUAAUCGUCUAUUGUUCAUGCUAUAAUUGUAUUAACAGGAAACAGUAAUACAAGUGUGAAUAAAUAGAUCACAAUGUGUCCCUAGCAAGCCUCUAGUUAGCUAGCUCGUUAGUCAAUAGAUGAUCAUGGUUUCCUGAUCAUGGGCAUUAGAUGUCAUUGAUGACGGGAUCACAUCAUUGGAGAAUGAUGUGAUGGACAAGACCCAAUCCUAAGCAUAGCACUAGAUCAUAUUGUUGGUAUGCUAAAGCUUUUCUAAUGUCAAGUGUAUUUUAUUUCAACCGUGAGAUUGUGCAACUCCCGGAUACCGUAGGAGUGCUUUGGGUGUAUCAAACGUCACAACAUAACUGGGUGACUAUAAAGGUGCACUACGGGUACCUCCGAAAGUGUCUGUUGGGUUGGUACGAAUCGAGAUCGGGAUUUGUCACUCCGUGUGACGGAGAGGUAUGUCUGGGCCCACUCGGUAGAACAUCAUCAUGAGCUCAAUGUGACUAAGGAGUUAGUCACAUGAUGACGUGCUACGGAACGAGUAAAGAGACUUACCGGUAAUGAGAUUGAACAAGGUAUAGGUAUACCGGCGAUCGAAUCUCGGGCAAGUUCUAUACCGACAAACAAAGGGAAUCGUAUACGGGAUUGAUUGAAUCCUUGACAUCGUGGUUCAUCCGAUGAGAUCAUCGUGGAGCAAGUGGGAGCCACCAUGGAUAUCCAGACCCCACUGAUGGUUAUUUGUCGGAGAGGCGUCUCGGUCAUGUCUGCCUGUCUCCCGAACCCGUAGGGUCUACACACUUAAGGUUCGAUGACACUAGGGUUAUAGGGAAUUUUUAUACGAGGUUACUGAAAGUUGUUCGGAGUCUCGGAUGAGAUCCCGGACGUCACAAGGAGCUCCUAAAUGGUCCGAAGGUAAAGAUUGAUAUAUAGGACGGAUGGUUUGGGACACCGGAAGUGUUUCGGGCAUCACCGGUAACGUACCGGGACCACCGGGACCAUCGGAGGUGGCCCCGGGGAUCCACCGAAGGGUGGCAACGACCCCGGGAGGUAAGAUGGGCCAAGUGGGGAAGGGAACCAGCCCCUAGGUGGGCUGGUGCACCUCCCCACUCAGCCCAAUGCACAGGCGAGAGGGAAGGGGGGGGCAAACCCUAAGCCAGGUGGGCCUAAGGCCCACCAGGUGGUGCGCCACCCCCUCCCACCCUAGCCGCCGCACCUGUUUCCCAUCUGGUGGCUGCCACACCACCUAGGGGGGAACCCUAGGGGUGGCGCACCCCCCUCCCCCUCCUCCUAUAAAUAGAGAGGGGUUUUGGCCCUUGGGAGAUAGACUUUUCCCUCUCUCUCGGCGCAGCCCUACCCUUCUUCCUCCUCCUCUCUGUCGGUGCUUGGCGAAGCCCUACCAGGAGACCUCGUCUCUCCAUCGACACCAUGCCGUCGUGCUGCUAGAGUUCUUCCCCCAACCUCUCCCUCCUCCUUGCUGGAUCAAGGUGCGGGAGACGUCACCGGGCUGCACGUGUGUUGAACGCGGAGGUGUCGUAGUUCGGCACUAGAUCGGAAUCGCUGCGAGUACGACUCCAUCAACCGCGUUCUAGCAACGCUUCCGCUUAGCGAUCUUCAAAGGUAUGAAGAUGCUCUUACCCCUCUCUCGUUGCUGGUCUCUCCAUAGGAAGAUCUGAAUAUGUACGUAACCCAACAGUGGCAUCUGAGCCAGGUUUUCUAUGCGUAGAUUCUAUGCACGAGUAGAACACAAAAGUUGUGGGCGAUGAUUUGUCAAUUUGCUUGCCGCUACUAGUCUUAUUAUUUUCCGGCGGUAUUGUGGGAUAAAGCGGCCCGGACCGACUUUAGACGUACGCUUACGUGAGACUGGUUCCACCGACAGACAUGCACACCGUGCAUAAAGGUGGCUAGCGGGUGUCUGUCUCUCCUACUCUAGUCGGAUUGGAUUUGAUGAAAAGGGUCCUUAUGAAGGGUAAAUAGCUUUGGCGUAUCAUCAUUGUGGCUGUCACGUAGGUAAGAAGGCGUUCUUGCUAGAAACCCAAAUCAGCCACGUAAAACUUGCGACAACAAUUAGAGGACGUCUAACUUGUUUUUGCAGGGUUUGACAUGUGAUGUGAUAUGGCCAAAGUUGUGAUGUUGCAUGUAUGAUGUAUCAGAUGAUCAUGUUAUUGUAAUAGGUUUCACGACUUGCAUGUUGAUGAGUAUGAAAAUCGGCAGGAGCCAUAGGAGUUGUCUUAAUUUAUUGUAUGAGAUGCAACGCCAUGUGCUUACUACUUUUACUUCAUUGCUAAUGGUUAGCUAUAGUAGUAGUGAUAGUAGUAGUUGGCGUGACGACUUCAUGGAGACAUGAUGAUGGAGAUCAUGGUGUCACGCUGGUGACGAUGAUGAUCAUGCGAUGCCUGAAGAUGAGAUCGAAAGGGCGAAGAUGAUAAUGGCCAUAUCAUGUCACUAUAUGAUUGCAAUGUGAUGUUUAUCAUGUUCUACAUCUUAUUGCUUAGAACGACGGUAGCAUAAUAAGAUGAUCCCUCUUAAAAUUUCGAGAACGUAUUACCUUAAGUGUGCAUAGUUGCGAAGGUUCAUUGUCUCGAAGCACCACGUGAUGAUCGGGCGUGAUAGAUUCUAACGUUCGCAUACAACAGGUGUAAGCCAGAUUUACACACGCGAAACACCUAGGUUGACUCGACGAGCUUAGCAUGUACAGACAUGACCUCGAAUACAAGAGACCGAAAGGUCGAACAUGAGUCGUAUGGUUGAAUACGAUCAUCAUUAAGUUGCUCACCAUGGUGACUAGUCCGUCUCACGUGAUGAUCGGACACGGGUUAGUCAACAUGGAUCAUGUAUCACUUAGAUACCUAGAGGGAUAUCGAUUUAAGUGGGAGUUCAUACUUAAUUUGAUUAAAUGAACUUAAUUGUCAUGAACUUAGUCUAAAAGUUGUCUUUAUAAAUAUUGUAGAUGGCCAACGUCAACCUCAAUUUCAACGCAUUCCUAGAGAAAAACAAGCUGAAAGAUGAUGGUAGCAACUAUGCGGACUGGGUUCGCAACUUGAAGCUCAUCCUUGAAGCAGCUAAAAAGGCUUGUGUCCUUGAUGCGCCGCUAGGUGACCCUCCCGCUCCCGCAGCAGCCGAGGACAUUCUGAACGUCUGGCAAGCGCGGAGUGAUGACUACUCUCUCGUUAGGUGUGGCAUGUUAUAUAGUUUAGAAACGGGGCUCCAAAGGCGUUUUGAGCAACACGAAGCAUAUGAGAUCUUCCAAGAGCUAAAGCUAGUUUUUCAAGCUCAUGCCCGUGUCGAGAGAUAUGAAGUCUCCGACAAGUUCUUUAGAUGUAAGAUGGAGGAGAACAGUUAUGUCAGUGUGCACAUACUCAAAAUGUCUGGGUUACACGAUCGUCUGACUUCACUUGAAGUCGAACUUCCGGAUGAUGCUAUAAUUGACAGAAUCCUCUAGUCUCUCCCACCAAGCUACAAAGGCUUUGUGCUUAACUACAACAUGCAAGGGAUGGAGAAGACCAUUCCCGAGUUGUACUCGAUGCUCAAGUAUGCAGAAGUAGAAAUCAAGAAAGAGCAUCAAGUGUUGAUGGUCAACAAGACCACUAGUUUCAAGAAAGGCAAGGGUAAGAAGAACUUCAAGAAAGACGGCAAAGCUGUUGCCGCGCCCGGUAAGCCAGAUGCCGGGAAGAGGAAAAAGAAUGGACCCAAGCCUGAGACUGAGUGCUUCUAUUGCAAGGGAAAGGGUCACUGGAAGCGGAACUGCCCCAAAUACUUAGCGGACAAGAAGGCCGGCAACGUUAAAGGUAUAUGUGAUAACAUGUUAUUGAUGUGUACCUUACCAGCGCUCGUAGUAGCUCCUGGGUAUUUGAUACCGGUGAUGUUGCUCACAUUUGCAACUCAAAGCAGGAACUGCGGAAUAAGCGGAGACUGGCCAAGGACGAGGUGACGAUGCGCGUCGGAAAUGGUUCAAAGGUCGAUGUGAUCGCCGUCGGCACGCUACCUCUAGAUCUACCGUCGGCAUUAGUCUUAAACCUUAAUAAUUGUUAUUUAGUACCAGCUUUAAGCAUGGACAUUGUAUCAGGGUCUUGCUUAAUGCGAGACGGCUAAUCAUUUAAGUCAGAGAAUAUUGGUUGUUCUAUUUAUAUGAGUGAUAUGUUUUAUGAUCAUGCUCCGCUGGUGAAUGGUUUAUUCUUGAUGAAUCUCGAUCGUGAUGUUACACAUAUUCAUAGUGUGAGUACCAAAAGAUGUAAAGUUGAUAAUGAUAGUCCCACAUACUUGUGGCACUGCCGCCUUGGUCAUAUCGGCGUUAAGCGCAUGAAGAAGCUCCAUACUGAUGGACUAUUAGAGUCUCUUGACUUUGAAUCAUUUGACACAUGCGAACCGUGCCUCAUGGGCAAGAUGACUAAGACUCCAUUCUCAGGAAUAAUGGAGAGAGCAACCGACUUAUUGGAAAUAAUACAUACUGAUGUGUGUGGUCCAAUGAACGUUGAAGCUCGCGGUGGCUGUCGUUAUGUUCUCACUCUCACCGAUGAUUUGAGUAGGUAUGGGUAUAUCUACUUGAUGAAGCACAAAUCUGAGACAUUUGAAAAUUUCAAGGAAUUUCAGAGUGAGGUCGAGAAUCAACGUGACAGAAAAAUCAAGUGUCUACGAUCUGAUCGUGAAGGAGAAUAUUUGAGUCACGAGUUUGGCACACACCUAAGGAAGUGUGGAAUCGUUUCACAACUAACGCCGCCUGGCACACCGCAACGCAACGGAGUGUGUGAACAUCGUAAUCGCACUUUAUUAGAUAUGGUACGAUCUAUGAUGUCUCUUACCGACUUACCACUAUCAUUUUGGGGAUAUGCAUUAGAAACUGCAGCAUUCACUUUAAAUAGGGUACCGUCUAAAUCCGUUGAGACGACACCGUAUGAACUAUGGUUUGGCAAGAAACCUAAGUUAUCGUUUCUUAAAGUUUGGGGCUGCGAUGCUUAUAUGAAGAAACUUCAACCAGAAAAGCUCGAACCCAAAGCGGAUAAAUGCGUAUUCAUAGGAUACCCUAAAGGAACUAUUGGGUAUACCUUCUAUCUUAGAUCCGAAGGUAAAACCUUUGUUGCCAAGAACGGAUCCUUUCUAGAGAAAGAGUUUUCUCGAAAGAAGUAAGUGGGAGGAAGGUAGAACUUGAUGAGGUAAUUACACCCCCUCUCGAACAGGAUAGUAGCGCAGCGCGGGAAGUUGUUCCUGUGGCGCCUACACCAACUGAGGAGGAAGUUAAUGAUGAUGAUCAUGAAGCUUCGAAUCAAGUUACUACUGAACCGCGAAGGUCCACAAGGGCACGCUCUGCACCAGAGUGGUACGACAACCCUGUGGUGGAGAUCAUGUUGUUAGACAACCGUGAACCUUCGAACAAUGAAGAAGCGAUGGCGGCCCGGAUUCCAACAAAUGGCUUGAGGCUAUGAAAUCCGAGAUAGGAUCCAUGUAUGAGAACAAAGUAUGGACUUUGGUGGACUUGCCUGAUGACCGGCGAGCCAUAGAAAAUAAAUGGAUCUUCAAGAAGAAGACUGAUGCAAACGGUAAUGUAACCGUUUACAAAGCUCGACUUGUCGCAAAGGUUUUUCGAGAAAUUCAAGGAGUUAACUACGAAGAGACUUUCUCUCCCGUAGCGAAGCUGAAAUCAGUCUAAAUCAUGUUAGCAAUUGCCGCCUUUUAUGAUUAUGAAAUUUGGCAAAUGGACGUCAAAACAGCGUUCCUUAACGGGAACCUUAAGGAAGAGUUGUAUAUGAUGCAACCAGAAGGUUUUGUCGACCCUAAGGGUGCUAACAAAGUGUGCAAGCUCCAGUGCUCCAUCUAUGGGCUGGUGCAAGCAUCUCCGAGUUGGAACAUUCGCUUUAAUGAGGUGAUUAAAGCGUUUGGGUUCAUACAGGUUUACGGAGAAACCUGUCUGUAUGAGAAAGUGAGUGGGAGCUCUGUAGCUUUCCUCAUACUGUAUGUGGAUGACAUAUUAUUGAUGGGGAAUAAUAUAGAGAUGUUGGAGAGCAUAAAGGCCUAUUUGAACAAGAGUUUUUCAAUGAAGGACCUUGGAGAAGCUGCAUACAUAUUAGGCAUCAAGAUCUAUAGAGAUCGAUCGAGACGCCUCAUAGGUCUUUCGCAAAGCACAUACCUUGACAAGAUAUUGAAGAAGUUCAAUAUGGAUAACUCAAAGAAAGGGUUCUUGCCAGUUUUGCAAGGUAUGAGAUUGAGUAAGACUCAGUCGCUGACCACGGCAGCAGAAAGAGAGAAGAUGAGUUAUGUCCCCUACGCUUCAGCCGUGGGCUCUCUAAUGUAUGCCAUGCUGUGUACCAGACCUGAUAUAAACCUUGCCAUAAGUUUGGUAGGGAGGUACCAAAGUGAUUCCGGUAUGGAACACUGGACAGCGGUCAAGAAUAUCCUUAAGUACCUGAAAAGGACUAAGGAAAUGUUUCUCGUUUAUGGAGGUGACGAAGAGCUCGUCGUAAAGGGUUACGUCGACGCUAGCUUCGACACAGAUCCGGGUGACUCUAAGUCACAGACCGGAUACGUAUAUGUGUUGAAUGGUGGGGUAGUGAGCUAGUGCAGCAGCAAGCAAGAAGUCGUGGCAGCAUCUACAUGUGAAGCGGAGUACAUAGCUGCUUCAGAAGCAACUCAUGAAGGAAUUUGGAUGAAGGAGCUCAUCACCGACCUUGGAGUGGUUCCAAGCGCGUCGGGUCCAAUGACACUCUUCUGUGAUAACACUGGGGCCAUUGCCAUAGCCAAGGAGCCCAGGUUUCACUGGAAGACGAAGCACAUCAAAUGCCGCUACAACUCCAUCCAGGACCAUGACCAGAGUGGAGUGAUAGAUAUUUGUAAAGUACACACGGAUCUGAAUGUUGCAGACCCGUUGACUAAACCUCUUCCACGAGCAAAACAUGAUCAACACCAUAAUGCUAUGGGUGUUCAAUACAUCACAAUGUAACUAGAUUAUUGACUCUAGUGCAAGUGGGAGACUGUUGGAAAUAUGCCCUAGAGGCAAUAAUAAAAUGGUUAUUAUCAUAUUUCCUUGUUCAUGAUAAUCGUCUAUUGUUCAUGCUAUAAUUGUAUUAAGAGGAAAGAGUAAUACACGUGUGAAUAAAUCGAUCACAAUGUGUCCGUAGCAAGCCUCUAGUUAGCUAGCUCGUUAGUCAAUAGAUUAUCAUGGUUUCCUGAUCAUGGGCAUUAGAUGUCAUUGAUGACGGGAUCACAUCAUUGGAGAAUGAUGUGAUGGACAAGACCCAAUCCUAAGCAUAGCACUAGAUCGUAUUGUUCAUAUGCUAAAGCUUUUCUAAUGUCAAGUGUCUUUUCCUUCGACCGUGAGAUUGUGCAACUCCCGGAUACCGUAGGAGUGCUUUGGGUGUAUCAAACGUCACAACGUAACUGGGUGACUAUAAAGGUGCACUACGGGUACCUCUGAAAGUGUCUUUUGGGUUGGUACGAAUCGAGAUCGGGAUUUGUCACUCCGUGUGACAGAGAGGUAUCUCUGGGCCCACUCAGUAGAACAUCAUCAUGAGCUCAAUGUGACUAAGGAGUUAGUCACACGAUGACGUGCUACGGAACGAGUAAAGAGACUUACCGGUCACGAGAUUGAACAAGGUAUAGGUAUACCGACGAUCGAAUCUCGAGCAAGUUCUAUACCGACAGACAAAGGGAAUCGUAUACGGGAUUGAUUGAAUCCUUGACAUCAUGGUUCAUCCGAUGUGAUCACUGUGGAGCAAGUGGGAGACACCAUGGGUAUCUAGACCCCGCUGAUGGUUAUUGGCCGGAGAGGCGUCUCGGUCAUGUCUGCUUUUCUCCCGAACCCGUAGGGUCUACACACUUAAGGUCCGAUGACGCUAGGGUUAUAGGGAAUUGUUAUACGAGGUUACCGAAAGUUGUUCGGAGUCCCAGAUGAGAUCCCGGACAUCACGAGGAGCUCCGUAAUGGUCCGGAGGUAAAGAUUGAUAUAUAGGACGGAUGGUUUCGGACACCGGAAGUCUUUCGGGCAUCAUCGGUAACGUACCGGGACCACCGGGACCACCGAAGGGGGCAACGACCCCGGGAGGUAAGAUGGGCCGAGUGGGGAAGGGAACCACCCCUAGGUGGGCUGGUGCGCCUCGCCACUCUGCCCAAUGCGCAGGGGAGAGAGAAGGGGGGGGCAAACCCUAAGCCAGGUGGGCCUAAGGCCCACCAGGUGGUGCGCCACCCCCUCCCACCCUAGCCGCCACCCCCCUUUCCCAUCUGGUGGCUGCCGCACCACCUAGGGGGUAACCCUAGGGGUGGUGCACUCCCUCCACCUCCUCCUAUAAAUAGAGAGGGGUUUUGGCCCUUGGGAGAUAGACUUUUCCCUCUCUCUCAGCGCAGCCCUGCCCUUCUUCCUCCUCCUCUUUGUCGGUGCUUGGCGAAGCCCUGCCGGGAGACCUCGUCUCUCCAUCGACACCAUGCCGUCGUGCUGCUGGAGUUCUUCCCCAGCCUCUCCCUCCUGCUUGCUGGAUCAAGGUGCGGGAGACGUCACCGGGCUGCACGUGUGUUGAACGCGGAGGUGCCGUAGUUUGGCACUAGAUCGGAAUCGCUGCGAGUACGACUCCAUCAACCGCAUUCUAGCAACGCUUACACUUAGCGAUCUUCAAAGGUAUGAAGAUGCUCUUACCCCUCUCUCGUUGCUGGUCUCUCCAUAGGAAGAUCUGAAUAUGCGUAGGAAAAUUUUGAAUUUAUGCUACGUAACCCAACAGAGUGAUCGUGCGUGGAUGUACACGGGUCACCCUAGUCAGAAAGAGAUGAUGAAAGAAUGGUUUCUAAAAACCAAGGAGUUUGUGAAAGCCGCAUUUGCAAAUGUGCAGGAAACAAACUGGUGCCCUUGUCCUGAAUGCGACAACUAUAACAAAAGGACAGAUGCUGUAAUGAUUAAACACCUGCAGAGGAGGGGUUUUAAGCCUAAUUAUACGGUUUGGACAUUUCUUGGUGACUCUAUACAACGCACUAGAGCUGAGGUGGUUCAUCGUCGCACCGACGAGCAUGGUACCGGGAUCGAAGACAUGGUGCAAGACUUUGAUGAUGCUCGGGAUUCGGCAGAUGAGAUGGAGGAAUCUGCAAAGGCCUUCUAUGAAAUGUUGGAGUCUUCAAAACGUCCUCUCCAUGAGCACACUGAGCUUUGUCAGUUGGAUGCCAUUGCACAAGUAAUGGCUCUGAAGGCUCAGUUCAACUUGGGAAGAGAAUCCUAUGACGCGAUGAUGACACUAUUUGGACGCUUUCUACCCAAAGGCCAUGUCAUGCCUGCAAAACUAUACCAGUCAGACAAAAUACUUCGUGUACUUAAGAUGCCCUAUGAGAAGAUACAUGCAUGUGAGAAAGGAUGUGUCUUAUUUAGGAAGGAGUAUGCACACUUGGACUAUUGUCCCAAUUGGAAGUCUUGCAGGUAUCUUGUGGCAGACAACGGUAUGGGUGAGAAGAGGCUGACCAAAGUUGCAGUUAGUGUUCUUCCGUAUAUGCCAAUCAUACCAAGGCUUCAACAUCUUUUGAUGGUCGAAGAGACAGCCAGAUAGAUGACAUGGCACAAAAUGGGCAAAAGAAUCGACCUAGAUGCGGAUGGGAAUAAGAUGGCAGUACACACAUUGGAUGGGGAAGCUUGGAAACAUUUUGAUGGAUUGCAUCACGAUAAAGCGGCAGAUCCGAGGAAUCCUCGAGUCUGCAUCGCCACAGAUGGUUUUAAUCCCUUCAGCAUGACGGCAACCCAAUACAAUAGUUGGCAUGUAUUUGUCAUUCCACUCAAUCUCCCCCCGGGCAGAUUAUGCAAAGAAAGAACAUAUUUCUAACAUUGAUAAUUCCAGGGCCCAAUUAUCGGGGGAAGAAUAUGAAUGUGUACAUGCAGCCGCUUAAGGAUGAAUUGCAAGAAGCUUGGGACAAUGGGGUCAAGACAUACGAUGCCGCUAGAAAAGAGAACUUCAAAAUGCAUGUGUGGUACAUGUACUCUAUGCAAGACUUGUCGGCGUAUGCGCUAUUCUACGGAUGGUGCGUGCAUGGAAGGUUCCCGUGCCCCACAUUCAAGGCAGCUCUUCAGUUUCAUUGGUUGCAGGAGGGUCAGAAGUAUUCUUGCUUUGACUUGCAUAGACAGUUCCUAGAUCCUGGCCAUCAAUUCAGAAAAGACAAGAAGAACUUUACCAAAGGUAAAGUUGUCAAAAACUUGGCACCACCUGUGUUGACAGGCCAACAGAUCCUGGAUCAGUUAAACGCCCUCGAGCCUGAUCCAAAGCGUCCAGGGUAUUUCAAGGGGUAUAAUUCAAAACACGCCUGGACUCACAAGCCAUGCUUGUGGGAUCUGCCUUACUUCAAAGACCUCCUUCUUCCACACAAUAUCGACAUGAUGCACACCGAAAAGAAUAUCAGAGAGGCUAUUUUUGGUACAUUGUUCGACAUAGAUGGGAAGACAAAGGAUAAUACUAAGGCUAGAGUCAAUCAAGAGACACUAUGUCACAGACCGUUACAAAACAUGCGAGAAGGCAAAGGAAAGCAGAAGUGGUCGAAGCCAAAGGACUGGUUCAAUCUUGGAAGGCCAGCUAUGAGGGAAAUUAUAUUGUGGGUCAAAAUGCACUUGAUGUUCCCCGAUGGGUAUGCAGCGAAUCUAAAGAGGGGAGCGAGUCUUGAAAAAAAUAAAAAUCUUGGUCUCAAGAGUCAUGAUUGGCACAUAUGGCUUGAGCGGGUAAUGCCGGUGAUGUUACGUGGCUUUAUUCCUGAGGAUGAAUGGCUAGUACUGGCGGAGCUGAGCUAUUUCUUCCGUGUUAUUUGUGAGAAAGAAUUGUCUCCUAGCGUGGUAGAUGACAUGGAAGAGUUUGCACCGGAGUUUCUAUGCAAGUUAGAGAAGAUCUUUCCGCCGGGCUUCUUUAAUCCAAUGCAGCAUUUGAUUUUACAUCUACCGACCGAGGCAAGAUUGGGUGGGCCCGUGCAAAAUUAUUGGUUCUAUGCAACUGAGAGGAUGCAGAAGACGCUUCGAGCUAAAUGUAAAAAUAAGCGUAGAGUUGAAGCAUCGAUGGUUAAGGCAUUCAUUACUGAGGAGGUGGCAAACUUUGUGACAGCACACUAGGAAGCCAAAUAUCAUCAUUUGCAUAAUCCGUAGCCUCGGUACAAUGAUGAAGACCCUAAAAGGGGUGGAUCUAACCUCAGCCUAUUCAAAGGGAAGCUCGCACCAGCUGGUGCUUCGAAACCAAUAACGUUGGAUGUCGAAGAAUGGCGAAACAUUUCGUUGUAUAUCUUCAACAACCUAACAGAAGUGCGGUUGUACAUCGAGUAAGUUCUCGACACAUUUUUUCAUAACUUCUAAUUCCUUUGAACUGCUCUUAUUCCUGGAUAUUUCAUACAGCCGAUACGUUGCCAAAUUCUCGGAUGGAGUGGUGACCCAAAAUGAUUUCGUCGAAGAGUAUGAGCUUCUAGCAAAUCAUGGAGGCGGCUAUCCCGGUUUCAUCUCUUGGUUCAAACAAACGGUAAUUAUCAAUAAUGGACCAUUUCAUUUCUUGGUCUAACUUUCGGCUAAUGCAACAAUCAUUUCGUAUUAAACUUGUAGGCUAAUUCAGAGUCUAUGGCCGCCGAGUUGAGACAAGCCGCUAAUGGUUUUGACUAUAAGGUCCAUUCAUUUGAGAAAUACAACAUCAAAGGGUAUCUCUUUGGUACCUUUCGCAAAGAGCUAUCUAUGCCCGACCGGAAAUCUACCAAUUGUGGUGUCUCUGCUAUCGGCAAAGGCGGUCUCGAGUAUUAUGGAAGGGUUGAAGCAAUUUAUGAACUUCAAUUAUAUGGUGAAAACCCACCGAACGUCGUAGUCUUGAAAUGUUCUUGGUUCCAUCCAAAGGAGACUACAAGGACUCAUGAACAUAUAGGACUAGUCAAAAUCUAUCCAAACACCCAUUUAGAUGUUCCCGAUGUCUAUAUUACGGCUCAACACGCGACCCAAGUUUUCUAUCUACCAUGGGCAUGCCAAACUGAUAAGAAUCUGGAAGGUUGGUAUGUUGUUUAUGAAGUGCAGCCACGUGUUAAACCAUCUCCCCCAAAUGAACAAGAUUAUGAACCUCACAUUAACUCAAACACAUAUGAUGGAGAAUUCUUCCAAGAAACACCUAUUUCCAAGAAACGUUUCAAGAACCGCCAUGCUUCACCCCAGAACAUGGAAGUAGACAACGACAAUGAAUCCAACUUCACCCCUGAGACGGAACCAACAGAGCUGGAACUAGAAGAGGUUACUGAUGGGAUGACCUGUCAAUGCUUGACUGAUUACAGAAACGCCUUCCACAACUUCAUUCGUUCAACCCGAUGAGCAUGUCAUUCAUGAAGAAAUGCGUGAUAGUGAUGAUGAUGAUGCAUUUAUUGAUGAUGAUUAUUAGUUUGUAAGAUUCCCAACUUAAAUUAUAUAUGUACGUAUUAUUAUUCAUGUGAGUUAUUCAAUUUUUUUAUGUUGUACUAAUUUAUUUUAAUCUUUAUCAUGGCAGGUCAGCAUGUGUUGAAAGAUGGUGGGCGCGGGUCUAGAUCGCUCAACAGGUUCUUCUUCGGCGGCCCGCACGAGGGGUGGUACUUCCAUUCCACCCCUAUGUCUCCGUAGAGCCUUUCCAGUCAGUCUGACGACACCACCCACGGGUGCUUCUUCGUCGGCGGCAUUGCCCACUGGGAGAGGUGCUGGCCGGGCAGGGAAGAAGGGGAAGGGUAUAGGGAGAGGUGGUGGCCGCGGAAGAGGUAGGCGGACUGUUGCGCCGUCCUCGUCACCACCACCAGCUCAUUCAUCCGAGCACAGGACUACUAUGGUGGACCCGUUUGCGGAGGAGGCUACGGGGACUCUAGUCUAGGAGCCUCGGGUGGACGGGCAUUCGGACCAUGAGACUCCGGUCCAGGAUUAGCCUCGGGUCGAGGUGCCUUCGGCCCACGAGACUCCGGUUCCUGAGGCUACGUCCUUGGAGACUUCUGCCACACACGCUUCGGCCGGCGUGGAGACGUCCGGAUGGGGUGCCUGGUCGGAUCGGACCGAGGUGCCGGAUUGGACCGAGGGUCCGAGUGGCUAUUCUGUUGAUGGCGGGGAUGAGUCUACGGAUAGUGAGGGUGACGUGCAGGUGGACGGGGCCACCGUGUACAGGCAUGGUAGUAUACGUCUCCCAGUCGCGUCGGCUACCAGCGAGCAGAGGCCGGUGAUUAAGCGUGAAGGGGAUAGGUAAGUACGUUUACUCUUUUUUUAGCUGCUGCCUUCAAGUUCCUUCAAAUAUCUAAUGCGUUGACCUUAUCAUACAGCAGGGGCUGGAAACACCCUGGUGGAGUCGACAAGCCAAACAGCAUCCUUGGUGUGCUUUGUCGGACAAAUUUCUCGGGGUUUGUCACGUUGCCUGGUGAGGGUCAGGUUCCUACACUAGGAUUUUCCUCGGAGCACUACCAGGCUGUGCAGGCCCCGUCGGAGGACAUUAUAGAUGGUGCCUUGUGCCACACGAGGGCCGAUAUGAUGAUCAACAACUUUUGGGCAAAUUAUCCUUUUACACAAUCUAAAAUUAACAAUAUAGCUAAUUAUUGUACUAAUCGGUGUUGUCUCGUUUGAUUGCAGACCUUCUAUACGUGUGAGGAGGAGGCGGCCAAGGUUAUCAAGGCCGAGUGUAGGCGGUUAUUACAGAAUUUACGCCACAAGGCUCGGCCGCGGGCCAUUCGAGACUACUAUGCCACGAUUGGUAUUAAGAAGCAGAAGAAGGAGUGCCGCGGAAAGUAUCUGAAGGAGGAGUACAUGAAGGUAAUUACCUAUUCUUAAGGCCUUGUAUGUAGUUUUCUUGAUUUGAUUCAUAGGUGUAGCGCUCAAAAUUCGAGCCGACCACGACAAUGCAAAGGAUCAGCGUAGCAAAAUGGUUGGUGUGCCACACCAUCAAGGGAGCGCCAACUUACUUCAGUUCGGACGAAACUGGGUAUGUGGUUUGCUUCAUGAUUCAUGCAAUUCAUUCUUCAUGCUAGCUUGAGCCCCUUACUAAUACUUUGUUCCUCUCUUUUAGGCGCACCAUAAUAAGAUGGAGAUGCCAAAGUUCUACGACCUUUAUGGCAUGGCCCAUACCGCCUCGUACAAGAAGGUGAAGGCAUUCUGUGAGUCUAACCUGGAUGAUCCAAAUAACUUCACCAGCAUCUCAUCCCACCACAAGCUCAUGAAAUACAGGUACACAGGAAAGGCUUGGAAAGGGGAGGACUUUAACCCAAGCCAGGAACCUUUGGAUCCAGAGCUCGUGAUGAUAUCUGGUGGCGGGAGGCCCCAUGGCUCGAUAGCCAUUGGAGAUGGGAUAAUACGUUGUCCACUCACUCUCCCGGAGAUCAAGGCGCGCCAGUCAAGCUCCUGUCCUAAGAUAACGCCUGGUCCACGGGCAGUCGAUCUUGCCAUCGAGGUUAGUUGUACGGACUCAGAAAACUUCCAUCCAUUUCAUUGUGUGUGUGCCAUCGAUCAUUACUGUGGUAGCGAGGAAUGGUGUUGCAGGUUGCUCUUAAGAAAGAGAGAGUGGCAAACGAAGCUGCUCUUGAGAAAGAGAGAGCCGCAAGCCAGGCUGCUCUUGAGGAGAGAGACCAGACCACAGCUCGGUUGAUUGAGGGGGAGAGGGCCCGCAAUGAGGUGGCUCACCUCGUCAUGUACGAGCUUAUUGUGGUAAGUUUCUUUUUCACAUUAGCCAAAUCAUGUGUGUAAUGUAUGCUUCAUUACUAACUAAUACGACUGACUCUUCAAAACCGAAUGUGCAGUCUAUGUACGAGAAUACCGGUCAAGCCCCUUCACCGAUGCCCAUCUUCUGUGCGAUUGGCACGGUGAGUUUCAUAUCAAUGGUCAUUAUAAACUAGUAUUAACAAUUGAGUGUCAUCAUGCUAACCGAGACAUUGCAAAAUAUCUUUUCUGCAGAAUAACUCCCGAGAGGCAUCGCACGACCCUUCUCCAGGGCAACUGUCUCCAAACGAAGCCGACGCAAGGACCCUGGUGUUUCUCCUCCUUCAUGACCAAUGUGGUAAGUUUUCUCCAAAAUGACAAAAUAAGCUCCUACUUGAUUUCUACUAGGAAAAAUAGUUAGUGAAACCACUAGGUUCAUAACUUAGCUAAUUUAGCUCCAAAAUGGUUAGUGAAACCACUAGUCUCAUAACUUAGCUAAUUUAGCUCCAAAAUGACAUAAUAAGCUCGAUUGAAAUAGUAAAAAUGAAAAGAAGAAAUAAGAAGAAGAAGAGAAGNNNNNNNNNNNNNNNNNNNNNNNNNNNNNNNNNNNNNNNNNNNNNNNNNNNNNNNNNNNNNNNNNNNNNNNNNNNNNNNNNNNNNNNNNNNNNNNNNNNNNNNNNNNNNNNNNNNNNNNNNNNNNNNNNNNNNNNNNNNNNNNNNNNNNNNNNNNNNNNNNNNNNNNNNNNNNNNNNNNNNNNNNNNNNNNNNNNNNNNNNNNNNNNNNNNNNNNNNNNNNNNNNNNNNNNNNNNNNNNNNNNNNNNNNNNNNNNNNNNNNNNNNNNCUUCUCCUCCUCCUCCUUAUUCUUCUUAUUCUUCUUCUCCUUCUUCUCUUCUUUCUUCUUCUCUUUCUUCUUAAAUUUAGCUUAUUUUCCCCAACAAAGACAUACUUAGCUAAUUAUCCUCCAAAAUGACAUAAUUAGCUUAGUUAGGCAAAAACAUCAUAAGAACCUUGGUUAGCUCAUUAAAAUGACUAAUUAAGCUCCUAAAAGACAUUAUAAGCUCAAAAUGGCAUAAGAACCUUGGUUAGCUCAUUAAUAUUAUAUACUUAGCUUGUUUUCCUCUAUAAUGACAUAAUUUGCCCAUUUAGCUCNUCAAAAUGAUAUAAUUAGCUUAGUUAGGUAAAAACAUCAUAAGGACCUUGGUUAGCUCAUUAAAAUGACUAAUUAAGAUCCUAAAAGACAUUAUAAGCUCCAAAUGGCAUAAGAACCUUGGUUAGCUCAUUAAUAUUAUAUACUUAGCUUGUUUUCCUCUAUAAUGACAUAAUUUGCCCAUUUAGCUCNGGAGUGCUUUAGUUCUAGUUUUCAUUUGAGUUGAUGAACAAUGUGGAACUAUAUGUAUAUGUAUAUAUGGAUGAAGAAUAUAUGUGGAACUACAUGUAUAUGUAAAUAUUGCUGAAACUUUGUUUAUGUUGGUUAUUUUGAUAUAUGCGAUGUACAUUGAUGAACAAAUGGCAUUGAUGAACUUUAUAUGUAUAUCAUAUAUGUGUUCUGACCUAUAUAUCAUAUCUGUGCUAUGAAUUAUAUAUAAAUAUAUUUCUUGUGUGUUUAGUAACUAGGCAAGAUGAGUGUGUUGGAAAUAUGCCCUAGAGGCGAUAAUAAAAUGGUUAUUAUCAUAUUUCCUUGUUCAUGAUAAUCGUCUAUUGUUCAUGCUAUAAUUGUAUUAACAGGAAACAGUAAUACAAGUGUGAAUAAAUAGAUCACAAUGUGUCCCUAGCAAGCCUCUAGUUAGCUAGCUCGUUAGUCAAUAGAUGAUCAUGGUUUCCUGAUCAUGGGCAUUAGAUGUCAUUGAUGACGGGAUCACAUCAUUGGAGAAUGAUGUGAUGGACAAGACCCAAUCCUAAGCAUAGCACUAGAUCAUAUUGUUGGUAUGCUAAAGCUUUUCUAAUGUCAAGUGUAUUUUAUUUCAACCGUGAGAUUGUGCAACUCCCGGAUACCGUAGGAGUGCUUUGGGUGUAUCAAACGUCACAACAUAACUGGGUGACUAUAAAGGUGCACUACGGGUACCUCCGAAAGUGUCUGUNGCGGAUGGCAAAGGCCUUUGCCAUCAGGCAGCUGAUGGCAAAGGUGCCACGUGGCACCCAGCUGUGCAACCUGGGCAGCAACAGUUGGCCGUAUGGGCUCUUUGUCGUCCGCUGCCUCGGGAGGCUAACGGCACAGCGGUAGGGAGGCAAACGGCAAAGAGUAUGAUCCCUGCGCUGGCCCAACUCUGUGCUGGCCAUAGAAGCAGAUGACAAAGAGGGGGAGGGACGCAGACGACAAAGAGAGGGAGGGAGGCAUACGACAAAGAGAGGGAGGAAGGAAGAUGGCAACUAGAGGGAGGAAGGCAAACGACAAAGCCUCUGUUAGCCCUAACGGAGGCGUUGCCUGUCGGCUGCCCUCUAAGCAUGUUUGUCGUCUGCUCUAUGCCAGAGGCUGACGGCAAAGACCUUUGCCAUCCGCUUAAGGAAGACUGACGACAAAGAAGGUGAUAUGUCGUCGAAAGUCAUCGUAGGAACAUUGCCGACAGGAGGCUGACGACAAAGACCUUUGCCGUCGGUGGAUCACCUCUUUGCCGUCUGUUAUGGCAGACGGCAAUGAGUCCGAUUCCUCUAGUGAUUGGUGCUAAAAAUGUGGUAUUGACCAUUAUUUAGUUGUUGAGGAUUGCUGUGAAAUCCAUACUGAUUGCUAUUUUGUUGAUUUCCUUGGUCAGAACGCUACCUAUUACCAGUAUUCUCUUGGUGCUGAUAUUCUAAUCUAGAACCGCCUGGUUCGUUAAAUCCGGACCCUAAGAAACCUCAAGACGAGCCGCCUUGCGGGCCAGGUUGUUCAUACUGACCCGAAUGUCCACCAUUAUCCCCAAGGUGGCAUUGAAAGGCUUGAUUUCUAAACUCCUGCAUGAUAUAGAAAUUUUCCCAUGAAUGAUUAGAUGGCUUAUCCUGAGUGCUAUCCUUUAGUCAAGGCGCCUUGAGGGCCUCCUCAUAGUUAUGUGGCUUAUUCCCUUAUAAGGUCCUUCGGAACGGCGCUGGUGUUUAAAUUCAGUGUUGGUAUUGGCCACAAAUUCUGAACUGCCCUCAGACUACCUCCGUUUAUUGUUGUGGUUUCCCUGGUUUCCACUUUGUUGGUUACCUUUGGCACCUUCUCCUUUCUUGCACUUGUCGGUCUUGUCCUCGUCUGACCCAGGGUCUUUCGUGCCACCUGACUCGGCGUACCUUGUCAGAACGUCCAUCAAGUCGCCCAUGUAUUGAGUCUUUCGCUUCAAACGACCCAACUUAAGCACCAAUGGCUGGAAAUGACAAUUCUUCUCCAGGUUUAGAACGGCUUGUGAGGCUAUUAUACUAUCCGAUGAAUCAAUUAUUUCUGCAACCGACGAGUCCAAUGAUGGGCUCACUCGCCCGUCCGCUGAACGUAAUGCUGGAGAUCCACAAUUGUCAUCGGGCGCUUGCAUGUUCCUUAGAAUUUUUUUACGAAUCGUUCCUUCAACUCCGCCCAAGUGUUGAUGGAAUUAGGUGGAUGUUUUUUAAGCCAAGUUAGGGCUGGCCCUUCUAACAUCAUCAUCACAUACUUUGCCCAUACCUCAUCACUGACGUCGAGCAUGUCCAUGGCUAGCUCGUAACUUCCAAUCCAUACCACCACCUCAAGAUCUGAUGUAUAGUUUGGCACAUUGCGCGGUCCUUUCAAGUCUUUGGGCAUGGGCUCGCUACGAAGAGCCAGAGAUAAGCAUGGAACACCGAUUGUCCUGGUGCUACUUCUGGCUCCAUGUGUUGCUUAUUGUGGUUCCGCUACAUGCGGUUGAGCCGCCCGCCUCAUGGCCGCUUCUGCCUCCACCUGACGGGCGGCUCUUGCCGCGUCCACCAAGUCUUAGGAAUUCUGAAAUCCUGGACCAGUCGGGGAAACCCAAAGCUGUUGUCGCCACACGUUACUGGAAACAGCCGAUGACUCCCCAUGGCGGAUGAUAUAAGGUGUGGAGUGCAUUCGAUCUCGACUGUAUGAGUACUGCACCUGUUGGGCCACUGCCAUCUUCAGCAUCUCAGUCGCGUUCCUAGCUUCAAUUUCCACCGGGGUGUUUCCAUGUAUAGGGAGCGACUCCAAGUGACGCAUUGCAGCCAACAUAUGGUCAACGGGGUUGGAAAAUAACCCUGUGGUGUGUAAAAAUGAUGUGGCCAUGCCUGAGCUGGUUGUGCCUUAGCCAGUUGUGCCUAAGCUGGUUGUGCCUCAUCUGGCUAUCCCUGAUCAUGCGGCGGGUUCCGUGCAGCGUGAGGACUGUGGGGACUAGCAAAUAGGAGCGUCGGUGUUACGUCUAGUGGUAACCAAGAUUGAUGUCUCCUCAAGUGAAUCGCCUCUUUUGUCUGUUAUCGAAGUCCAAGCUGCCACGCCUCUACCCGUAAAUGCUCCAACUCAUCACCGACUCGAUCCUGUGUCUCUGCAAACCGUAUGUUUUCAGUGUCGAUCUCUUUCUGAACCUUGAUCAUCUUUGUGCAGAGUUUUGCUAGUUCUGCAUUACGUUCUUCUCAGUUCUCGUUGAUUAUUGUAUCCUCCAAGAGAUUAGUCAUCUCGGCAUUCAGGUCACUCAUGGCUUGAGACAACGUUUUACUCGACCCACCAGCCUCAUUGGUGGCUCCUGCUGUAGCUGGAUCUGAUGAAGGCGCGACUCAAGCCAUGUAAAUAGUGACUUGCCAAGGUGGGUCAUCUGGCUCCGUCGUAGCUUCUUCCUCCAGAGCUUCCCCAAGCUCGUUACUAAGGGGAAAGAUGGAUCCGGUGUAUCUCAUGGAGGACUCGCCAUCAUGGUUGUCAUUGUCGAGGAUGUCCUCAACGUUUGCCGGUUCAUCCGCAAGGCUGAGCCCCUAGGUCAAUCCGACAAACAUGUGACGACUAUGUGUUUGGAAAUGACCGUGUCGGUCGCGCCGAGUCAGCUCGUUGACGGUGGUGUAUAUGUCCGACCCGAGCAUCCUUGCGCAGAUCUGACCGAAGGGGAUCUGCGAAUUAGUUUCUCCUAAGCCGACCUUAAAGCCCUAACCUAUGUUGUUGAUGUAGCGAUUGUUGCGAUGAUUCUUGAUCAUCUUGGCCACCGCGCGACUCCCAAAUCCCGGAAGAGUUCCCUCUGAGUACUCAACUCCACCUUGUGAUUGCCCCAUGGUGGGCGCCAACUGUCGUGGUUUUUUCGCGGCAGAUGUCCUCAUGAAUGGACUUAGUGGUGAGACCAUUGUCGUGAUGUGGGGACUCGAAGGGGUUGAUUGGGAAACAAAAGGCGGAUUUACCCAGCUUCAACCCCUCCGAUGGAGGUAAAAGCCUACGUCCUGCUUUGUGUUUGUAUUGAUGGCAAUCUCGAUUACAAGGGUGCGGAAUCGCUAACCUAGCUCUCGAGGGUUUCUAACUUGAUAUCUCUGGCUUGAGGGUCCUCCUUUAUAUAUAGGUAGAGGCCCCAAGUCUACAGUGAAGUCUCAGUCAAAUAAACAGUCGGGUGCUACUACAAAUCUACCUUAUCUUUCUUCCUAAGUGAGGAAAGCUUCUAGUGUCUCUUGCCAUGUUCAUCUUUGAGUCGCCGCCUUCUGGUGAUGGGCCACUUGGGGGCUUUGUCGACUAAGUCCGCCGGCCCAUAUUCUCAUCUUUUCCUUGCGGCUUGACCCGCCCUCAUAAGGCGGAUUAAAUCCUGGGGUUAUAUCCCCGACACUCGGGAAGAAAACUGGUCGGCGCAUACCGAGUUCAGAUCCGGAGCCCCCGUGAGGCUAACCUCGUGUGUUAGAAAAGGUAUUGACUGGGGAUCGGCCUUGGAGGUGAAUGCGCUAUAGAAGCACAUCACACAGAUGGGGGAGGCGAAUAUCAAGCUGACCAACGUGGUUCAGGUCAUGCUCCGCCGUUGCAUCCUUCCCUGCGAGCGUCGGGACACUCCAAUGUGGUCCUACAAGCUUGGUGACCCCAAGACCGUGCACCAGUUCUACCACACUACCCAUGAGAAAUUGUGGAGGGUGUUGUUCAAACCUCAACAGGAAUGGCCGGUCGAGGAAGAAGACGCCGGCUUUGAUGCCGAUCACCCUCCCUUGGAGGAAUAACUGAGCUUUUAUCUUAUUUAAAGCUUUAAUAUUUAGCAAGGAGCUUAUCCUUUCCACCAUCAUCCCUGUAGGGCUGGUUGAACAAGGCCGUGAAAAUAAACAACCCAGCCACCUACCUGAGGACCCCAGGUCGCCAUUGUUGAUCGUGAUGCUGGUGGUGGCGCCAUACACGACACUAGAGAAAAAAGAGAAAAAGAAAAGGGAGGCCCGCGGGGGUCUCCGCUCGAGGGGUCCUCCGGAUACCAAGUUCGGAGACACCCAUGCUUCCUCCACCUACGAGAAAGAGGAUGCACAUGACGGAGAGGAGAAAGAUUCCCUCCGAACAAGAAAGAGGACGGCGCUGGAGGAGGCCAAGGAGGGCUUGCCUCCUCAGGCCCGGAAGAGGCCCUACAGGAGCAAGGUCAUCCAUUCCGACGAUAUCUCAAAUUCUGAUGGGGACUCCGGGGCCUUUGAGAGGGUUCCCCGAAGGAACCCCAGGAUCAAGCCCUGUCGAAAGGUAUGGAAUCCAAACUUUAUUUAUUGGAAUUAUACUGAGCAUUUGUUAAUAAACAUACGUGCUCCUUUCCUUGACGCAGCCCUACCUGAAACCUCUUGACGAACCAGGUCUAAAAGGGGGGUUCACCACCGGCCAAGCUAGCGGAGAGCGGGAAUGUGUCCCGUACUACUCUCCCUUGGGCAUCGGACGAGGUUGCGGAGGUGAUAUCCCACCAGGCCCCUCCGAACAUGGGGGACGAGGUGGUGAUGGCCGAGGUUCAUACGUCGGCCACCGAAGAUCGAGAGGUCCCAGACAAAGUUCAUGCCUCGGUCACCGAAACCCAAGAGGUUGGCCCCCUCCUGACGAGUGGGGAGGGGGGCCGUGAUUCUUCUCAGCUUCCUCCGGAGGUAGCUCCAGGGACCUCUGAUCCUCUGAUGUCUUCAACGUUGCUUCUGAUGCCGCCUACGACAGAAGGGCUACGACCGAGUGGCCUGCAAUGAUGGAGGAGGCUUUAUCCAGCUCAUCCAUUGCCGAUGAACAUCGCACCCUUAUGGGUGCAAUCCUACAAAGCAUUCAGUCCGUUGACUGUGGACUGAAGGGAGCCUUCAGCGGUUUGCUGGCAGGCUUCAAGGUAAACCAUGUAGUGUUAGAUUUAUUUAUAAGGUUCUACAUGCCUUAUAGGUAUGACAGCCCCCAAGCCAUGGGUGAGUUGAAACACUUACCCAUGGAUGAAAAGAACUUAUAGACAUGAAUAAAAAUAGUUCGGGGACCCUUGAACUAUAAUAACUCAGGGAGGGGGGGUACUUUGACCAAAUGUCCUAGUCCCGUUAGCUCGGAUGCUUGUCAAUCCAGAACUUGUCUCGCAGGCCUCGUCCUUGGUUGUGGCCACCAACACCCUUGAACUUUCCGAACUAGACCGAAAACUCAAGGUUUCCGAUGAAGAACUCAGCCGUCUUAAUAGUAGGCUCGACGAGAAGCAGGGUAAGCUUGAUGUGUGCCAGUAAGACUCUUGUUGUACUUAACAAUUUAGUACUGUCUGGCUUUGGUAUAUGACAUAUUUAUUCCGAUUAUGUUAGCAUCUAUGGACGUGGAGUUAGAGAAACUCAAGGCCGAAUUGGAAAAGGCCAAGCAGGAGGCUGUCGCGCAUAAGAUGGUGGCCGAGCAGACAACUGCUGAACUAAGCUCGUUGAAGGUUGAGAGCAGCGGGCACAAGACUAGAGUGGCCGAGGUCUAUCAGGAGCUUCAAGAUGCGAGCGCUAAGAGCGAGGCCUUGGAACAAAAAUCCAAAGAACAAGCGGCCGAGCUAUCGGAGUUGUCCUCCGAGCUCAAUCAGAGCGGUUAGAGAGGCGCUUUUUCAAAGAAGAAGUGCGCCAAGCCAAGAAUAUUGCAGAUGGUAAGCCAUACUUACUGCAAUGUGCCUUUGGUGGAAACAUGUUUGCCUUUCUUACAUGGCUAUGGCGUUCCCCAGUCGGCUUUACGGACCUCCUGUGGAGUGCAGCACACACGGCCAAGCGCUAUGCGGCCCAAGAAGGGGACACCGAGCAGAGGCUUUUCUGGGCACAGUUUCAGACUCCCGAGCCCAAGCCCCUUCUCGUCUACUAGAUGAAAUAGCUCAUGGAGUUGCACAGGAUGGCAGAGCUGGCCAUGAAGGACCUCUGCAUCCGGUUGUGGCCUGCCAAGCCUCUUCCAAGCAGUUACUUCAGCUUAGUGCGGAAGUUGUACAACGACGUGCGUCAAAUCGAGGCCCUGAAGCGCUCUGUUUGCAUAGAGGGAGCUCGGAUGGCUUUUGCGAGGACCAUGAUGCACAGGCCAGGGGAGAAUCCCCUUACGAUGGCAACCGCACCUCCGCCUCUUGGAAAGGAGCACAGGCGUCCAAAGCUUUAUUUCUCUACCGCAGCGGAGGGUGCUCGGGCCAUAGAACUUUGGAUUUUUGUUCGAAGGCCUCGCUCUUGGUGCUCGCAUCUUGAAGCUCGGGUAAUUUUUGAGUGAGGAUAUCGUUGUCUGCCUUGGAACAAUUUAUUAUUAUGAAGCUUGUCCCACUGUAAUGCACUUUGUAUUAUUUUGACUGUUGUGUGGCCGUUUAAUCUCAAAGUUUCCAGUCGUCGGCUUCAUCCCCCAUGUAAAGACUACAAGGGGUGUUUCGACAUCUGCACUGUGACCCUUAGCCGAUAUAUCGGUGCCGGAGGCGGUAGUGUGUGAAGGAAAUGAGGGAAUCGGACUAUGCGACUUUAGUGCUUUCACUUAGCCUUAGGAGCUUGAAUUCGAGGGCUGACUACGAGUCUCCAUUUUUUUGUGGUAGUGGGAUGAACCAGAUUUUGAGACAUUUACCACAAGGUUUGCAAAGAAACAAACACCUCUAUAUGACACGGAAUAAAACCUCCAUCGGUCUUUCGUACUUAAGCUCGGAUUGCAGACCAGUUCUCGCUUAUUAUGACAGUCAGUUUUCGGCUUUCUCCACUGAGGUAUUUUAGCCAGGCUAGUUGGGAAUACAAUCGCAGUGGUUCUCCCUUUACCCCUUUAGCUGAACCAGUAGAACAUAAGGGGGUAAGAACAGGAGCGGGGCAACCCAAUUAUCGACCCAAGACAUGAUUCUGAACCGAUGCAUAUAAAGCAAUAUCAUAGAAACCGAACACUUAAAAAGUAGUGAUGGGGUAGUGCUCGGGGAAGUACUUUCAUCCAAGCCCCUGUCUAUUAGCCCAUCGCACUUGAUAUUUAUUGAACAAUUUUACCCAUCGACGCCAAUGAGCAGGAAACAUAUAUAUGUAAAGAUACUGUAAAAGAGUAUAUAAAUAGUAUUUGCUAGGAAUUUUUAUAAUUUGUGGCACCAAGGUAGUUGUUAUAGGUAACUAUUGUUUUGAACAACAUAUUUCAAAGCAACUUUCUUCCACACGACCUUCCAAGGGUGACUUGACGUUCGCCCUGCUUCUAGCUGCACAAUUUCUCCUAUGCUUUCUAUAAGGGAGGGGUAGUAUCCUUUAAUGGUGGUUGUUUUCUACAAACGGACCUUGAAUAGAUGGUCUUGAAAAGCUGUCGUGGUAUGGGUGAGCUUGAUGCUUGGGAGAUCCUUAAUGGUAUCUCAUUUUUUGUCCGUGAAUACGUUUGGACGUAGUUUGGUCGAACCGAACAUAUGGUCCUUGGUAGUGGAUCCCCACAGCUGCCCAUGGUAUUUUGAGAAUGAAAUUGUGUCUACGAGGGACAUACCUUAUGGGUGACCGGGCCAUGCCAUGGGGAGCGUAUCCCUAUUUUCUUUGAGACAGAGAUAUCUCCGGGGGAUCCGAUUGAGCUCGGGCUCGCUUGCUCGCCUACCACGCCUUGAUGGCUAGCUUGUGUCGUGCUGCUUCUUUUUUGUAUUAGCAUUCAGCUGCCAAGGUCGCUGUGUGCUCCUCGGUACGGAGGGAGCGUUCUGUGUUGUCGUUGAUGGUGAUAACUCCCCUGGGUCCGGCCAUUUUGAGCUUUAGGUAGGCGUAAUGGGGAAGAGCGUUGAAGCGGGCGAACACCGUGCGGCGGAGUAGUGGGUGAUACCUGCUGUAGAAGGUGACGAUGUUGAAGAUUAAGUCUUCGAUGCGGAAGUUGUAGGUCAGCCGAACACAACCUCCAGCAUUACCGUGUCGGAGCAGCGGGAUCACUCCUUUGAAGGUAGUGUUGCUGGGUUUGAUUCUUGAUGGGUCUAUGCCCAUCUUAUUUGUCGUAUCUGAGUAAAUCAGGUUAAGGCUACUUCCUUCGUCCUUAAGGACUCUAGUGUGGUGGUACCCAUAUAUGAUGAGGUCUACAACAAGGGCGGCCAGCCCUCCAUGACUGAUACUGGUCGGAUGAUCCCUACGGUCGAAGGUGAUCGGGAAAGCCGACCAUGGGUUGCACAUCGGGGUUAUGGGCUCUAUGGCAUAUACCUCCCAAAGGGCUUGCUUCGUCUCCUUCUUUGGUAUGUGAGUAAUGUAUAUCAUAUUCACGGUUUUCACCUCUAGGGGAACUGUUUUUGGCCCGAGUUGUUCGGAACGCGGGCUCUUCAUCAUCCUCGUUUCGUGGGCCCUUGCCUUGUUCGUCGGUUGCUACUUUGCCAACCUAUUUAAACACUCAACAGUUACGAUUUGUGUGGGUGGCGGUCUUGUCUUGGGUGCCAUGGAUCUAGAGAGGCCUUUACAUAAUACUAUCUAAUGUAGUCAGUCCAUUCCUGUUCCAUUUAAAUGGUUUCUUUCGCUGUCCGGGUUUUGAGCUGCGGAAGCCAGCAUUUAGGGUUGUGUCAACGGCGUCACCUUUACGGUGGCGGAGUUUGGUCUUGUUUUUCCUUGGCUUGCCAUUUCCAUCCUGAACUUUAGAGGUACCGGGGUCGUCCGCAUUAUGGUCGCGCCGAGCUAGAAAAUUGUCCUUGCCCGCGCAAAAGCGGAACAUGAGGGAAGUGAGAGCGGACAUUUUAUCGGCCUAUCCUCGCCGACCUGGCGAGCCAACCAUUCGUCCUGGGUAUUGUGCGUGAAGGAGGUUGUCGCAUUGUCAUCCGGACAAUCCACGAUCUAGUUCUUCUUUGUUAGGAACCUAUUCGAGAAUCCUAUGGCCGAUUCGCCCGCGUUUUGGAUGGCGUUGCUUAGGUUGGAGGAAUCCGGUGGUCGAACGUAAGUUCCCUGAAAAUUAGACAGGAAGGCUUCUUCAAGGUCUUACCAACAUCCGAUGGAAUUUUCAGGUAAGCUAUUUAGCCACUACCGUACUGGCCCUUUCAGCUUUAGGCGUAGUUACUUGAUGGCGUGGAGGUCAUCUCCCCUGGCCAUAUGAAUGUGGAGAAGGAAAUCUUCUAUUCACACGGCGGGGUCCGUAGUCCCGUCGUAUUGUUGUAUGUUCAUGGGUUCAAACCCUUCCGGGAAUUGGUGUUGCAUGACCUCAUUUGUAAAGCACAAUGGGUGGGCGACGCCUCUGACCCAGGCUAUACUGUGCCAGCGAUCGGCUGUUGGUUUUGCUCGGUACGAUUCUCGAUCUCUAUUGAUGUGGGUAAACCAAGGUUGGUCUCCGUCCCAUCGAGUGGGAGAGUACCUUCUAGAUCCAUACAUGGACCUAUUGCGACCUGUUCUGUUGUCCAAGUCGUGACGUAGGUCAUGUCUACCCCUGGGUUGCACAUGAUCCUUUCCCUUCCUGCUGGGAGGCUCGGGUCCAUACUCGGCUUCUCCGGCCGCUCUGUCACGCCCUCGAGGUUGGCAAUCGGGCUGAUCAUACUGGGUGCGCCUGGGGGACACGGGCUCUCGGGCCUCGUCAUCGAACUGAGGCAGCACGCGUCGGCGUGGGUACCUUUUGUUCUGAUCUAGCCACUCGGUGCCAUAUCCUUCUUUAUUUGCCAAUACUUUUGUCCAUCUAUUGUUUAUGGUGUCAUGUUUGGCUUGGAGCCGCUGUUGCUUCGCUUGGAGGCUGCGGGCGAUAGCUACGAGUUGUUGCUUGAACCGUUCCUGACCCUCAAGGUCCUCGAGAACUAUGAAGUCUUCGGCCUUUAUACUAUCUUUCGCGUCAUCACGAGGGAGGUAGUUGUCAUCAUCUGAAUCAUCGGGGUCGUCGGGAUCGGAUUGGCCCUCGGGCUUGUUCGGGAGCUCCGAGGUUGUCGGGGGUCCUCUGGGGUUGUAUUUUCCCCGGUGCCAUCUAUGGCCCCACUUACUUUGUUUGCCUUGGCUUGUUUACGCUACCUCUGGCGCUUUGAUUGCUUUUCCCUAGACUUAUCGUCAUUUUGUUUGGGGGUAUGAUCGCCAUUGUCGUCGGGUGUGUCCACCAUGUAGACGUCGUAAGUGGAGGUGGCAGCCCACCGCCCGGUAUUUACAGGGGCGGGGUCACCGGCCACAUCAUCCAUGUCUUCAACCUCCUCGAAGGCGUAAUCCAACAUGUCGGUUAAGACUUCGACGGUGGCAACCAAGUGGGUGGUGGGUGGGCUGUGAACUUCCUCAUAAUCCGCAUCCAAACUGAUCCGACUAUAGGUCGGGCUCGGGCCAUCCAUAGUUUUCAAUGACUGGAUCUGGUCAAGCGUCUCAUUUAACAUCGAGAGGUUGUCCUGGUCGAUUUCUUGAUGAUUUUAGGAGUUGACCUCCGUUUCUUCCGUGAGGGACGGGUAUUCAGGAAUGGCUGUUGCCUGGGUACUGAGAUUGGGUCCGGGCUCAAAGACAACUCUCUGACAAAGAGGGAACCGAGGUCAUGGCCGGGCAAGAGACCCGAAGUCAAGGCUUCAGGAUUUUGGGGUUCAUCGCACGAAGCCAUGAUCUUAGCAGGGAAAAGAUCUCCCGAGGAGUCGCUCAAGAAUUCAAGAUUCUCGAACCUUAUCUCCUGACUGGGGACGAAGCCUCCGAUCUAGCCAAGGCGGCCGAUCGGGUCGGCGCGCAGCGUGACGCUGCCGAACGCGAGAACCUGCCUUGGAACAAAGAUGUCCCUGUUUCCAAUUCGAUCGCUGAUGAUUACACGAGCCAUCAAUCCUUCCGGUGAACUAACAGGAGAACUCUCAAUGAAAGCACCAUUGUCGGUGUCAAAACUGGCGGAUCUCGGGUAGGGGCUCCUGAGAUGUGAACCUUGUAUGGAUGGGUUACACGGCACAAAGAGGACAAUGUUUACCCAGGUUCGGGCCCUCUUGAGGAGGUAAAACUCUAUGUCCUCCAUGAUUAUAUUGAUAUGUAUGAGGAUUAAAGAGUUGACCUACCUUGAGAUCGUAUGAGCUAAAACCCUAGAUGAGUCAACUUGUCUAUGAGGAUGAAACCCACUUGUUUAUAUAGACACCACGGGUUCCUCGGGUUAUAUACAACCGACCUCCAGCCGGGGAUAGAUGCGUCGAUCUGGAGUACUCAACUUGGAUGACACACCAGUCUUCGGAGCUUUCCUUCUUGAACACGAGGUCGUCACGUAGUCCGGUCUUCAACAAUAAGGCCCAUUAGGUCGGCCUCUAAUAAAUGAAUCGACCGCCCGAGGACUCCUUAGUCCCGGACUCCCCCAGUGGUGCCUAGUGGGGAGCCCUUAAGUCGGAUGAGGAUCUUCUUCGGGCACAAGAAAGCUAAUUUACGGAUAAAUUCCCUCAAAAUUCCAGCACGAUCGGAGUUAAGGAUCUCCAAGAAUUUAAGAAACAGUGAAGGGCAAGAAAACGAGAACGCCAAACAGAACAGAACAGAGAGGGAGAUCCAAUAUCAGAGGGGCUCUUGCCCCUCUGCAGCCAUGGAGGCCAUGGACCAGAGGGAGAACUCUCCUCCCAUCUAGGGGGGGCAAGGAAGAGGAGGGAGGGGGCUCUCAACCCCUCUCUUACGGUGGCACCGGAGUGCCACCGGGGCAAGGAGUGUGACGAUGAUCUACAUCAGCAAGCUUGCCGCCGUCAACACCAACUCCCCCCUCUAUGCAGCGGUGUAAGACCUCUUUUCCCGAUGUAACUCUCUAUUUAAACAUGGUGCUCAACACUACAUACUAUUUGCCAAUGAUACGUGGCUAUUCUAUAAUGUUUGAAUAGAUCCGUUUUGUCCUGCGGGUUAAUUGUGAUAUGAUUUUAUUGUGUUUAUAUGAUGUUGUCCUAAGGUGCCUUCUGUGAGGCGCACACGCGAAGGAUACAUGCUGGAGGGUUUGCAUUAUGUUCAUGAUUCGCUUAUAGUGGGUGGCGAGAGUGACAGAAACUUACAACCGAGUAAGGGAGUUGUCCGCACAUGGGAGUAAAGAGGACUUGAUGUUUAAUGCUAUGGUUGGGUUUACCUUAACGAUUUCUAGUAGUUGUGGAUGCUUGCUAGAGGUCUAAUCAUAAGUGCAUAUGAUCCAAGUACGGAAAGUGUGUUAGCAUAUGCCUCUCCCUCAUUGCACAUGAUAAGUAUCUAUCAUGUUAGAGGUCCAAUCAUAGUUUCAUACUUGUUCUAGGUAAAGUAAGUGUUUGCACGCAUAGAGUUGUAUCGAUGGUCGAUACAACUUGAGAGAAUAUUAGUUCUACCUUUAGCUCCUUGUUGGGUUCGACACUCUUGCUUAUCAAAAAGGGCUACAAACGAUUCCCUACACUUGUGGGUUAUCAGUGAGUAUCCUGGCGACACGAAGGCGAGCACAUGACUGGUGGCGACCUCGAUGAUCGCUCGGGUCAGAGAUGCCUGUGGCAUGGUCUCAUGUCCGUCCUCGUCAAGGACAAUGAUGUCGUUCCCCGGAGGUGGAAUUUCUUCAACAUGUGCGAUGGGGUCAAUGUGCAACAUUUCUACUUACGAACUGGCAUGCAUCCAGUCGGUCACCACCGGCACGAGAGGCAUGAAGUACAGCGCAGCUGGCUCAAGGGCCUGCACCGACAGUUGCAUGAAGGGUUGCAUAACCGGCUCUAGGGCCUGCAAUGGCAUGCUCUCAACACUAAUUUGGUGGUGGUAACAAUGACCUCGGUGACGCUGGUUCCAACCUCCAUCGAAGAGGCGAAGGUCGCACACUCGAUACUAGAAGCGGCGGAGUCUGCCAACACCAUGGCGGAGGUGGUGAGCAACGAAACGGCGGCAACGGUCAUCAUUAUGAAGAAGGCGAAGAAACGGAGAAAUCAUCUUUCGCCUCUAGUUCAUGUCGAUCUUGUUCUCUGCCGGGAAGAUUUUUCUCUAUUGAAAAGUGAUGUGUGUGAUAAUGUGCUAAAAGAAACAAAGAGCAAACUAGAGACAAAUAAAAAGAAUGAACAUAUGUAAUAUUUAUUGAUCAUGUUCAUGUAUACAUGCAAUCGGCACGAAAGCAUCCAAGAGAUGCGUCCAUUGGUGAAGGCGUCAAUCGAAAGGAGCAACCGACGCACAAUUGCAAAAAAUGGCAACCACACACAUGUUGCGGGAAUGUAGGGAUUCCUCUAACUAACCAUUGAGGUUAAUUUGGCUUAACACUCUGAAUUGCAUCACGUUUCUACCAUUAUUGUGCCGAAGUGCUAGGAUUUUGUCGUGGUUGUUCUCACAGUGAGGGUGCUCCUACUUGGCAAGGUACUAAGACUUGUUUCUUUUGCCUACAUGACAAGUCUAUUAAACACCUAUGUUAACUUUGAUGGUAGGUUUAAUCAUGCAACAUAGGCCAUAAAUCAAAUAGAUUCAAAACCUUACACCUCCCCCAUGUAGUGUGUGUAAUAUGUUCGACAACUCGCGACGGGGUGCCGACAAACAUUUUUCUGCAUGUAUUCUUGUGGGACUGCCAACAUUUAUGUUGGACUUUUGUUUCAUCAUGGAUGUCCAUGUAAUCUUCAGAUAAGAUCUAACCCAUCUUCCCAUGCAAGUAUCUCGGCCUUUCACUAUCCAUAAGGAAGCUCACGACGGCACAAUAUCAAGGCCUUGUGGAUCAUCUCGUAGCGCGCCUACCAUCUUGGAAGUCAGCAGGCCUUCCCAAGAGCGAUCACUUAUUGCUGGUACAAUCCGUUCUCUCGACAAUCCUGAUCCACUCAAUGUUGGCCCUUGAUCUGGCUCUAAAGACUUUGGUUGCCCUAAUCAAGAUAUGCCGCAAAUUCCUUUGGGUCGGCAAGGCAGAUGCGCGAGGAGGUGCAUGUGCGAUGGCCUGGGAGAGAGUGUGCACUCCUAGGUGCGUCAGACGCCUAGGUAUCCUUGACAUGUGAUGGAUGAAUGUGGCCCUUCGGGCCAAGUGGUUGUGGUUGAGUAGGUCUGACCAGGAUAAGCCUUGGUCGGAGUUCGCUUUCUCUGUGCCAAAGGAGUCCCGACAGUUAUUCCUGGCAGCGGUGCGAGGAGUCGUUGGCGAUGGGAGGAAUACAUUAUUCUGGGAGGGUAGAUGGCUUAGUGGUUACCGGAUGCAGGAGCUUGCGCCACGGAUUUGCGAGCAGAUUCCAGUAAGAACGAGGAGGUCAAGAACGGUGUAUGAGGCAAUCGUUGAGGAGAGAUAGGCCCGAGAUAUUGGGCCAGCGCUAGGCGAGGCAACCCUUGCGAAGUACCUGGGUAUCUGGCCCGGGGUUGCGGUGGUCUAGCUGGACGAGCAAUGUGAUGAUCGUUUCAUCUGGUUCUGUGAGAAGAACAAGAAGUUUUCGGCCAAAUCUGCCUAUGCAGCCAAGUUUGCAGGGCGAGAAGUCUCGCCCAUCUUGGAAUUCACAUGGCACUCACGGACCUCGCUUAGGUACAUAUUAAUUCUUCUCAUGGCUAGCAAUCAUGAACUGGUGCUGGACUUCAGAUAGAUUGGCACGAAGAGGCAGCCACACCAACACUCGUGCCCUUUUUGCAAUCAGCAUGAUGAGACGAUUGGCCAUCUACUUAUCGAGUGUCCUCUCCCACGGGAGGUAUGGGCAAAGUUCUUCUCCGCCCAAGGUAUUCUGCAUGGCGAGCCGCAACUAGGAGAGACACUGCACGGCUGAUACACUAGGCAGGGUAUGCAGGGAAAAAGUGCCAAGAUGGUUUGGACCAUAUGCCCCCUUGCCAUGUGGGAAAUAUGGAAGCAUAGAAAUGCCAUAGUCUUUGACGGAGAGAUGGCCUGCCCACGACAUGUUCUACGCUGGACCGCGAGUUAUAGCAUGGUGUGGAUGCAGACGGCUCUACUUCGAGGAAACCUGCAGGCAUUCUUCGUGGCAGCGCUGGAAUGGGCGCAUAGUGAGUAGUGUGUAUAACAUACUUGAGGUGGAGGGCGGCGUAACGCCAUGUAACCCCUGAUGUAACUAAACUGCGGAGGGCUCCCCCCUCUCCUUCCUUCUAUAAUAUAUGAUACGCACACUCGUGCGUAUUCGAUGAAAAAAGAAUCUAACCCAUCUUAGGCUGAUUUUUUUUUCUGCGAAACAAUAUUUUCUUUUGGUUAUGUUAAUAGUCUUAACUGUGUGCAUCAUCACGUUUUGCAGCAGUCAGACAUUUGUUCAAUGUGAUUGUAUCACCUUGAUAUAUCGAUUGAAUGAAAUUGUCUUUUAUUAGUAAAAAAUAGUUGUAUUGAAGUCAUCAUAACUUAAUCCCAUGGGGUAGAUGGUUAAAUGUUUUCACUUAACAAAAUAAUUUCUAGUGUGCCCAUAACUAGUGUAAUAGAUGGACAGAAAUAAAUAGACUGGAAAUGCCAUGAACAAGCCAUGAAUAGAAAAGGUUGGGUUUAUCUACAUCAGUUAUCAGUUUAGUGUGUUCUAUGUACUUGACAAUCCAAGAAUUAGCAAUAGAGCCCUCUGUAUUAAGAGUAUAUUUCAGUCAGUCCUCAACUGCUGUCCAUGUUAUUUACUAGUUCCGGUAGUGAUCUUAAGCAUCGUCUAUAAACUAUUACUUAGUCUAGACGUCCCUAUAGAGACCUAUCGGACAUCAAAGAAAAUCCAUUUUAAAGGAUACGCGGAUAGACUCGGUAAACCGCCGACAAUGAAGUGGCACCAACAAAUAUUUUAGUUUUAUAAAUCUGAAAGGAAUGUAUCUUUUCGAUAAAGGUCUGAAAAAGAAAAUAGGUACCUAUACUCAUCCAUGCAUAGGCAAGAAGUUUUCUUUAUGUGAAGCAUAUCUCUGAAAGGGCUUAUAAUAAUUUUGCUUGUGCACCUCAUACAACUCUACCUAAUAUAUACAUAUUCUCAAAUUUGUAAGAUAUCACUGACUUCUCUCAACCAUUGAAUAGGUCAUCAUUUUUCUUAACUUGCACGCAAUGUCCACGAAUUGAGUAAGCAUAUGCAUAACUAAGAGUCUACGCUGUUUCAUGGAGCCUAUCACAAACGACUGAAUGUUUAGUGGAAAAAUCUCUUGGGUGGAAUCCUAAACCCCUUGAAAAAUAUACUGAAAAAUAUAAUGGCAAUCACCAUGGGGCGUCGGCAGAUCACAGUCAUUAUAAUAACCGCUUGUACACCCAAAUACAACUCUACCUGGUAUAUGCAUAUUCUCAAAUUCGUAAUAUAUCACUGACUUCCCCACCGUCGAAUAGGUCACCAUUUUUCUUAACGUGCACACAAUGUCCAUGAAUUGAGUAAGUGUAUGGGUAACUAAGAGACCGCACUGUUACACAUAGCUUAAUCACAAACGGCUAAAUAUUUAUUGGGAAAAUCUCUUGGGUGGAACCCUAAACCCCUUGAAAAUCUAUUAUAUAAUUAAAACAAAAGACAAACAAGCCAUAUGUGUUCCCAUACAUUGAAUUAUCUUGACCGUAUUUUUAAAUAAUAACACAUGUGAUUUAAAAUAUGUAUUGUUACAUAUAAAUUUUAUCAUGAGCAAACAGUUUAUAGUGUCACGUAGCUCAUACUAAUAGUUCAAUAUGUCUCGAGUUCUUAAAGAAAAACUGGCAUGUCACUAGAAAUCAGUCUGAUACCUUAGGAUCUUUUUUUGCGGGUAAAACUGGGAAGCUUUAUUCAACACACAUCAUCCGGGCAUGAUCUUCGAGGAGACUAGUUAGAAGAAUAAUAGGACUAGAGUUCAACCAGCAAUCCGUUACCUCCAAUGUGCUAGCUUGCUUAGAACAUAAGUGGGCACACGUGCUAGCUGAUUUUGCAACAUUUUGAAUGAAAUACAAACUAAACAGUAAGGCGAGCUCUCCAUCUUAGUUAAGAUAUGCGUCAGCACAGUCCGAGUAUUGAGGCACGAAUACCAGAGAUUGACAAUCUUCAAACAAUCUGUCGCCACAACGACCUUCUCGUGACCCCGAAGCUUUGAAAAGAGGACCCCGUCUCGAACAGCCAAAGCUUCAGCGACAAACGGAUCGCUAAAACCAGGGUACGGUUUAGACCAAGCAGGCAUGAAGGAGGAACAGGCUCGGACAACACCACCCACCCCACCCACCCCUGCUAGCCUCCAUAGCGUGCUUCCAUCUGUAUUGAUCUUCAUGAUUCCUUAGGUUGAUAUAGAAAAUAAGAAGUACCUUACCUUGAAUUGGCAAAGCAUGACAACCAAGAGUAUUCGGCAGCCAAGUCCAAUUUAGAAAGAAAGAGAAAAAACUACCUUAUGUAGGGAGGAGCACCAAGUGAACUACCUUAUGUAGGGAUGAGUCAUGAGCAAACACCCCUACCCCACAACAAAGAAGUGUCCGCAUCUCAAAAAAUUAGGAGUGUCCCAGCAAAAUAUGCGUGCUAAUCUCUCUAGGGAAAAAGAGAAGACGUGUGUGCUCCUCCUUUUUCUGCGGACACAAAAAAAAAAGUACGGAGUCCUGCUUAGUUCACUUAGUGCUCCAGUACUUGGGGAUAAGAAAUCUUUCUCUACGCAGAUUGAAGAAUAUAUCUCAUAAAAAAUGAAAAUUAGUUGUUUAUACAUAUACUAAAUCGUGGAUGAAAAAAUGAGGCGACAUACCUGAUUGGCAUAAUACAUUUUUUUAUGCUAAAUUAGUUCUGCACUAUGAUAUUAGCUGUAUUAAAUCAUGGAUGGACAACUGAGACACGAAAUACGAAAUACAUAAAGAUAAAAGUGCCAGCAUUUUAUAUUCUUUCUCUCAAAAAGUUACUGAUAACCAUAGUGGCUGUUCUAAUUUGAAUCGCUGAGAUCCAAAAAUAAAUAGAAAGAAAUCAUGCUUGCAAGUGAUUCAGUAUAAAUUAAGUAUUCCUCAUGAAAAAAUAAUACGUCAUGAGAAAGACCACGUGAGAGCAUCUGCAGUGAAAUGCAUAAGAAAAAUAAUGCACGUGAAAGCAUCUGUAGUGAACCUAUUUACAAAAAUUGACCACUAACAUAUGCAAAAGUAUCCGGGUUGGACAAUUAAAAAUAACAAAGAACGUUGUACUGACUACAUAAUAAUAAUUAUUCACUAGUGGGGACAGGGUCUAUAGUCCCGGCCCGUAAGGGGCUUUAGUCCCGGUUCACCAACCGGGACCAAAGAGGCGGAACUAAAGGCCUAACCUUUAGUCCCGGCCCUGUUCCAAGCCGGGACCAAAGGUGCUCCAUGUGGGCGCCUCGGAGCGCCCUCACGGGCAGGCCCUUUAGUCCCGGGUCUUAACACGGACCGGGACUAAAGAGUUUCUUCAGAUUUUGUUUGUUUUAGGGUUUUAGGGUUUUAGGGUUUAGGUGUUCGGGAGAUUAACGUGAUGCCUCGUUUGGCAUUCGGGAAUUAGUUUUCAUAUAAUUCUAAAUAUACAUGUUUAUGUAUAUAUAUAAGAUUAACUUAUCUUACAAGCGAGCAUAUAUAUACAAUUAUAUGGAGAUCUGAAUUAUCGGGACUAGAGCCCGUUUAUUUAAUUCCAUGGACCAACAUCAGUAAUGGCCCCUAGCUACACUAAAUCAUCCUUUGUCAUCUAUAGCUUCCGUCCUCAGAAAGGUCGCAAGCUCCUCUACAACAGCAAUCGCGCGUUGCUCUGGUAGGUACUUCUCCCUCAUGGCCGUGUACUAUAUAAGAAGAGGAGAUGAAUAUGAAUAUCAAUAAUGAUAACAAAGAAUGGCGGGUAAAAAUAGAGGUGUGAAUGUUCAUUGCUUACGUCGUAUCUAUAAUCCUUGUGCUCAGAGGUAAACGUGCGAAUGGUCUCGCAAACAUAGUAUCCGCAUAGAUGCGUCCCCCGUGGCUGCUGGUCGCACUUUACGAGAAUAGAAUAUAAAUAAUCAAAAUAAUAAUCUAGCAUCAUAAAUGUAUUGAAAAUAGAAGUAUAUCAUACUACUACUUACCUGAGGCGCUCUAAAGGUCAGCUUCUCAUGCUCGAUACCGGGAGUCACACACUUGAACCGCUUCCAAACCCUGUCCGACAAGGAAAAUGAUUUGCUAAGUUUUUCAUUAAUUGAUAUAUCAUAAAAUCAUCGAAAGAGACCGAUAGAGCGCAAGAAUGAUUGAAAUUACCCUUGGAGCAUUUCCUGCAGGCUUUGGAACUGUUCGAAGGGUCUCGAUAAUGGGUCGAAGGCAUCAACUCUUCCCUUAUCAAUUUGAAUGUCCAACAGAAUCCAAUGGUAGCUACACAUGUAUAUAUAUAUACAUGUGUAGCUACCAUUGGAUUCUGUUGGACAUUCAAAUUGAUAAGGGAAGAGUUGAUGCCUUCGACCCAUUAUCGAGACCCUUCGAACAGUUCCAAAGCCUGCAGGAAAUGCUCCAAGGGUAAUUUCAAUCAUUCUUGCGCUCUAUCGGUCUCUUUCGAUGAUUUUAUGAUAUAUCAAUUAAUGAAAAACUUAGCAAAUCAUUUUCCUUGUCGGACAGGGUUUGGAAGCGGUUCAAGUGUGUGACUCCCGGUAUCGAGCAUGAGAAGCUGANNNNNNNNNNNNNNNNNNNNNNNNNNNNNNNNNNNNNNNNNNNNNNNNNNNNNNNNNNNNNNNNNNNNNNNNNNNNNNNNNNNNNNNNNNNNNNNNNNNNNNNNNNNNNNNNNNNNNNNNNNNNNNNNNNNNNNNNNNNNNNNNNNNNNNNNNNNNNNNNNNNNNNNNNNNNNNNNNNNNNNNNNNNNNNNNNNNNNNNNNNNNNNNNNNNNNNNNNNNNNNNNNNNNNNNNNNNNNNNNNNNNNNNNNNNNNNNNNNNNNNNNNNNNNNNNNNNNNNNNNNNNNNNNNNNNNNNNNNNNNNNNNNNNNNNNNNNNNNNNNNNNNNNNNNNNNNNNNNNNNNNNNNNNNNNNNNNNNNNNNNNNNNNNNNNNNNNNNNNNNNNNNNNNNNNNNNNNNNNNNNNNNNNNNNNNNNNNNNNNNNNNNNNNNNNNNNNNNNNNNNNNNNNNNNNNNNNNNNNNNNNNNNNNNNNNNNNNNNNNNNNNNNNNNNNNNNNNNNNNNNNNNNNNNNNNNNNNNNNNNNNNNNNNNNNNNNNNNNNNNNNNNNNNNNNNNNNNNNNNNNNNNNNNNNNNNNNNNNNNNNNNNNNNNNNNNNNNNNNNNNNNNNNNNNNNNNNNNNNNNNNNNNNNNNNNNNNNNNNNNNNNNNNNNNNNNNNNNNNNNNNNNNNNNNNNNNNNNNNNNNNNNNNNNNNNNNNNNNNNNNNNNNNNNNNNNNNNNNNNNNNNNNNNNNNNNNNNNNNNNNNNNNNNNNNNNNNNNNNNNNNNNNNNNNNNNNNNNNNNNNNNNNNNNNNNNNNNNNNNNNNNNNNNNNNNNNNNNNNNNNNNNNNNNNNNNNNNNNNNNNNNNNNNNNNNNNNNNNNNNNNNNNNNNNNNNNNNNNNNNNNNNNNNNNNNNNNNNNNNNNNNNNNNNNNNNNNNNNNNNNNNNNNNNNNNNNNNNNNNNNNNNNNNNNNNNNNNNNNNNNNNNNNNNNNNNNNNNNNNNNNNNNNNNNNNNNNNNNNNNNNNNNNNNNNNNNNNNNNNNNNNNNNNNNNNNNNNNNNNNNNNNNNNNNNNNNNNNNNNNNNNNNNNNNNNNNNNNNNNNNNNNNNNNNNNNNNNNNNNNNNNNNNNNNNNNNNNNNNNNNNNNNNNNNNNNNNNNNNNNNNNNNNNNNNNNNNNNNNNNNNNNNNNNNNNNNNNNNNNNNNNNNNNNNNNNNNNNNNNNNNNNNNNNNNNNNNNNNNNNNNNNNNNNNNNNNNNNNNNNNNNNNNNNNNNNNNNNNNNNNNNNNNNNNNNNNNNNNNNNNNNNNNNNNNNNNNNNNNNNNNNNNNNNNNNNNNNNNNNNNNNNNNNNNNNNNNNNNNNNNNNNNNNNNNNNNNNNNNNNNNNNNNNNNNNNNNNNNNNNNNNNNNNNNNNNNNNNNNNNNNNNNNNNNNNNNNNNNNNNNNNNNNNNNNNNNNNNNNNNNNNNNNNNNNNNNNNNNNNNNNNNNNNNNNNNNNNNNNNNNNNNNNNNNNNNNNNNNNNNNNNNNNNNNNNNNNNNNNNNNNNNNNNNNNNNNNNNNNNNNNNNNNNNNNNNNNNNNNNNNNNNNNNNNNNNNNNNNNNNNNNNNNNNNNNNNNNNNNNNNNNNNNNNNNNNNNNNNNNNNNNNNNNNNNNNNNNNNNNNNNNNNNNNNNNNNNNNNNNNNNNNNNNNNNNNNNNNNNNNNNNNNCUCAUGCUCGAUACCGGGAGUCACACACUUGAACCGCUUCCAAACCCUGUCCGACAAGGAAAAUGAUUUGCUAAGUUUUUCAUUAAUUGAUAUAUCAUAAAAUCAUCGAAAGAGACCGAUAGAGCGCAAGAAUGAUUGAAAUUACCCUUGGAGCAUUUCCUGCAGGCUUUGGAACUGUUCGAAGGGUCUCGAUAAUGGGUCGAAGGCAUCAACUCUUCCCUUAUCAAUUUGAAUGUCCAACAGAAUCCAAUGGUAGCUACACAUGUAUAUAUAUAUAUAUAUGUGUGUGUGUCAAUAACUUAUCAAUUACACUUAUAAGUGAAUGGACACAACAGAGUAAAGACCCUCACUUGAAGUUGUAUGGAAACAGUAUGUGGUCACAGAAAUUUUGACCUGUUAGAAACCUUAGAAGGUUUUCCUCCGUCUCCUUGGGUUUAUCAGUUAGCGUCGCUAUAUUUAUUUUAUCUAGGUCAAUAAACCCAAUAUUUAGGAUGUUCCUACUUUUACAUUCCAGAAUCUUCAUUCUGCAUAAUAGAGUACAAGUUAUAUGUAGACAAUAAAUUAAAAUAACUAAACAAGUUAUAUGUAGACAACGAAUUGAAAAACUUACACACAAUAGCAACUCAUAAGCGAUUUGUCGAGGGCGUCGGCAUUGUACAUCUCGAAGAGUUCAUCAAAGUCGAUAUGGAUUUCUUCGGGGCGGCCGUAGCACUCCCGUGGGACACGCGCCACGAUCAUCGUUCUCCCAUUCUUUGAUUCACUUAAGUACCAUGUAUGCAAGUAACGCAUAUUUGUUGGGAGAUCAUCAAACUUAUCUUUGCUAACCAAAGGCGCUCCCAUGACAAACUGUGGCAUAGGGGCCACCAUAGCCUUGGGUAACCUGUCGUCUUGGGAAGCCAGAACGUCUUCAACCGGGAUACCCCAUUCAUCCGCCCACUUCUUUGCUAAUUCCAAAUCUUUCCCCUGCACCAGAGAGGGAACAUUCUCGGGUAACACCCUCAGGGGUAGGAUCGACUAUUUGGCCUGUUGUCCAAGCUGAGGAACGUCUGAUCUUUUUUUGCUUGUAGUUGAACUUGAUUUGCUCCCACUUGCACUUGCACGUGAUCUGCUCUUUUUCCCUUCCUUCUGCAAUGUGCGUGUAUAGUCAUCAGGCUUAUGGUGUAAGUCAUACUGUGAUGGAAGGGUCGUGAAGUAUUUUGCAUAUGUUAUUUGCUUCUCGGUGUAUUCCGGGCGGGGCUCGGGUUCCUUCUUUUUCAUCUGCGCAUCAUAAUGUACCUUUGCUAUCCUGGCAUUUUCCUCGUCGGUAUGAUCAUAAGGUCUGAUAGGAAGAUUAGCAUGAGGUACCUUUGGGAGGGGCGACAGUUUGGGCUUUGGGGAGCUCCAUCGCUUAGAACUCAUCGACGGAGCGUUCUUGCUGGCACGCUUCCGCUUAGUAUCCUUAGCGGGCGGCGGCGGAGACGGACGACCCAAGUCCGGCGGCGGUGAUCGAGAUGGACUCGUGUUGUGCUGGCCAUCGUCAUGUGGAGGGCUUGGAGGUGAUGGAGGUGUAGGUGACCUGCGACGACUCGGAGGCGGUGUUGUCCUUGGGGCCGAGCCUGGAAGCUUGAUGUAGUUCUUGUCCCAUAGGAUGACCCCACCCAGUACUUCUCCGAGUGUCCUCUCAUCUUCGGGUCCAGCUAUGUCGAGCUCCAUAUCAUGAAACCCCGCCAUGAUUUCAUCCAUCCCGACUUUAGCAAAGCCAGCUGGAAUCUCACGGCCAUGCCAGCGUGCAUCAGGGCCAGAAGGUAAAGCUUGUCCGAUGGCCACCUUCAUGGAUAUGUUCUUGAAUUUCUGAUGGAGUUCACAUGAUGUUGACUCCUUGAUUCCAUCCACGGGGUAGCCGGGACCGCCCUCUAUCAUUCUUCGUGCAUCGUUGGGCGGGGCCUCAGAUUCAGCCACGCUGCUUUUCCACUUAGAUGGGGCGCCGGUAAUAUCGAGCGCAGGAUCUUCCUGGCGCGCUACUCCUCUAAGCUCAUCAAUCUGCUUCUAUUGCUUGUUAAGCCUGGCAAGCAACUGGUUAAACUUGUCAUUCUCCUCAUCCUGCUGUCGCUUCUUUGCUCUCGCUCGGCUUCUGUAAGUGUCUUGGUCUCUGGGAAACCCAAGCCACCACGGGUAAGAAGGACCGAAGCCUCGCGUUCGUCCUCCAUGUUCGUCAUUGUCGAGGACCACUGUGAGAAAAUCUUUCUCUCUAUCUGCAGUGAACUGUCUUUUUCCCUCCUUAAUUUUUUCACUAUCUUUUUCCAAUUCUCCCUGGGUAUCCUAAGACCGUCACUGCAGAUGAGGUCCCCUGUUUCUUCGUCGUAUGAACCACCAUGCGCAAGGAACCAAUUUCUUGCUCUCAAUUCCCACUCAUCACGGAUGGGUUCAGGUAUGAUGCCUUUAGCUAGCAGAUCUUUCUCUUUCUUAUCCCACUUUCGGAUGGCAGACUCAUAGCCCCCUGGCCCCAGCGUGUGGUGAUAUUUCUUCUUGUCGGCAUUUUUCUUGUUCUUUUUUGAUAAUGCCUUGGCAUCUUCUGACUCCUUGUACUCUUGAAAUGCCUUCCAGUGAUUCGCCUGCUUGGCUAGAUACCCCUCGAAUACUGGCACUUUCUUUGUCUUCCGAUAGUUUUUCAUAGCUUCUUCUUCCAGCUACAGAACAGUUCGACCAUCUUCUUUAGAGUCCACUGCUUGACUUUGGCCAUCAGUUUGUCUGCGGCGUCUUCAUUCUCACAUUCUGACAGGUUGAAAUGUGACAUGAGAUCAUUCCAAAGAUUAUCUUUGUACCUUUCGGUGACAUAGUCACUAUCGGCUGCCCCUUUGCGCUUGUUGCACUCCCGAACGCUGAUCGGGACGUGAUCCCUAACGAGAACUCCGCAUUGCUUCUUGAAUGUGUCAGCAGCAUUCUUAGGAAGCUUGGGUUCGCCCGUAGGCAAUAUCACCUCAAAGGUGUAAUGCAUCCGUGCAUCCAACUUUUUAGUCGGGCCUCGUUUCGUAGCUUUGCUCGAUGUGGAGGCUUAAGAGGGAGAAACAUUCGUCAAAUGAAUGUAUAUGUAUACAAUAUAGAGCUAUCUCCAAUAUUUUUCACAUAUUACAAGUGAUUGUCGAAGUUCAUAUGUAUACCUCGCCGGACUUUAUUAGUUCUCCACCGGCUUCUCCAUCAGUGGAGCUAUCACCUUCUCCAUCAUUGGAGCUAUCUCCUGCCCCAUCGGCUUCAUCUUCGUGUCCGUCGACUUCCAUUCCAUAUCCGGAGGGGUUUAGAUAUGACGACGGAGAUUCAGCUGGUUCAACGUCGGGGCCGUCUUUGAUUAUAUCUUCGAGAAGUUCUUCCUCUUCGAGGUUCCUAAUAUGUGGAUCCAUAGUUCUGCAAAAAACGAACAUUUGGUUAACUAAUAAACUAACAAACUAUAUAUGAUGCAAAAUAAUUCUAUUUCUAUUUGCAAAUAAAUUCUAACUAAAUAAUUCUAAGUAAAAUAAUUCUAUCUCUAUUUGCAAAUAAAUUCUAACUAAAUAAUUCUAACUAAAAUAAUUCUAUUUCUAUUUGCAAAUAAAUUCUAACUAAAUAAUUCAUGACUUCAUCAUUACCUAGUAGUAAUAGGAGCAUGAUGCUAUGAAGCUUUAUAAAGUUGUUUUGUAACGGAAUCCCGAAUAGGAUAAUUAGCUUUGUGGUACGCAGUUCAAAAAGAGCCAUCCGAAUAUCGCUAUUUGGAAGGACUUUGUUGAACUUUGUACCAAAAAAGAAUUAUUCUAUUAGGAACUCCGUUCCAAAACAACUUUCGAGAGGUUGAUAGCGCCAUGCGUCUGUUACUACCAGGUAAUGAUGAAGCCAUGGACCGACCCUAAACUAACUUACUUAAAUUUACAUAGCCCUAAACUAGCUAACACUAACCUAAUUAACACUAGUUUAUAUGUUUAAUUGAUGUUUGUAGUGAUUUAAGUGAUAUUUGUAGAUUGUAGAUUUGUAUAUGCUUAAACACUAACUGUGACCUAAACUAAAAGGCCCUAAACUAACUUACUAAAAUUUACAUAACCCUAAACUAACAAUAACCUAUUAAUUAACACUAACUACCUAACCCUAAUAACACAAAUUUAAAUGACACAAAAAUAACACAAAUAACCUAUUUAACACUAACCUACCUAACCCUAAAUUCACCAAAUAUUCUACAAAUAACACUUAAGCAUAUACAAUAGCAAAAUUAAGCAAUAAUCUAAAAAACACUAAUUAAGCAUCUAUAUAUGUACAAAAUUACAUAAGCAUGCAUGCAUGUUGACGAUCGAUCAAGAGAGGAGAGGAGAGAGGCUCACCAGCGGCAGGGGGUGUUGGAUCGAGGAGGAAGGGAGGGCGACGACGACGGCGAGGAGGACGGCAAGGCGACGACGAUGGCGAGGAGGACGGCAGGGCGCGACGACGAGGAGGACGGCAGGGCGACGGCGACGGCGACAACAAGGAGGACGGCAGGGCNNNNNNNNNNNNNNNNNNNNNNNNNNNNNNNNNNNNNNNNNNNNNNNNNNNNNNNNNNNNNNNNNNNNNNNNNNNNNNNNNNNNNGGUGUCGAGCAGUUCGUCCGAUGCUGCAGGCGAGCGAGAGGAGGAAGAAAGAUUGAAAUGGCGAUUUGGGUUGGAAAUUUCCAACUCCCGCUUAUAUAGGUGGAGCUUUAGUCCCGGGUCGGGGCUCGAACCGGGACUAAAGACACCCUUUUUGGCAGGCGAGGAGGCGGGAAACGAGGGGCUUUAGUCCCGGGUCGGGGCUCGAACCGGGACUAAAGGCUGUGUUUAGUCCCAGGUCUAGCCACGACCCGGGGCUAAAGACCCCUUUUCGGCAGGCGAGGAGGCGGGAAACGAGGGGCUUUAGUCCCGGGUCGUGGCUCCACCAGGGACUUAAGGUGGUCUUUAGUCCCGGUUCGAGCCCCGAACCGGGACUAAAGACCUGGGCUGGCUUCGGGGUGACGCAGGGCAACCUUUAGUCCCACCUCACCUAGCGAGGGGCGCUGGCAGUGCUUUAUAAGCACUCUCGCACUUUGCUCAAUUGAGCUUCUCUCUAUUGAAGGCAUGUGGGCCUAACUCUCAUCUCGCUGUCUGUUGGUCCUAUUGGCCCCCGGACCUUCAUCCUGGCCCACCUGUCGGGUAGGGUUUCUAGUCGUAUGCAGGUCGUGAUGACCCAAUAGGCGGCAUUUGUUUUUUUACUUUAAUAAUUUUUAGUCCUAGUUUAUAUUUUAAUUCUUUGCUAUUCAAUAUUUUUUUCUCUUCUAUUUUAGUUUUCUAUUGAGUUGAUUUGUUUUUGUUUCUUUUAGUUAAUGUUUUACUUGAUUCUUUCUAACAAAUAAGCACUUUGAAAAUUUUAGUAAAUUAUUCUUAAUUCAUUCAUUUUAGUUAAUGUUUUAGUUGAUUCUUUUUAGUUGACUCUUUUUUUGUUUUCUAUUAAAUAUUUUAACAAAAAAACUUUAUGAAAUUUCUGACUUCAUUUGAUAUUUUUUGUGCAUUUACUUAUUCUUUUGAGCUAGUUGACCCUGAAAUGGAAAAACACUACAAAUGAACUCUAAAAAUGUUGAAAGUUGGCAUGGUAUCAUCAUUUCACCCACAUAGCAUGUGCUAAAAGGUUGAGAGGGUUACGGCAAAAAUUGGAUACACUUCGUGUGCAAAACGGACAAUAUCUCUCGAAGUAUCAUGGUUUCGAACAAGAACUCAUCUAUUACAAAGUGAUUUCAUUUUUUUGAACUUAUUUGAACUCCAUACUUUUUGUGUGUUCAAAAUGCACCAUUCAAACGCACAUCACAAACUUUCAACAAUUUCUGACUUCAUUUGGUAUUUUUCGUGCAUUUACUUUUUUUUAGCUAGUUGACCCUGAAAUUGAAAAACACUACAAAUGAACUCUGUGUUGAAAGUUGGCAUGGUAUCAUCAUUUCAUGCACAUUCCAUGUGCUAAGAAGUUGAGAGGGUUACGACAAAAACUGGAUACACUUCGUGUACAAAACGGACAAUCUCUCUUGAUGUAUCAGCAUCUCGAACGUGAACUCAUCUGUUACAAAGGGAUUUCAUUUUUUUGAACUUACUUGAACUCCAUACUUUUUGUGUGUUCAAAAUGCACCAUUCAAAGGCACAUCACAAAAUUUCAACAAUUUCUAACUUCAUUUGGUAUUUUUCAUGCAUUUACUUAUUUUUUUGAGCUAGUUGACCAUAAAAUUGAAAAGCACUACAAAUGAACUCUAAAAAUGUGGAAAGUUGGAAUGGUAUCAUAAUUUCACCCACAUAGCAUGUGCUAAAAAGUGGAGAGGGUUACGAUAAAAACUGGAUGCACUUCGUGUACAAAACAGACAAUCUCUCUCGAAGUAUGAGGGUUUCGAACGAGAACUCAUCUAUUACAAAGGGAUUUCAUUUUUUGAACUUAUUUGAACUCCAUACUUAUUGUGUGUUUAAAAUGCACCAUUCAAAGGCACAUCAAAAAAUUUCAACAAUUUCUGACUUAAUUUGGUAUUUUUCGUGCACUUACUUUUGUUUUUUUGGGCUAGUUGACCCUAAAAUUGAAAAGCACUACAAAUGAACUCUGAAAAUGUUGAAAAUUGGCAUGCUGUCAUCAUUUCACCCACAUAGCAUGUGUUAAAAAGUUGAGAGGGCUACGACAAAAACUGGAUGCAUUUCGUGUACAAAACGGACAAUCUCUCUUGAAGUAUCAGGGUUUCGAACGAGAACUCAUCUCUUACAAAGGGAUUUCAUUUUUUUGAACUUAUUUAAACUCCAUACUUUUUGUGUGUUCAAAAUGCACCACUCAAAGGCACAUCACAAAUUUUCAAUAAUUUCUUACUUCAUUUGGUAUUUUUCGUGCAUUUACUUAUUUUUGUUGAGCUAGUUGACCCUGAAAUUCAAAAGCACUACGAAUGAACUCUCAAAAUGUUGAAACCUGGCAUGGAAUCAUCAUACUGCUCAGGCGGGGACCUUCAUACUACUCAGGCAUUCAAAAAAGAUUUCCUUCUCUGCUUUGGUAAGAGCAUAGCUGCUUAAGUAUUGACGCACUUUAUCAGUCUUCUUGUCGUAUGGGUCUUUCAUACGUUGGUGCUCCUCCCGUGCUUCUGUUGUAUCUUUUGUCUUUCUAUACACUCCCAGGAAGCCUAGCAGGUUCACGCAAAGAUUCUUCUUCACGUGCAUCACGUCGAUUGAAGACCGGACCUCUAGUUGUUUCCAAUAGGGUAGCUCCCAAAAUAAAGAUUUCUUUUUCCACAUGGGCACGUGUCCGGUAAUGUCGUCUUUCGGAACUGAUUGACCGCGAGGACCCUUUCCAAAGAUUACUAUUUGAUCCAAAUCCUUGACCAUAGCCAAUAACUCAUCACAAGUAGGGAGGUUAGGCUUCUUCCGGUGAUCUGCCUCACCGUUGAAAUGCUUGCCUUUCUUUCUUACGGUAUGACUGGUCGGAAGAAAUUGACGACACACCAGGUAGACAACCUUCUUAGAUUUUCCCAAAUAUGUACCUUUACUCUUAUCUAAACAGUGCGUGCAUGCAUUGUAUCCCUUGUUUGAUUGUCCUAAAAUGUUACUAAGAGCAGGCCAAUCAUUGAUGGUUACGAACAACAAUGCUCAUAGGUCAAAUUCCUGUUCUUUGUGCUCAUCCCACACACGUACACCUGGUGGGCCCACAACUGCAAAAGUUCAUCAACUAAUGGCCUUAGGUACACAUCAAUGUCGUCGCAGGGUUGCUUCGGUCCUUUAGUCCCGGUCUGUGGUACGUGCCGGGACUAAAGGCCUAUUUUCUGUUUUCUUAUUUUAUUUGUUUUUGCAUAUUUGAGAAUAUAAAUAGUAAUCUGUUUGCAUAUUUGAGAAUUUGACAAAACUAUGAAAAUGAAAAGUGUUUGAAAUUGAAUAAAUAAUUCAAAACUAUUUUCUAUUUUCAAAAUUAAUUAUUUUGACUAUCCAAACUAUUAACUAUUUUGUAAUUUUCAAUUAAAUACUAUGUUUAUUAAAAUUCUUUUUGCAUAUUUGAGAAUUUGACAAAACUAUGAUAAUAAAAAGUGUUUGAAAUUGAAUAAAUAAUUCAAAACUAAAAGGUUUAGUACAUUCCAUACAUGCAUUACAUAAAAGGUUUAAUACAUUAUUACAUUAUUGCACCAAUAUUCCUACAUAUUAUUUCUGUUUUCUUCUCGGUUAACCAUGGAGAAUCUUCAUCAUUCAGUGGGAUGCUUGGGUCAGUUUUCACUUUGAAGGGCGGAAUUUCAUGAAACUUAUUAUAAUCUACUGACAUGUCUGUCUUGUCAUCUACUCCCACGAUGUUUCUUUUCCCUCAAAGAACUAUGUCGCAUUUUGGCUCAUCGGACGAUAUCUUCUUUUGCUGAUUUCUUUUUAUCGUUUUUGUAGACAUGUCCUUCACAUAGAAAACCUGAGCGACAUCAUUGGCUAGGACAAAUGGUUCGUCCAUGUACGCAAGAUUGUUGAGAUCCACUGUUGUCAUGCCGUACUUUUGGUCUACAACUACCCCGCCUCCUGUCAGCUUCACGCAUUUGCACCGAAACAAAGGGAUCUUAAAAGUAGGUCCAUAGUCAAGUUUCCAUAUCUCCUCUAUGUACCCGUAAUAUGUUUCCAAACAGUGCCAAUUCUCGUCUGUUGCAUCAAAGCGGACACACUAUUUUGGUUGGUGCUCUUUUUAUCUUGGGCAACCGUGUAAAAUGUAUUCCCAUUUAUCUCAUACCCUUGGAAAGUACAUAUAGUCGAAGAUGGUGACCUGGCCAAACAGUACAGUUGAUCUCCAACGGUGUCGUCAUUUAUGAGAUGUAUCUGCAACCAACUUCCGAAAGUCUUCUCGUGUUCCCCUUUAAUCCAAGAGUCAGCCUUCCCCGGGUUUUUAGAGCGUAGAAUAUUCUUGUGUCUCACGAUAUACGGAGCCACCACGGUGGAAUUGUGUAGAACUGUGUAGUGUUCUUGAGAGAAAGAAUGCCCGUCCAUACAUACUUUUGCUUUCCUUCCUAGUGUGCCUUUUCCUGUCAGCCUACCCUCAUACCGAGAUUCAGGAACACCAAUCGGCUUAAGGUCAGGAAGAAAGUCCACACAAAACUCAAUGACCUCCUCUGUUCCAUAGCCCUUGGAGAUGCUUCCUUCUGGCCUAGCACGGUUACGAACAUAUUUCUUUAAGACUCCCAUGAACCUCUCGAAGGGGAACAUAUUGUGUAGAAACACAGGACCGAGAAUUCUAAUCUCUUCGACUAGGUGAACUAGGAGGUGUGUCAUCAUAUUGAAGAAGGAUGGCGGGAACAACAACUCAAAGCUGACCAGACAUUGGACCACAUCAAUCUGUAACCCUGAUAGACUUUCUCGAUCGAUUACCUUAUGAGAAAUUGCAUUGAGGAAUGCACAUACCUUCACAAUUGCCAGGCGAACAUUUUCCGGUAGAAUUCCCCUCAAUGCAAUCGGAAGAAAUUGCGUCAUAAGCACGUGGCAGUCAUGAGACUUUAGGUUUUGAAAGUUUUUGUCUUUCAUAUUUACGAUUCCCUUUAUAUUCGACGAGAAGCCAGUCGGGACCUUGAUGCUGAAAAGGACUUCAAAGAAGAUUUCCUUCUCUUCCUUAGUAAGAGCGUAGCUGGCACGCCCUUGAAACUGCCCUGGAUGCAUGCCAUCUCUUCCUUUAUGACGUUCCUGGUCCUCCCGUGCUUCCGGUGUAUCGUCUUUUGACUUCCCAUACAAGCCCAGGAAGCCUAGAAUAUUCACACAGAGAUUCUACGUCAGGUGCAUCACGUCGAUUGCCGAGCGGACCUCAUGGACUUUCCAGUAGGGUAGCUCCCAAAAUAUAGAUUUCUUCUUCCACGUGGGUACGCGCUUAUCAGGGCCGUUAGGAACAGGUUGGCUGCCAGGACCCUUUCCAAAGAUUACUUUUAAAUCUUUGACCAUAUCAAAUACUUCAGCACUAGUACGGAUGACAGGCUUCCCCCGGGGUUCUGCCUUGCCAUUGAAAUGCUUGCCUUUUUUCUUUAAGGGAUGCUUGGGCGGAAGAAAACGACGAUUUUACGGGUACACAUUCUUCCUACAUUUGUCCAGAUAUAUACUUUCUGUCUGAUCCAAACAGUGCGUGCAUGCAUUGUAUCCCUUGUUUGAGUGUCCUGAAAUGUUACUAAGAGCAGGCCAAUCAUUGAUGGUUACGAAAAGCAACGCUCGAAGGUCAAAUUCCUCUUGUUUGUGCUCGUCCCACACACGUACACCUGGUUCGGCCCACAGCUGUAAAAGUUCAUCAACUAAUGGCCUUAGGUACACAUCAAUAUCGUUGUCGGGUUGCUUUGGACCUUGGAUAAGCACUGGCAUCAUAAUGAACUUCCGCUUCAUGCACAACCAAGGAGGAAGGUUGUAGAUACAUAGAGUAACGGGCCAGGUGCUGUGACUGCAACUCUGCUCCCCAAAAGGAUUCAUGGCAUCUGUACUCACACCAAACCAUAAGUUCCUUUCGUCACCUGCAAAUCUCAGGAACUCUCUCUCGAUUUUUCUCCACUGCCGACCAUCAGCGGGAUACCUCAACUUAUCGUCUUUCAUACGAUCUUCCAUGUGCCAUCGCAACAACUUCGCAUGAUCUUUAUUUCUGAACAGACGUUUCAACCGUGGUAUUAUAGGAGCAUACCACAUCACCUUGGCAGGAACCCUCUUCCUGGGUGGCUCACCCUCAAUAUCACCAGGGUCAUCUUUUCUGAUCUUAUACCGCAAUGCAGUGCAUACCGGGCAUUUAUCCAUAUUCUCGUACUUCUCACCGCGGUAGAGGAUGCAGUCAUUAGGGCAUGCAUGUAUCUUCUGCACGUCUAAUCCUAGAGGGCAGACAAGCUUCUUUGCUUCGUACGUGCUGGCGGGCAAUUCGUUCUUUCUUGGAAGCAUCUUCUUCAUCAGUACCAGCAAAUUUUCGAAUCACGAGAGUCAGUCACACCGGUCUCUGCCUUCCACUUCAGCAAUUCCAGUGUGCUACCCAGCUUCUUCUGGCCAUCUUCACAAGUUGGGUAAAACAAUUUGUUGUGGUCCUGUAACAUCUGCUCGAACUGCAACCUCUCCUUUUCUGUGUCGCAACCUCGCCGUGCAUCAGAAAUGACCCGGCCAAGAUCAUCAGCGGGCUCAUCUGGUUCCCGUCUUCAUCCUGAUCUUCUUCUUCAUUGUCUUCCAUUGCGGUAUCAGCAUACUCAGGGAACAUAGAUCGGUAGUUGUCAUCAUCGUUCUCUUCUUCUUCAUCAUCGUCUUCCAUCAUAACGCCUCUUUCUCCGUGAUUGGUCCAAACAUUAUAGCCCGACAUAAAACCGGACCGAAGCAGGUGGCUCUGAAUGACUCUUGAGGAAGUGUAAUCCUUCUCAUUCCGACAUUCAACACAUGGACAAAACAUAUAGCCACCACCAUGCUUGUUCGCAUCGGCUGCAUCUCGAAAAGAAUGCAUGCCUUCUCUGUAAGCGGUUGUGCGUCGAUCACCGUACAUCCAUGGAUGGCUCAUCUGCGUUAUACGACAGUAUAUCAAAUACAAUCACGAUCCUAAAAAUUAGUACCGCACGGUCUAAACGAGGAAAUAUAGUUGCUAACCUUUUAGAAUAAGUAGAAAUAAAGAGGAAGAGGUUUAAGCGUGGCUCGGGCAUCUCAUAUCGUAGUUGUGUUCGGUGAACUGAAGCGGCAUCGCUCUAACACACAUUUCAACAAACACCUCUAGUGCAUCCAAGAAAAAUGGAGAGCUAGCACACACCCACACUCUUCCAUCCAAGAAAAAUGCAAGAAAGAGGGGAGAGGGGGGUUGUGGCCAAUAUAUAUAGGCAGAGGACUUUAGUCCCGGUUUGAGACACAAACCGGGACUAAAGGUGACGCACAUGCGGGCUGCACACCGCGUAGCCCUUUAGUCUCGGUUUAUGUCUCGAACCGGGACUAAAGGCUCCUUACGGGCCGGGACCAAAGCCUUGUGGGCGGCAUUGCGAUUUUGGGGCGACGUGGCCGGGCCUUUAGUCCCGGCCCAGAUGGAGGCCGGGACUAAAGGGUCCAGGCCAAAGGCCCGUUUUCCACUAGUGAUUAUUCACAUAUGACAUUGUACUAUUUUUUUUAUUUGUUAUAAUGGAAAUCUUAGCUGAAAUUUUGAAUUAGAAAAUGCAAAGAAUCAAGUGUACCAUAUAUCUUCGAAAAUAUGUAACACUGUGUACAAAUAAGAAGGACACGUGCAACCAUCAUGAAAUAGUCGACCAACCCUUUGACAACCUUUGAAUAAACGAAUCAUGUAUGCUCGAUGAGUUCAAUUUGCAGCUGCAAUUGUGUGGAAGGGGACUAAUGGAAUGACAAUUGAAAAUUUGAGUAAAAUUAUAUUACUAUAUAGAAAUGAGGGAGGCCAGAGAGUGAAAAAUACAACCAUCAGGUAUAAGUUGCACAACUCUAGAGUAGUGUGACUAAAUGAAUCAUGUAUGCCCGAUGAGUUUGAUUUGUAUAGUAGUAAUUGUAUCGAAGUAGACCAAUGGAAUGACAAGCAAAAAAAAAAAUUGAAUCUGGUUUCAUUUCUGGGAAGAAAUGAGGAUGGCGAGAGAAAAAAUAGUGAGUAAAAAUAUCAAAUUAACUACGGAAAUAUGUUAGAGACAUCUGUGUAUAUUCACAUGUGUACAUGCAAAAUGCGGGAAAAAAAUACGAACUCAGUUGCCAAAAUUUGGUUUAUAUUCGAUGCAUCGUACCGUAUAAAAAAAUCAUUUGAUAUCUUAGAUGUAUUGACACGUAUGGAUUCAUUUGUAUAAAAGAAGAGUUGUGUGAGUAUAAAAGAAUCGAACUAAGGUACUCAUGAAUUGGCGAUCAUGAGCAUAGUUUUGGGACACCCAUAAAUGACAAUGAAACGAUAGAUAAUGAAGACUUUAAUAGAUUACACAUGUACUAAGAUUAGGUGCAAAAACAGGAGAAUAGUAGAAUCAAUCUGGAUGUGGUGUGCAACUCACAUAACAUAUUAAAUAUUAUAUUUGGUGGGAGUAAAGAUCUGACACAAAUGAAAAUCAUUUCAGGGGUGCAAUAAGUUGUCUCAGUUAUGCUUAAAGAUAUAAGUAUCAGAAAAACAUUUGUGCGUAUUUGUAUUGUAAACUAUAUAGGGGCAAGUGAAAUGAGAUAUUCUAGAAAAUUUCAGCGAAUGUUUCCAAGGGGGGGGGGGGGGGGGGAGCCAUGAGUAUGUGAAUCAUAAUUGCGUGAUUGUACAUCUAGUCCCCACCGUAGGGACUUAGGAUGUGUCUCAUUGAUAACUAAAUUUUCACAAGCAAGCAAGCAAAAUAGUAAUGUAACAUAUAUUGAGAAUCACAUAAAGAAAGCAAUAAUGAGACGUAAUUGGAGAUAAUGUUUUAAGGUUGUAAACACCACAUAUCCCGAGAAUGUAGUAUGAAUUAUUUGUAUCAUGCAUAAAAAGGUGAUAAGUAAUUUAUUUCAGGCAGACUGAAUUUGGAGUUCUCAAUUGUAUUUCUAAUUUAGAAUAUCCUCAUGAUUCAGUAUACUACAAUUAUGCAUUAUUUUAUACUCCCUCCGUUUCUAAAUAUAAGUCUUUUAAGAUAUUUCACUAGAAGUCUACAUACGGAGCAAAAUGAGUUAAUCUACAUUGUAAAGUAUGUCUAUAUGCAUCCGUAUGUAGUUCACUAAAGAAACCUCUUUAAAGUCUUAUAUUUAGGAACGGAGGGAGUACAAAUUUAUCGAUAAUGCUGAAUAUUUGAAUUAUCAACCAAUAUUUAUAUUAAUAGAAAACUCUAGCCGUGCAAAUGUGUGGGUAACUCCGUUAGUUAUACUAAUAAAAUAUGAUGCCAAUCACCAUGGGGCGUCGGCAGAUCGCAAUCCUUUACUCUGUCUAAUUUUAAAACUAAAUAGUAUAUGCAGUGGUUGAUGCCGGAAUGAAUCAAAUGAUGCGGAUAAUAGGUAAAUCCUCUGUUUUUAAAUAUAAGACCCUUUUACAGCUUAAUUUAGAAACAGAGGCAGUGCCAUUUUUGCCAUAAAGCGAAAGUUUGCACAAUAUUUUAAGUGUAUGGCGAUCAAGUGAACUGUCUAAUGGCCAAUGGGUACGAUGAUAAUGACUUGUGUGUACCUUGUCCCAAUCCACCUUUGUUAGGUGGCACAUAGUGGUCAUAAUUAUCUUCUUCCGUCCAAAAUAUGCAGCUGGUCAGUCAAGUGUUUACGUAAGGUUCCUUCAAUUAAGCUGUAGCACCUAGCAGGGAAACUAUACGUUUAUGAAAUUAUCUCCCAAGAAAAUUUACGAAUAAAAUUUUCGAGUAUCUAAUCUGAGGUUUCGUAAGUUUAUAAUAUUCAAGUAAAAAUUGAUUUACCCCUACAAGGGGAGAAAUCCUCACUUUUUUCCUUUUCAAUAUUAGGCAGUAGUAGGCAGAGAUGGUGAAUAUAAAGGUGGUGCAGGAUUUAGGUGUACGUGUUCAAAAAAUUCUUCUGAUCUCACUACUAGUAUUUCUCGACCAAGAAAUGUCGGUCAAGACAGGCUCACGUGGCAUGUUAAUUACUUAGUGGAGCAGAUAUGUAUUACAUUUUUAAAGAAGGAAACUUAAGAAGUUGGGCCAUCAAUUAAGUUCUAGCAGCCAGAUUGGUUGAUAGUACUUGACUUGUUCUAUUUGCUCACAUGCAAGUUCAUGCACAUCACCACACUGUUGCUUGCACCAGCUCUAUCAAUCUGCGGCUAUUUAAGCACACCCAUACAUGCCUCCAUUGACAAAGCAACUCACAAUGGCUUCUUCUUCCACAUUGUUUUGCCUUUCUGCCCUCCUUGUGCUGGCCUCAAGGCAGGCCACUGCCUACGAUCCUAGCCCUCUUCAAGAUUUCUGCAUCGCCGACAUGAAGGCGCCUGGUAUGCACUACGUAUAGUGUGCACGUAUAGAUGUGUGCCCUUAAUUCUAGUGGUGGUAUAGUUAAUGUUGUGAUAGCGUAGUACUGAUCACACAUUGAAGGUUACUACAUACUGAUAAUAGUUUUUUUUGUGUGGGGUACAUACUGAUAAUAGUUACAAAAGUAGUAUCACUACAUGCUCAAGCCACCCACACAUUUCUUACUUGCUUUAUGUUACUUUCUCUAUGCAUGCAGUGCGGGUCAAUGGAUUUGCUUGCAAGGACCCAAUGGCCGCAACCCCGGAAGACUUCUUCAACGCAGCCAUGCUCGAUCAGCCUAGGGAUACCAAGGCCAGCAAGGUCAGGUCCAACGUCACCAACAUCAAUGUCAUCAAUUUCCCUGGCCUCAACACCCUCGGCAUCUCCCUGGCACGCAUCGACUAUGGGCCAUUAGGUGUCAACACGCCGCACAUACACCCCCGUGCCACCGAGCUCCUCACGGUGCUUGAGGGGACACUCUACCUUGGAUUUGUCACAUCCAACCCAAACAGGCUCUUCUCCAAGAUAGUUAAGAAGGGUGAUGUAUUCGUAUUCCCAAAAGCAAUGAUUCACUUCCAAAUGAACCUGGCGCAUGACAAGCCAGCAGCCGCCUUGUCCUCGCUCAGCAGCCAAAACCCUGGGGUUAUUUCUAUCGCCAAUGCAGUCUUUGGAUCAAAGCCACCAAUUUCAGAUGAUGUUCUAGCCACGGCGUUUCAGGUGGAGAAGGAUCUGAUUCACUGGCUUCAAUCUCAGUUCUGGGAGAAUAACAACUACUAGAUACUCUCUUUCAUCUGGGCAUAUGGAAAGUUCAUAUGUAAUGCUAGUAUAUAGAAUAAAUGGCAUGUAAUAAUACGUAUGCAUGCAUGGUUGUGAGCUGUGUUUUCAUU